Molecule: long non-coding RNA, 99829 nt
Filed under: Vitis vinifera (wine grape)
Lineage: Eukaryota; Viridiplantae; Streptophyta; Magnoliopsida; Vitales; Vitaceae
Description: long non-coding RNA (VVIN_LNC002378)
Rfam family: tRNA (bases 41605-41663)
Source: RNAcentral
GAAUUUACAUGGAGAUUGCAGUUGGAGAAGCAAUUAAGGGUAGUGUAGAUAUUUUUUCCCUCUUCAUAAAUGUAUAUAUUAUACAUAUAUAGUCCAUCAAUUAGGGUGUUUAGAGUUGUUGUAGAUCAGCUAGUCCCCUAUGUUAACUAAUGGAACUCUAGAAGGGAGGAAGUCCACCACCAAAAUUUUGCUCACAUAUAAUCUGUAAUAUUUUCUUGAUUUUCAAUUUUAAGUUUUAUUAUCCACAAUUGUAUUUUGUGUCCCACCAUCUUUAAAAUGUCUCAGGAUUCAAGUCUUGCCAUUUCUUCUCCACAAGAACCUCAAUAUGAGGAAAAGCCCCAGAAAUCUCUCAUUGAAAAGCAGCAAGUGGAUAUUCUCUUUCGGUCUUCCUUUUUCUUCAUGCUAAUCAUUUUUUCUGGUGCAGGAAAACCAAAACCUGCUAAUCAAGUUUAUUUCACAAGAUCUAGGAUUCUCUGGGGGCAGGCCUAUUGCUGCUUGCCUGAUUUACAAAUCCCUCCUCCAAUGGAGGUCAUUUGAGGUUGAAAGAACCAAUGUAUUUGAUCGUAUCAUUCAGACAAUAGGUGCAGCAAUAGAGGUAUAACUGACCUCUGUUUUACUUGGUUUCUAUAUCUUGGAUGUUUGAAAAUAGUGACUACUGUCAAUUCCCUUGUUGGACCUGGUAAACUAAAUUGAAUUUGCUUAAUGGGACCAAGAUAUUUCACUAGAAGAAUGAUUGAAAAUUAAUAGGAGAUCAACAUCAGCUUCUUUAUUUGGGACCUUAUACCUUCUAAGAGGAUGCAUACCACAGAUGAUAAUACAUCAAGUACUUAAACAAUCAACAAGUACCCAUCUUGGAUGACAGAGAAAAACAAGAAUUUCAAAGAUGCAUAAAAACUUAUAAUAAGAACCUGCCUUCACUCCACUAGGCACAUAUCUACAAUGCAAGAGACAAAAAAAAAAAAAGAAUCAAUAGCCGCUAAAAAACACUAGGGUUUCAAUAUUAAUGAAUUCCAACACAUUGAAGUAGCUGGAAUAAUCCAAAUAAACAAACAGGCUGUAAUCCAAAUGAAAAAAAAAAAAAACAAAGUCUAUUACAAUUCUAUAGUGCCGAAACUUUGUGAAUUUAGCAUCAAUCUUGAAUGAGUCUUCAAAUUAAGCUCAAAACAAGCAAGUAUUGCUAUGGAAAUGAGCACAAAAAUCUUCAGCUCAUCAAAGUAAAUGAGGAAUACCAAUAAUAUUAUAGAAUAUCAACAUGAACCAUACUGAAAUAUUGGCCGAAAUAUUGAUAUUGAUUUGUCCAAAUGUAAGUUCAGUAAGAUUUCAGAAUUGACACACAUUGAUAUUGACGGUAAAUAGGUGUAUCAACUUAUCCUACGACCAUGUAACCUAUGCCCGGACAAUCUAGUAAGUGGUGGCAUAAUUCAAUUUUUUUUACACAUGGAAGUUGUCAGUUACCUCUCAUUAAUAAGCCAGUCCAUGUAAUACCACAUCAAUGAUCCAUAAAACCAGCGAGAAAAGAAAGAAAGAAAGAAAGAAAGUUGAAGUACUCAACUGAUCAGAUUUUUUGAAGUAAUCCGAGGAGCUUUGAUGGCAACACCAAUUAAACUACUUGCAGUUAUAUAAAUUCCCUUAAAAAUGCAGCAAUAACGCAACCAUCAAAACAACGAUCCAACAAAAAAAAAAAAAAAAAAACAAAUAUAAUGUAUCAAUUUAACCUAAACCUCCGCUGGUUUGACAAGAAUGCAAAAAUUUUAGUAGUUGUUUUCUUUUAGUGGAUUUUACAAGGGAGGAAGGGAAGAGAAAGUACCAAGUGGCACCCAAGACGGAAACGCCGAUGGUGGAGAAGGUGUAAGGUGAGAUCUGAACCAGUGUGCGAGACCAUGAGCUUGAUGCACCCACUAUUGAUUUCGAUCACCAAUUUUCCCCGGAUCUGAUCUUCAUUUCAGAAAUUAGGGUUUCUGGAUCAAGUAAUUUGGGAACAAAAAGGAUAUCACCUUUCCUGGUUUCCUCCCGUAGUCCCGUGUCUCUUCCUUCUGAUUCGUUUCUCAUUUACCAACACAUCCACUUGAUAAAUUCUUCUCAUCCGCAGCAUUGUAACUUUUUUUUGGGAAAAUUAGGUUUUGGGCUGUUGAUGUUUAUCAACAAAAUGGGAGACGAGAAUGUUACAGAAAUGAAAGAGUUUAGGUUUUACAGCAUUUUGGGUUUCUGAGAUUGAGAAUGGGAGAGAGAAGAGGAAAAACAGUAUAUGAGAGAAAUAUUGGCUUUGUGGCUUUUCGGAGGGUUUUUUCUCUUCUGAAUUUUCAGAUGUGGAACGCUUAGCUGGCAAGGUGAAGGGUAUUUUUGGCAUUAAAAUACACAUAAGCUAAAAGUGCAUGAUUCUCCAAAUAUUUUCUAAUUACAUUAUUAAUUUUGAAAUACAUAAAAUUGGGUUAUCAAAAUCAUAUAUUUUCCACAUCACCCACCCAAAAUCUAACUUUCCCUAGAAUAUUUGUUCUCUAUAAAUUAGGAAGAAAACUCUCACAAAUUUCAUCACUUUUACUUUCUCUCUCUCUCAAUUCUCAAACCAGUUUCAUAUACACUGAUAGAUCUCACCACUAUUUUUCUGCAUCAGUUUCUUAUCAGCUUCAGGUAAAUCCAUUUUUAUUCACUUCUUUCUUAAAUGUUGAAUUGUAGUUGAUAUUUACAUAAGAGCCAUGAUGGUCAAUUUUUUAGUGUUGAGUUAGCUAUAGAUGAGGUUCAAGCAUCAAUGCACCAACCUCAUCAUCUUUAAAGAUGGUAAAAGAGAAAUACAAUUUUUGAAGUAAAUUGAUUAAAAACAACAAGAAAAUGCCAUGCAGAAUUGGGUUUGAUGAUCCAUUUAUGCUUGGGUUGGAGAGGAGUGGUGACUUUUCUAAUUUUAUUUUUUUGAAAUAUAAUAACCACUAGCAUGUUCUAUGUCUGUGGUUUAUUCAUGGUUGCAUCAAAUUAAAUCAAUCACCUUUGUCUAAUCUUGUGACUGUGAAUGGUAGCUCCCAUGGCUGCAACCGAUGUGGCAGUGCAUUUAUAUUGGAAUGGAACAGCGAAGACCGAGAAAUACGAUGUUGUUUACGAAAGUGAUGCCAUGAAAGUAUUAAGCUCAACUAUGGAACUACGUAUGCUGGAUUGUUGGAUAAAAUCUACGCAACUACGAGCAUUAAGAAGAAGGAUUUUGAGUUGAACAUCAUAUGCAGAUACCCUAUAUCUUCAAGGGAAUAUAAGCCCAUCCCAAUAAAGAAUGACGAGGCCGUAGAACUUAUGUUGGAAGUGCCAUGCAGAUCAUCUAGAGUCUAUUGUGUAGAGAUAUAUUUGGAGAAAGAAGCAAGGCAAUGUGUGAAAAUCACGUUUCUGUGUAGAUCGAUCUCUGGACUGAUCUGCUCUCGACAUUGUAAUUUUAUUGUGUUGAAUUGGCUUCUAUAUCAAAUCAGUGAGUGUUAAGGGCUUGAAUUAAGUUUGGUAUGGCAUGAUAAUAUGUGAUCAUGGAGGUUCUUUUCGUCUACUCCCUGAAGAAGGGUAAAAAUGACAUUUUUAGCAUGGUUGCCCACCUGCCCUUUCUUCAAUUGGUGAUUGAGCUACCGGAUUCGACGAAGGGAGGAGCCAAGGGACAUGUGUUGGUCCGGGGUGCCUGGGCAGGGCUACUGGAGCAUUCAGAGAGGCCAUUUUCCCCAAACCGCUCGCUGGUGCUUCCGGGUAAGUCAGCUUGCGGGGUUUGUUCGACAUUUGUCUUGUUGUUCUUCUUGCUGGGGUUAUCAGAUGGCUUAACAUCUUUGGUUGCUGAUAAUGCAGGUUCGGACAAGAGGGAUCGCGUAGUCGAGUGGGUAGAAAAAGCGUCGUUCGCUCGACUGAACAAGUUAUUUGAGAUUACUGCCAUUGAGAGGCAUCAUGAGAUACUGCUCACUGCGCGAAACCUGCUGGUCGUUGUCCGGGAGCCCCAAGCGUACGACAUCAAUAUUCUCCCCAGGAAGUUGCCAAAGAAGAUAGUGUCUGGGGAGCAUUACGUUUUGAAAGAUCUCCCUUUCUACAAGGAGGUGCAAAAGGCAGACGCUCAGAAACGCCAAACACGCCUUGACGAUCGGGAGGGGAGGAGGAAAGAGGGAACUUUGAGGAAGGAUCCUGGUAAAAAACGCUCCGCACCCUCACUUCCUACUGGCGCCCCAGCGAAAAAGAAGAACAAGAAGAAGUUGGUUCUUAAUAAGGGGAAAAAAAUAAAACUUCCAACUCCUCCUAAGGAAGUGGUAAUGCCGCCUCCAACUUUUGUGAAGGAAAUAACAAUAAGAGAGCCCGAGGUCCCCCCCUUGCCCUCUGUCUCUAACGGCUUCGGACGCCUUACGGGUCUGAACCAUUCGGGGCCUUCAUUGUCAGUGGCUGGACGUCUGACUCUUCUGGCUGAGGAUAUGACUUCAAUAAAUCAGCCCGACUCUCCCCAUCCGGAUGCGGACGCAGCCGGGGCCUCUUGUGCUGCAGCAUCGCCUCCUAUGGCACCCCCAACGGAAGAAAUGGGAGUAGAAAGUCAAGGUUUGCCUCCUUGCGAGCCAAACCCCCUUGCCUUUGUACCGGUGAAAGGGCCAGCUACAAGGAGGUCUCGUCCGGCCUGUGACUUAAAGUUUGGCCUCGUCGGGCGGCUUCAGGAUCGUUUCUUGGAAACCAUCAAAGUCAGUUGCUCAUCCGUCCAGGAUGAUCAUCCUGAGGGCAGUGAGGUGGAGAUGGCAGAAGAGAACCCAGCUGCCCCGGCGCUGGUCCCGAAUGGGGGUUUACUUGAAGAGGCCCAGCCGGUCGAGAAUGAAGGGGCCCCAGACCCGGAGGGGGGGUCACUCUCUAAUGCCUCAUCAUAGGAGAGUUCUGUUGAUGAUGCAGCUUGCAUUUCCGCUAACUCUUUCAGCUACGCGGAGUUGGAAGAGAAGCUAAAACGGAUUCCACCCGGCUCAAAUGUUGCUAUGCCUUCAGCAAAAAUGUUCAAAGCGGUGGAAAUGGUAUAGUUUGCUUUCUUGAUUUUUCUCGCCAUACUGAUGUGUUUGUCACAUGGAUUGUAAAAUUUUUUUUGCUUUAUGGGUUUUUCUGCAGCUGGUGAGCGGUCUUCGCGGCAUGGCCCAACAACAUGACCUGUUUUCUGACCUGCUACGGACCGCUGAUUAUAUGAAGGCCUUCGCCUCUCAGCGCAGAAACAGUGAAGAGGAGCUGCGCUUGAGACUGGAGCGGGCCGAAGCCAGUUUAUCCGCUGCUCGAAAGGACAACGAGGCUCUCCGAGUAGAGCUUGCUGAGGCAAAGAGCCGAGAAGAAUCUGUGGACACCCGUCUGCAUGAGGUGAAGGACGAGAUGGCCCUUCUGAGAGGGGAGGUGAGGCAACUCCGGACGGAGGUAUCUAUCGAGAAAAAGCAGAGAAAGGAUUUGCAACUACGUUUAUCAACGCAAAAAGAAGAGUUGGAGGGUGAGUUUGCUGUGAAAAGGGAGGAGCUUAAAGCGGACUACCAGAAGCAAGUAGACGAAAUGUACUUUUUCGGCUACCGUUGCUGUAUGAAAAAACACAGUAUCAAACGGGACGUUCCUUCAAUUCCCUUGGGUGAAGAGGAGAAGCUGCGCGGCAAGCCUGCUUAAUGAGAGCUUUUCUUUUUGUAAUUUUUUACUACUACCCUCUCUUUGUAUCUUGUAGUCCGAAGAACUCUUUGUAUACAACUUCACAAAUAUUAAUAAAACAUACUUAGUCAUAUUUGUACUUGUCUUUUUCUUUCACUGGUAAUAUUGUUUCAAAUUAGACACAUUCCAUGGUCUAAGUAAUGGAGUUCCGUCUAGCUUUUGUAGAUGAUAAGCUCCACUUUCACUUGAUUUAGAUACUAUAUAGGGUCCUUCCCAGUUGGCUUGAAAUUUUCCCACUCCUAUUUCAGUAGUAUUAUCGAAAACUUUUCUAAGGACUAGCGUACCAUUUUUGAAGCUUUUGGGUCUUGCUUUGCGAUUGUAGUGAGCGGAUGCCCUUUGUUGAUAGUUUGCCAUCCGAAUGGAUGCAGUUUCUCUUUCUUCGUCUGCCCAGUCCAAAUUUCUUCCUAACUCCUCAUUUGCAUCAUCAUGCGUUCCUAUCUCGGUCCAGAUAGUGGGUAGCCCUAUUUCAAUAGGAAUGAUUGCAUCCAUACCGUAUGCGAGGGCAAAGGGAGUGUUUCCUGUCGGGCGUCCGGGUGUGGUUCGAUAAGCCCAUAGGACGCCAGGUAGCUCCUCCACCCACUUUCCUUUUGCUUGCUCGAGCCUUUUCUUUAAGGCAGUAAUUAACGUCUUGUUUGUGGCCUCUGCUUGCCCAUUACUUUGAGGAUAACGCGGUGUGGAGUAUGAAUUCCAGAUGUUUAGUUCCGAACAGAAAUUCCGAAAUGCGAUGCUAUCAAACUGCGGACCGUUGUCGGCUAUAAUGAUUUGGGGGAUUCCGAAGUGGCAGAUGAUUUUUUUCCAUACGAAUUUGGUGACAUCUUUGUCUUUGAUACUAGCAUACGCUUCAGCUUCUACCCAUUUACUGAAGUAAUCCGUGGCGACGAGCAGGAAUUUCUUCUGGGCGGGUGCGGUUGGGAGGGGUCCCACUAUGUCCAUGCCCCACUGUGCGAAGGGCCAGGGGCCUGAAAUUGGUUUCAAUGUCUCCGACAGCACAUGUGGUAUGGGGGCAUGCCUUUGACAUUUGUCGCAUUUUUUGACAUAGGCUGCCGCAUCCUUCUUCAUCGUGGGCCAAUAAUAUCCUUGCGAAUGAGCCCUAUGCGCCAGAGAUCGUCCUUCAAAAUGAUUUCCACAUACUCCCUCGUGCAAUUCAGCUAAUACAUACAGGGCCUCCGAAUGGUUUAGACAUCGAAGGUAGGGACCUGUGAAGGACUGUUUAUACAAAUGCCCCCCAAUCAGGGUGAAACGGGUGGCUUGCACCCAAAUUUUGUGUGCUUGCUUGGGAUCUUUGGGCAGAGUGCCUGCCCGAAGGUCUUAUAAUGUCGUUCGUCCACUCUUGGCCAUCUGCCUGCUUUGCCUCAAUGGUGUUGCAAGUGAAAGCUUUCGCGACGGAAGGGUUGACUUGCACAUGUAUAGGCAACAAUAUGGCUUCUUUGAUAGGGAGGGAGGCAGCUAUGCCUGCCAAGGCGUCGGCGCGCCCAUUUUCAGUUCGUCUGAUUUUUUCGAUCGUCCACUCGGUGAAUCGUUGUAAGGUGUCUCUUACUUUAGUUAGAUAUCGCGCCAUGCAGGCAUCCUUAGCUUUGUAUUCCUUCUGGACGUGUCUUACCACAAGUUGGGAAUCACUAUAGACCCGGAGCUUGGAAACGGAUAGAGUCAGGGUGAGGUCCAAUCCGGAUAGGAUGACCUCAUAUUCCGCUUCAUUGUUAGAGGUGGGGAACCCCAACCGGAUGGCUUGCUCCAGAUGUUCUCCUGUUGGGGAGUGUACCAGGAGCCCUACCCCGGAUCCUGACGAUUGGGAGGCUCCAUCGACUCGCAAAGUCCACCAUUCUUCUUUGCUUGGUUCUUUGUGUUGGAUGGGCCUUCGGGAGUAUUCUAGCACGAAGUCAGCCAUCACUUGGCCUUUCAUGGACAAUCUGGGUUGGAACUCGAUUCCAAAUUCACUCAAUUCUAUGGCCCAUUGAAGCAUUCUUCCGGUUAAGUCUGGUUUGUGCAGAAUGUUGCGAAGGGGUUGGUCAGUUAGCACGAUCACACGGGUGGGCUUGGAAAUAGGGGCGGAGCUUCUGGGCGGCACUUCGAAGAGCUAAGGCAGUUAGCUCUAUCUUUGAAUACCUGGUUUCUACAUUCGCCAAUGCUCUGUUGACGUAGUAGAUAGGUUUCUGCUCCUUGGGUGAGGAGCAGCGGAAUAGAACAGCGUUGAUCACCCACUCUGACACAGCCAGAUAUAUGUAUAAUUUUUCUUCAGGGAUGGGGCUGCUCAGGAUGGGCGGUUGCCUAAGGCAGUGUUUAAUUCUUUCAAAAGUGUUUUGACAACUGUCUGUCCAUCCGUUGGCUCCAACUUUUUGUAUUGCCAAGAAUAAUGGUCGCAGUUCAUCAGUGAAGCGGGCUAUAAAACGCCCUAGCGCGACAAGUUUGUCUGUGAGGCGUUGUAAGUCCUUUUUGCUCCUGGGGGGUGGUGUUUCUAUGACUGCCUUGACUUGAUCUGGGUUGACCUCUAUCCCCCUUUGGCUGACCAUAAAUCCCAGGAAUUUGCCAGCACUUACGCCAAAGGCGCAUUUAGAAGGAUUCAACUUCAUGUCAUAUUUCCUUAAGAGGUGGAAGACUUAUUGCAAGUGGAAAACAUGCCCCUCUCGGGUUUUGCUUUUAACCACGAUAUCGUCAAUAUAUACCUCUACUGUGCGGCCGACCAGAGGUUUGAAGAUCUUCAUCAUCAGUCUCUGAUAAGUGGCGCCAGCGUUUUUGAGUCCGAAUGGCAUGACUUUAUAGCAAUAGAGACCAUGUGGCGUUAUGAAGACUAUUUUUUCUUCAUUAGCUGGGGACAUGGGGAUUUGGUGGUAUCUGGAGAAGGCGUCCAAGAAAGAGAGCAUCCCUUGCCCAGCAGUGGAGUCCAUGAUUUGAUCUAUUCACGGCAAAGGGAAAUUGUCUUUUGGACAUGCAUUAUUGAGGUUGGUAUAGUCGAUGCAUACCCGCCAUUUGCCUUCUUUUUUGGGUACCACUACUAUAUUUGCCAACCAGUCCGGGUAAUCCACUUCUCUGAUGAAUCCGGCUUCUAGCAAUUUGUCUAUCUCAUUCCGGAUAAUUUUUUGUCUGUCCGGGUGAAAACGCCUAACCCUCUGCCGGAUGGGUUUGGCUGUUGGCAAGACGUUAAGUCUAUGAAAGGUAAUGGAGGGAUGAAUUCCCUUCAUAUCAGAAUGUGCCCAUGCGAAGACGUCAUGGUUUUGUCUGAGGGCGUUCUGUAUGUUCUGGGUCUCUUCUGGUGUUAGGAGGGAACUGAUAUUCGUAAGGUGAGUAUCUUCUUCCGAAAUUUGGAUUGCUUGCAAGGGAUCCGCUGUCGAGGGAUCUUUGUCCGCCGGACCCAAUAAUUGCUAUUGGUCGCGUGCAUGGCUGGACUCAGGGAGGGAUGCAUCCUCCUGGUUGGUCCCUGCUUCUCGUGCUAUCUGGUAGCAUUGGCGAGCGGCUAACUGGCUGCCAUAUAGGUCAAUUUGCCCAUCCUUGGUAAGGAAACUUACCAUUUGAUGAUAUGUAGAGGGGAUGGCUUUCAUGUAAUGUAGCCAUGUGCGCCCCAAGAUGACAUUGAAGGGUGAUAAAUCUUGUAGCACCGAAAAUUGUACGUUGAGAGUGACUGGGCUAGCUUGGACCGGCAGUAUAAUGUCUCCCAAGGAAGUAGUUGACGACCCGUUGAAUCUGGAUAGGAUUCGCCCAGGGUUUUCGAGGCCUGUGAGACUGUGCCCCAUGUGGUUAAUGACCGAUGCUUGCACAAGAUCGGCCGAACUGCCUGGGUCAACUAGGAUGCGUCUCACGUCGAAGUCUCCUAUUUCUAGGGACAUGAUGAGGGCGUCGCGGUGCGGCUGCAAUAUCCGGGUGGGGUCUACUGGUGGGAAAAUAAUUGUCCCAUCUAUGGGGCGAGGGCCCCCUCCAGUUAUCCCAGGCCAGAUGGAGUUGAUACGCUCGCACCGAUGCGGCCCGCAACAACUUUUGUCUCUUUCGUUUGGAGUCAUACUCCUCGUCAGAUGGGCCUCCGUUAAUAUAGUUUAUAACGACCUUGGGGACGGUUGGGGCCCUAGGGGCUCCAGAGUUGUGAUUUUGGGAAGCAUCUCUACCUUCGGCAUCUGAGAGGAGGUAUUACUUUAAAUGUCCCGCCUUGAUGAGUCUUUUAACCAAAUAAUGGAGGCACCUGCAUGUCUCUAUUGUGUGACCAUGUUCCUUAUGGAAGGCGCAUCUCUUGCUAUGAUCUCUUUUGGAUGGGUCCGUUCCGAGGGGUCUAGGCCACCUGAAGUCGGACAUGUCUCGGAUCAUAAGGAGAAACUUCUCAUAUGAUAUGGAAAGGGGUGUGAGGGGUGGCAUUUUCGGGCGACUCGGCCCUUCCUGCCUUCGAUCGGACGGCCUUGACCGGUCCGGAAGUUUGACACUUCUUUCCGCGCCACUACUAGAUGUCUGUCCAGCAACUAAGACUUGCUAGGUGGCUGCUCGCAUGUCAUCCUCGAGCAUUGAGUAUUUGUUCGCACGCCGGAACAAGUCGUCCAUCGUUGCAGGAGGCUUUUUAGCGAGUGAUUCAUAAAAUGGGGUGCCUGGACAGAUGCUUUGCUUGAAGAUCUAUAGGACAACAUCCAUGCUAUAAGCCUCUACCUGCAGUAUGGCUUGACCAAAUCGCUUCACGAAUUCCCUUAAGGAUUCGUUAUCCUGCAUUUUUAUGUUUUGCAGAGUGUUGAUGUUUUGCUUAUGUCGAGCGGAGUACAAGUAUUGUCCCACGAAGGCCUCUGAUAGGUUUCUGAAAUUACCAACAGAGUUGGGAGGUAGGUGAUGAAACCAUGAGAGGGCCUGCCCUUGUAGGCUGGCGGGAAAUACUUUGCAUAGCAGCGCGUCGUUGCCUAUAUCGAGAGUCAUGAGCUGUCGAUAAUGCAUGAUAUGAUCGAAGGGGUCGUUGGACCCAUCAUAUGUGGAGAAUUUGGGCACGAGGAAUCCCCUUGGGGGCUCGUAAUGAAUGAUAUGAGAGCAGAAAGGCGUGGAGAGCAUGUCGUCCAGCCUUUUUGGUGAUGGAGUCAAUGGGUGGCUCAUUUGGGAGGUUUCUCCCAGAUUGUCGUACCGUUAGGUGCGGUUGAACGUUCUGCACCAUAGGGGUGACCAUGGGGUCACGGUGUGGGAGAACGUUUUGCACCAUAGGGGCGACCAUAGGGUCAGGAUGCGCUUCCCAGGUUGUGGCUACUGGUGGCCUUGGCCUCCUAGGAUCCUGUGGGCCAAGUCUUGCGCGCAUCAAAUUUGACAACUGGGGCCUUUUGUCGCGUUGUCUUUUCGCUGAAAAAUGAGUAGAGUCUGAGCUUUCCUCAUGAGGAGCUCGGUUCAUGGGAGUGGGUGGCUCAUGUGGCCUAACGUUGUAUGCUUCUGGGAUGGCUCCUGCUGUCCUAGGGUAUAUUGACUCUAGCUCUGGUGGCCUUGAGUUUGCUACCUGGCCUUUUGAACGCUGAUGACGGGGAGGCCCCGUCGACGAAGCCUGGAUGCGUAGUACCGCGUUUUCUUCUCUUAACCUUUCGGUCUCCUGGAGGAGAGCUUGUAGUUGUCGUUCGUUUGCCAACUGUCUUCUUUCGAUGGCUUGACGCCAUUCAAAAUUAUCUUCCUCUCCUCUACCAGAUGAACGGCUUCGGGAAGGUGUGGUCAUCUUUACCGGUGACUGAAUCAGCGAAAUUUCCCACAUACGGUGCCAAUGUUGAGGCCUCGUGUCCCUGGUGAUCCACGUAGUUGCCAAAUGGAUGGACGCACGAUUUCAACCAAUAUAGAUUCCUGGUUCAGUUGUUCCUGUAAAAGGCGUCCGGACAGGGUGUCCGGACACACCCUCCGAUGGUUUUGUCAGCCAUGGUGAGAGAGAAUAAUCAGUUGGCCUUUUACUAGGUAUAGCAAGCUUACCUUCCUCUUUGUGUGAAGGUUCAUAUAUAUAGUACCAGAAGCUUUGUUUCCCUCUUUAAUGGUAGGGAGAUAUUUUGGCUUGUCAUGAUGCCACUAGGUGGUGGCAGGGCCAUCAUCACCCUACGGGUGGCUGACAGAGAUCGUGGGAGGCACCGUGGCUGUCAGAGAUCGUGGGAAGUGACUUGCCGUCACUUCAUUCCUGUCCUUUCACUCUACAAGUGGCGGAACGUGGGCCAUGGCAGGCUGUUAUGAUGACGUGCAAGACUUGCUUACUUCAGUCAAUGAUCCGGACAAACAUAUCCGGAUAGUAUAUGUCGGUCGUCCGGAUGCGAUGUGGCGGUCGUCCGGAUGUUAUGUUUGUGAGUGUCGUGUGCCUCUCCUAGAGGGAGUCCGAAUAGGAGAAGCGCGCCACGUGUACUCUUGGGGAAAUCCGGAUGGGGGUGAUCCGGAUGAGAAUGCGUGACACGUGUCAUCAGGAAAUGUGUGCCACGUGUCAACAGGGGGAGGGGUCCCUACAUUCACAUCAUUGAGGUAGGUCACACUACGAAUGUAACAACUAUGUGUUGCAAUUGUCCAAAUGAAUUCCACGUUUUCAUUUGUGAUUGAAAACUAAGUUCUAGUUUGAAAGGAACUAACAACUACAAACCUUUAUACAUGCUUAAUGCUAUGUAUCAUGAUAUUUAUAAUCCGAACUUUGAGUAAAUUAAUACAUUAUCCAUGUACAUGUACCAAAAUAGAUAAAACCUUUUCAAGAUAUACAAUGAAAUUCAUAAUAAACAAUUUUAUUAAUAAGAUAAAAUAUCGAAUAAAGUGACUUAAAAGAUACAAUCCUAACAAAGAACUUGAUACAAAAAAUAUUAAUUGUGCCUGAAGUUUUACUUUUGUUCCUACUUUUACCUUUUUUUCUUUCUUUUUCUAACUUUUUCGUUCCCUUUGUUUUCGAGCCAAUCUCAAAUGAGAGCUUAAGCACAAAGGAAAAUUCGUCCUGUCCAAAUUCCUUGGAGCACAUGGUGGCAGUCCUCAUUAAAUUCAUCAAUUACUUAAGCACUAAGUUAAAAAAGAAUUAGAGAAAAACAACUGGCCACUUGUUUCAAUGAUAAUUAAUCACUAAGAAUUGAUAAGAAAAAAUGAGAACGAUCUCAGGUAUGAAGACCAAAUUUAGAACCAAAUAUAUUAAUUUUAAUUUAUUUCUUUAUAUGUUUGUACCUAGCUUUAUAUAAUUAUACUUUUAUUUCAUAGUUUAAAUUUUAUAAUUAAAUGACUUAAAUUAAAACAAGGAUGUGAUAAAAAAUUAUUAAAGUUUGAAUAGUGGGUGGAUGGAAAGACCAAUCAUUUUAUUUUGUAUGUUGAGCUAUCCCUAUUCAGUUUUAAGUCAGCAAAGAGAACUGAUUCUAUAUCAUCUUCACCCUCUCUCUAUUUCUCAAACCCUUUCUUCUCAUUACUCUUGCGGCUUCAGUGUCUCAUCAGCUUCAGGUAAAUCCAUUAUAUUACGUUUCUUCCUUUCUCUCAUUAUCUAACAGAAGAGACCAAUGCAGAUCAUUUGGGUUACGAUAAUUUAGCUGAUAAAAUCCAGUCGAAGCACGACAAGUGUAAAUUUUCUGUUAGCUUGAAUAACCUUCCAAUGCCUUCGAAUUACUAUAUUGGAGAGACUUCAUCCAAGCGUUCAAAUAAUGGUUCUAAAAGUGACCAUAGCAAGGUACUGGUAAAUGCUAUUAGUAUUUUUAAAUGCAGUUCUGUCUAAUUAAUUCAUUUCAUAAAGAAUGGCAUUUACUUUUUGCAUGCAAUUCUUUUUGGAGGGAAAAUAGUCCUAUUCCUUCUUUCUAAGUUUGAGGCACUUAGACUCAAACUAAUCAUACCAGCCUUGUAAUAAUCUGGAGCCCAGGCACAUUAAUGUCUUCCAUGAAUGGCUAGGGAAAAUUCAGAGGAUGGGGAAGAUUAUUUUAUGUCAAGAAUAUAAUAGAUCGAUUAAUUAAUAGUAAUCAUAAUAUCAGUUUUGAUUCCAUGAUAAAUUUAGUCGCACUGUUCUUUUUUUUUCCUUUUUCAUUUGCUCAGAUGGAGGGACGAAAGUGGGAGGAGCUAAACAUGGACUGUUUGGUGAAUGUGUUUCGAAGAGUGGGAAUGGAGUCGUUGCUCUUGGAUGUUCCCUUUGUAUGCAAGUCAUGGUACAAAGCAAGCCUUGAUCCUAAGUGCUGGGAGCAUCUGAUUUUUCCAAAAUACAUCAAACCUGAUGGUAUAUGGGACACCAGCCCCUUGGGAGAAAGGUUGAUGAUGCAAUAUCGAGAAAGUUUCUCUGUCACUGCAUUCAUAAAGUCUGUGGUUGCCCGUAGCAAGAGACACGCUACUCUACUUAGGCUCCCCAUCUGCUGCACCAAAGAGGCAUUGGAGUACGCUGCUAACGAGUAAGCCACCUUAAAUUAUCUAUCAAAUUAUUUCACUUCGGAAAAAUGCUAUUUUUCUGCUGUUAUUCUUUUUCUUUUUGGCUUCUGUAAUUCCUUGCUCAAGAUGCAGUUUUAUAUUGAUUUGGUAGCUUUUACACAAGAUUUGCCAAUAUUGUGGUUUCCAUUCAUCUUAACUUAUUUAAAAAGACUGCACAAUUAAGAAAUGGGAGAAUGAAAUCAAUUUUUAAUAUGCAUAGUGAUUUUGGAUACCUUGUUAGACUUCUAUAAAAUGACCCCAUGCCUACAAGUUCAAGGGAUUGAUGACAAAUUCACAUGGUCCAAUAUCAUUUUACCAGGUGUGGUUUUCUCUAGUCAUUCCAGGUGUGAGGAAAACCACUGGCUACAAACUAGCAUUUUUUGGCUUUUACAUGCAUUGUUUAAUUUCCUGCUUCCUUGGUUUCUUUUUACUUGUUCCAGGUCUCCCACAUUGAAGACUUUGGAUUUGGAUGCUAUUCUACUUUUGAAACAAUCAACUAUUAUUCCAAAACUGAUAAGCAAGUGGAAAAAUCUGGAGAUGUUGACAUUGGGGAGCAGACGAAACAUGGUGGAAAUCCUAUCCCAAAUCAGUCUUCACUGCAACAACUUCAUUAAGCUAUUUGCUCCAGGAAUAUAUGUUGGGAAAGAUGAAGUAACAGCUAUGAUCACCUCAUUGCCAAACCUUAAGUACUUGGAUCUAAAGGGAUCAACGAUUGAGCAGAAAAAUCUAGUGAUGAUAUUGCAAGGCUGCAAAGAGCUCCAACUUUUAGACGUCAGGGAUUGCAUUGGAUUUUGGGAGGGUAAUGCUGAGAUAUUAGAGCUCGCUUCCCAUAUUCCUAAAUUCAUGUGUGAAGGUUCUAUCUAUGAGGAAUAUGACACAUAUAUUGAUGGUGAUGUCGAUUCUGAUUACUAUUCUGGUUAAGAGUUUGUGAGUUGAGUUUGUUAACCUAAAGCCUCUAUGAGAAGUUCCCUUCUGUAUGCCUCUAUGUAAUGAGUUGAAUUAUUCAUGACAAUAAUUGAUCCAUUCCCAUGGACAUUAUAUAUGUAAAAAAAUUGUAUUGGCAAUUCCAUUCGAGUUGUUUACCUAGUACUUCGAAAUAAAAGAUCAACUUGUAGUGAUCGGGUAUUUUAAGUCAUGUUGGAAUUUCAAGUUUGAAAAUUCUUCAUUUUGGGUGGUUUAAAAGUAAAAAUAAAAAAUAAAAAUAAAAAUGAAGAAUACGUGUCAAUUUUGGGUUGGCGAAAUUUGAAAGAUUUUAUUGGUCAAUCAAAUAAAUUAAAUUUUUGUCUCACAUCAACUUUUUAGUAGGAAAUUCAUUAGGGUUGUAGAAAUCAAAAUUUUCCAAAAAAAAAAGAACGGAAAUGAAAACAAAAUAAAAUAAAUAAACAAAUAAAAAAUUAAAUUAAAUUAGUAAUUAAUAAAUUAAAGAAAAUUAAAAUAUUUGUAUUCGUGUUUGAUAAUUUUUUGAUGAAGUGUAGUUGAAAAAAUGAAAGAAAAAAAGAAAAGGAAUUGAAUUGAAGAAAAAAAAACUAAAUUAAUAAUAUAAUAAAUAUAUAUAAUAUAUUUGGGUUGGGUUGGCUGCCACAUUUAGUGAUUUACUCAAUUAGAAAAGAAAAAGGGUGAAGAAGAGAAAAGAAUUAGAAAGUGGGAAAGGAAAAAAAAAAAGUGACAGAGAGCGGGGCGUCACUGAUAACUAUAGUGGGAAAAACCACAUUGCUCUUCCGGCCAUACCGUUAAACGAGUUCCUUUUCUCGUGAAAUUUUAGGGAAAUACUCUACUUGACACGAGGGACAUUUGUACGAUGUCAGAUUUUGUUUUCAACGGUUGAAUUGUUAGAUCUGUGGUAGGGAGACUUAACAUUAAAACUUUUAUUUAAUGCAUUUUUCUUCAAAAACUUACAAAUCUCAUUGUUGAAAGUUAAAUAGGCAAUAUUUGUGAUACGAUAAAUUUUAUUAAGUGAUUUAGGAAUUUUCUUUAGAAUUUUGUGAUAAUAAGGUAAUUUAAAUUGUAGAAAAUGAUUGUGUUUGGUUAUUAAAAAUUAUUGGGAUUAUUGUGAAUAAAUAAAAUUAUGGUAGAAAUUAUGUUUGAUUAAUAUUGGGAUUAUUGAGAAUUUAUUUGGAUGUUUUUGAUAAUUUAAUUGUGGAAAAUGAUUGUGUUUGGUUAUUAAAAAUUAUUGGGAUUAUUAAGAAUAAAUAAAAUUAUGGUAGAAAUUAUGUUUGAUUGAUAUUGGGAUUAUUGAGAAUCUAUUAAGAUAUUUUUGAUAAUUUAAUUGUGGUUAAAUGAUUGUGUUUGAUUAUUAAAAUUAAUGGGAUUGUUUAGAAUAAAUAAAAUUGUAGUAUAUAUUAUGUUUUAUUGAUAUUUGGAUUAGUGGGAAUUUUCUAUGACAUUUGUGGAGGACGAUAUGUAAUUUCAUUACAUUUCAUAUGCAUCAUGGUUGUGUGAAGGAAAAUAAAAAUUUGUUGUAAGGUUGCAUGAAAUGGAAAAGAAAGAAAAAUAAAAUAAUGAUGAAAAGUAAAAGCCCAUGAGAGGCAAAUUAAGAAAGGAGUAAGAUCCUUAAGGUAAAAGACCAAAAAAUUUACCCCAAGAAGACUUCGAAUGUGGAGUGUAUUUGAGUACAAACACGUAUCUUUCGGUGAAAGCCGGAGAAUGACAGUACAUUGUAUGAUUGUGUCACAUUCCCACAUGCAUUUUAUUUAAUUGUUGAAGUGUUACAAUUAGAGUGAAUGAAACGUUUGGGUUGUUGACUUUAUGGUUGAAUAUUUAUUUUGUAUAUCUUGAACCUUAGUAAUAUAAAUUAACCAUCUUGGGUGUAAGACACCCUACUGAGCAAUGUGAAAAUAUUUACCCAUUCUUUCUUAAAACUUUUAGAUGUAAAUAUAACCCCUGAGGAUCAACAGAUAGAGCAGGGAGGGCUUCAGGAUGCCCCAGGAGAUUUUGGAGUAGCCUAGUGAUUGUAGUGUAGUUGUUAUGUUGGUUUAUUUUGGAAAUUGUAUUAGCAAAUUUUGAAACUAUAUAUUUGUACUGAGACUUUAUUUUGAUUAAUUGAUUAAUUGUUCAUAUUGUGAACUUUCAUUUUUGACUUGAAUUGGAGAUCUUAUUGUUAUUGAACUUUCUUGUUGCUCUUGAGUAGUGAUUGGUAUAUUGAUAAAUUGAAAAAUUAGUUGGAGGGAGCUUUAGUGUGAUUUAAGUUUAAAAAAAUAAAAUAAAAUUCAGAACAUUUUGGUUGACUGCUAACUUGGAUUAAGAGGAACCCUUAGGGUUAAACCUUUGACCUGGGGUCAUGGGCCAAAUUUUAGGUCGCCUGGAAUUUGGGUCGUGACACAAUUAUUGACCAAUCUUUCUUGGAGCUCUUUGGCAUUGAGGAUUAAGGCCAAGUUUUCAUCAUAAGGGUUGCACGACUAAAGAAAAUGCAAUUUGGCUACUACUACGAAUUAUAUAUUGCACAUAUUUAAUGAUUAUGAAUGGUUUGGGGAAGUUUAAGCCUCAAUGUUAUCAGAGACUAUCCAUGCUUAAAGUAAUCGGCUAAGAGCACCAACUAGAAUUAGGUGAUUCAUCAACCAAUUACUCAAUUCAAAGUGAAUCUAUCAUAUAUUUCAAGUGUCAUGGUACGAGUUGUUGGAAUAUCUGAAAAAUUAUAUUCCAAGCCUUGGAUUGGUAGUGCACGUGCAUCCGUAUUCCUAGGGAUGCUAGAUCUAAGACAAUAUUAGAAGCAUUUAAUACAUGAAUGCUUAGAUCUAGGGCUCAAAAAUUUUACUUUUGAUUUAAAUGUUUUCUGAUCAAAUCUUGUUGGUAAAGUGGAUCUCGAAGACUUCCCAAUCUUCUGUUUGAUGACUUUUUUUUAGACCUUAGCAUUAAAGAAGAGCAAACUUUUCUUUUCUUAGGGCUGUAGAUUAGGGCCUUCUUUCUUAAAGAUAAUGAAUAAAAAUGUUUAACCUCAAUAUAAGGGGUUUAUAUAAACUUUCUUGUGGAGAUAAGUGACUUGAAUUUAUGGUAGACUUGGGUCGCUUAAGUAGUCCACUGAAUUUUAAUUAAUUAAUUAGCCUUAUUAUUGAUUUACCAAUAUUUUGCCAUUUUUUUUAGUUUUUUUGGAGCCACAUCAGCUCCUCCGUGCCCAACCUUUUUCCCCAUAGAAGAAGGAUUUAAUGCAUAAUAAUGGGCUUGAAGCAACACAAACUAGCAAGCAUAACCAAAGGAUGUGUUUUAGAAUUUACCAUUUUCUUCCUAAAAGUUUCCAAUAACAAUUGAAGGUGCUAUCCAAUGUUGAAGACGUUUGAUAUGAUAAUGGUAUGGAUAUAUCGACUAUUUGAUCUUUACAUCCAAUGACUAAUUUUUCGCCCAUUUGCUGAUAGUUUUGUAAUUCACUUCUCUAAUUUUUUCGGAACCACAUCAGCCCCUCCAUGCCCAAGCUCUUUCACAAAGGAAAAAAUUUAAUGUACAAGAAUUGCCUUCAAGUAAAGCAAACUAGCCAACUUGGUCCAAUUCUUACCAAAUUUUCCAUUAGAAGCAAAUGUUUUAAAUUUUACCAUUUUCUUCCUUUAGGUUUUUAGAAAAACAAACUAAAGGGUACCAUAAAAAACACUUUUUCACUAUUAGCAAUAAUAAUAAUAAUUAAUAAUAACCCGUUUGGUAGUAACUAUAUGAAGUGUUUUUAAUAUUUUUAAUACUUAAAAUAUUUUAUUAUUUAAGUAUUAGAAAAUACUAGAAACGUUUUUUAAAAUUACUCUCAAAUGCACUUUUAAAAUAUGUUUGGGAGUGAUUCUAUGAAGUGUUUAUAUAAUUUUUAAUGUUUGAAAAUUUUUAUUUUUCAAGUAUUAAAAAUAUUAGAAACAUUUUUUAAAGUUACUAUCUAACGCACUCUACAUAUAAUACCAUAAAAAUAAUAGUGCAAAACCUAGAUCUCCUUUCAUCCUCUCUCUUUUGUAUUUUUUACUUCUUACUCUACCUUUUUCUUUUUCUCCCUUCUUUUCAUUUUUCUUCUUUGUUGUUUAACCGAUCUCUAAAGCAGGCUUUAUCACUAGGGAGAGCUUUAUCUUUUUGGAACAGGAGGAGAAAUCUUAUCUCUUCAUAUAGUCCUUAGUCAUGAAGUGCACAGUACAAAUAAUAUGGGUGCUUUCUAAUCUUUUUAAUCUUUUUCCUUUCAUCCUUUUUCCUUUAACUUUUUCUCUCUUCUUUCUUUUUUAAUUCUUUGCUCUUCAACCAAUCUGGCAAGGAAGCUUAGCCACUAAGGAGAGAUUUACCUUUCUAAAUUUUAAUAGUGUAUCUGGGUGGACGCAAGGAGAAUUCAUAUUAAUUAUAGAGCUCUCUCUCCUUUAGUCUUUAGUGAAGUCAGAAGUAUGUAGAAUAUUUGUUCUCUAUAAAUUAGGAAGAAAAGUCUCACAGAUUUCAUCACUUUUACUCUCUCUCUUUCUCUCUCUCUCUCUCCUUCUCUCUCUCUCUCUCUCAAUUCUCAAACCAGUUUCAUAUAUACUGAGAGAUCUCACCACUAUUUUUCCUGCAUCAGUUUCUUAUCAGCUUCAGGUAAAUCCAUUUUUGUUCACUUCUUUCUUAAAUGUUGAAUUUUAGUUGAUAUUUAAUUUUUUAGUGUUGAGUUAGCUGCAGAGGAGGUUGAGGCAUCAAUGCAACAAUCUCAUCAUCUUUAAAGAUGGUAAAACAGAAAUAAAAUUUUUGAAGUAAAACAAUCUCUGAAAAAAAAAUAUUAAGUAAAUAAUGAAAAUUGAUUAAAAACAACAAGAAAAUGCCAUGCAGAAUUGGGUUUGAUGAUCCAUUUAUGCUUGGGUUGGAGAGGAGUGGUGACUUUUCUACUUUUAUUUUUUUGAAAUAUAAUAACCACUAGCAUGUUCUCUGUCUGUGGUUUAUUCAUGGUUGCAUCAAAUUAAAUCAAUCACCUUGUCUAAUCUUGUGACUGUGAAUGGUAGCUCCCAUGGCUGCAACCGGUGUGGCAGUGCAUUUAUAUUGGAAUGGAACAGCGAAGACCGAGAAAUACGAUGUUGUUUAUGAAGGUGAUGCCUAUUAAGCUCAACUAUGGAACUACGUAUGCUGGAUUGUUGGAUAAAAUCUACGCAACUACGGGCAUUAAGAGGAAGGAUUUUGAGUUGAACAUCAUAUGCAGAUAUCCUAUAUCUUCAAGGGAAUAUAAGCCCAUCCCAAUAAAGAAUGACGAGGCCGUAGAACUUAUGUUGGAAGUUCCAUGCAGAUCAUCUAGAGUCUACUGUGUAGAGAUAUAUUUGGAGAAAGAAGCAAGGCAAUGUGUGAAAAUCACGUUUCCGUGUUGAUCUCUGGACUGAUCUGCUCUCGACAUUGUAAUUUUAUUGUGUUGAAUUGGCUUCUAUAUCAAAUCAGUGAGUGUUAAGGGCUUGAAUUAAGUUUGGUAUGGCAUGAUAAUAUGUGAUCUAGUUUGCAUAAUUCUAAGGAAAAUGCAUAAUUCUAAAAUUUAUUUUUAUUUUUUUCUCUAUCUUGUAUAUGAAUAACCAAAUUCUAGAAAAAUUUUAUGAUUUUUGUUUAUUUUUUCUUUCUUUCUAUAAUUUUUAUUUUUUAUUUUUGUUCCCUCAUACCAUCUAGGAAUCAAAUGUAGUCUUUACAUGUCCACAGUUUAAUUAAGGAUUUAAAAAUAUAUAGAAUUUACAGUAGUGAAAAAAUUAAAAACCAUCCCGUGAAUGUUUAUCAUGCACCUCAUAUAUACAUAUCAUAUCCCAUAAUUACAUGUAAUCACAUUCACUAAUAAUAAUGUGUAAUCUAAUGCAUUAAAAAUAUUUAAACAUAAAUGUCAUAUAUGGAAAAUAUAUGUAAAUAAGUUCAAAAUUUUAUUAUUAAUUAAUUCCAUAAAGGUGUGGGGUAGAAUCCUUAGUUUAUCCUCUAAUUGAUCAAUAUACAAAAUAAAAUAACAUGACUUAGAAAAUUCACAUUAUCAUGUCUAAGUUUCUGAAAAUUUUGAAAAGAAUAGCUUAUGAACUAGCCAUUAUUAGUGCAUUCAUUCAUGAGGAUGAUCUAAAUAUUCAAGCACUUUGUGGGCUAGGCCCUAACUUCAAAGAUAUCUUCAUGCAUCCAUACACAAGGAUGAUCACCUAAGUGUAUCAUCUUGAGUGAUCCUAAAGAUAUGUGAUCAUGAAAUCUAAAGCCAUAAUAAUUUCUUAAGUGAAAUUUGACAUAUGCUCUUAUGAGUUAGAUCGAGUAUAUCGAUUGAUAACAUAGUAGGGGGAUUUGUAACUCAAGGAUUGAAAAGAUAAUCUUAAAAAGUUGAUAACAUAUAUUUCUUUAAAUUACACAUCAGUUUGUAGAGUUUGCAACGGUGGAUAGUAAAUCAUAAACUUAAGUUAUAUCUCAUUGUAAUUUCAUAGGAUAUUGGAAUGUAGUUGACUUUUUGUAGUAAGAUGUUGAAUCAACCUUAAAAUUGGAUUACGAGGGAACUGGUAUUUUUCUUGGUCCUAUUGGUUCCCAUUCAAGCUCUUAAUUCAUGGUGACACAAUUUUGAGGGUAUUUUUAAGUUUCUAAUUCAUAUGUAUGCAUAAGAGUAUUUUAAUAAAAAUAAAAAAUUGCACUUGAUCAUAUGAACGAUCCUUUUGGACUGUACUAAUUGAUUAGAGCCCAAUAGAGUUUGUUAAUUAAUUAGGACCUAAGUUGGCUAAAUAAGUAAGUUAAGUCCAAGCUAGACUCAAGUUACUUAAGCUCACAAGGAAGCCUACAUAAACCUCUUAAAGCUCCACUUUUGCACUCGUCUUUUAGAAUUCAAAGAUAAACCCCCAACCUCCCCCUCUAGAGAGAAGAUUUCCCUUUUCUGGUGUCUAGAUCAAUGAGAGUGAUAGGGCAAAAGGUUGCUUAGUUGGUGAGGCUUGCGAUUCACUCUACUUAACUUCAUCGAAUUGGAAUUGAUUUGGGAAUACCUAAAUCAUGUGUAUGAUCUCUCUUUUGUUUAGAUCUAUAUUAUUUAUGGUUUCAUUGCCAUGUUUUUUUUUUUGCUCCAAUUAGAUCUAGAGAACCCUAAGACUAGUAACAUGCAACUUGAAUGAUCUGGGGUUUGAAAUGGAGAGAUUCAAGGAUUCCCAAUAAUAAAGGUAUAAUUUUCUGCUUCUGUGUUGGAGCAUGAAACAAUGGGUUGUUUCUUGGAUUAUCAUGAUAUGUAGUUGCAACUAAAAGAUAUACAAUAUCCCAUUGCACUUAUUCUUGUGGUUAGACAACUAGCCUAGUCUACAUCGCAAAAACUAGGUAAUGUUAGUGCACUUUGAGCAGGAAAUUGUAAGCUAAAAGUUAAUGAGCCUUUGAGAUAAAUUAGCCACCAUCCCAUCACGUGCUAGUCAAGGAGGUAUCCCAUGUCCACAGUCUGCACCACCGUCUCUCGUACUGAUUCAUCUCCACCCAUCUUCAUCCAUGGCUAAGCAUUCUUCCAAAUAUAUAGUACCGGCCUAUUAUUGAUUUGGGUUGAAUUAUAUUAAUAUUGGGCCUCAAUAUUGUUUUUGAGUUUUGAAAAUAUUGGACUUGGGUUUAGUCUUGCACAAUUAUCUACUUGGUUUUAUUUGGAACUUUAGGUUAUGAUACUCAGCUAUAAUUUUUGGCUUUCUUGCUUCGGCCUAGUAUUUUGAGAAGUCGAGUUUGGGCAUGUUUUCUUAGACUGUAUUGACUUCUAUUGGGCUAUACCUUGUUUUAUUUUGCAUGGGUGUUGUUCAUUGGUUGAGGUCGUUAUUGGAGGGAGCUAUGAUGUGCACCACGUGUAGGGCUAGAUUUCAUGGAAGAAAGGAAUGUUCGGGAAGCUGUAGUUAAGGGCAUGGAACCCUAGGCAGCUAAGGGGAGGGGAGGACAACUCACCUACUCUAGGAUUUUCGCUAAGACUUUUACAAGGUGCCCUUUUUUUUUUUUUUUUUUUUCAGAAAAUGAUUUUGAAGAAAAAGGAUCCAAAAACUGGUUUUAAUAAACACUAGAAAAUUAUUUUUCAUUAAGAACAAUCCAGGACAUUAUUUUUUGAAUAAAAACAGUACAAUUUUUUUAUUAAAUAAAAAUAUUUUAGAAAAUAUUUUUAUUAAUAAAAAAUAUUCCAUAUAUAUAUUCUUUUAAAAGGUUCAAAAAUCAUUUUUCAAAUAAAUGUAAAGUUCCAAAAAAAUCAUCUUAGAAAGUUCUAAAAAAAUAUGUUUUUUUUUAAGUUAAAAAAUUGUUUUUUUUUAAAGUUAAAAAAAUUGAUUUUAAUAAAAUUUCAUAAAAAUCCAAAAAUUUGUUUUUAAUAAACUGUCCAGAAAUUUUUUUUAUAUAUAUAAUAAAAAUGUCCAAAUUUUUUUUAUCUAAUAAAAAAAUAAUUUUGGUAAAUAAAAAAAAAAUUUGAAGUUUCUUUUGUAAAUAAUUUUGAAAUGUCUUUGCCCCUAUUAAAAAUCUUUUUUACUAAUAAAAUUGAGUUGAGCAUAUUUUUUGUAUAAAAUUUGUAAAAAAAUCAUCUUCCCGAUAAAAUUGAAUUGAAAUCUUCUUUUAUAAUUAAGGGAAAAUCAUCAAACCAUACACCAAUUACAAAAAAUAUGAGAAUUUGGAACUUCACUUUUUUCUUUUUAAUUUUGGUGUAAAAUGGGAAAAAAUAUUGUCUAUUCAUGCACUCCAAUAGUGCUUUCAAAUUUAUUCCACAAUUACCCUCAAAAGUAAAGGACAAAGUACACACCAAUUUAAUACCACAUGUUAACAAGUACAUGUAUCAUUUAUUUUUUUAUUAUUUUUCUCAAAUCAAUAAAUAUCCCUUGCCACUUGUCACGUUUCCACUUUUUACUUUUUUCUUCUUUUUUUCCUAUUCUACCAUCAUAAUCCAUUGUCACCUAUUAUAAGUUUUAUUAUUAUUUUUCUUUUCUUUUUUCCUUUAUAUUCUUUUUAACAUGCUCGUGCAUUUUCUCAUAAAACUUCUUUAAUUUUAAUUUAUUUUUACUCUCUAAGUUAUCUAUAUUUAUUGAUUUUAAUUAUUUUUUUAACAUAUUAAACUUAAAAUGAUAAUAUAUAAUAAAUAAUUAAUAUAACAAAUUAAAUAAAAACAAAAUAUAUAAUGGACAAAAAUGAAAAUAUUAUCCCACAAAUAAUAAUGAUUUUAAAUAUUAAUUAUAAUAAUACAUUUUAUAAAUUAAGGUUUAAAUUUAAAAAUUCCAUUUUAUUAUUUAGAACUUUAUGAUAUAAGACUUUUUAUAUUAAUACUAAACAAAAGAUUUAUUUAUUUCGUAAAUUCUAUCACAUGUAAAAGUAAAAAUAUCAUUGCAAUACUAUUUUAUUAUUUACAUUAUUUUUCUUUUAAUUUUUAUUUUAAAUUUAUCAUAUAAAAAUCACAAUAAGUGAUGAUGCUUUUAUCAUUUUUCUUAUGAUUUUAAAUUGAUUGUGGAUCUAACUUUUUUUGGGUUAAAAUCUUUAAUUUUUAAUUAAAAUAAAAUAUAAAAGAAAAUCUAUUUUUCAUAAAAAAAUUGUAUUUAACCUUUUAUAUUAAUCUCAUAAAAAAUAGGUACAUCCUUAAAAAAAAAAAAGGUAAAUUAAUGCUUAGGAGAACCGGAAACACUAUCAUACUUAUCAUGAUGUAUAUAUUCCUUUGGGACCCUCGAUAAGUAAUUGGAGGUAUUUGCCCACCCCAAAAAGAACUUUGGGAUCCUAGGUAUAUCCAUUCUUAGAAGAACCAAGACCUCUAUUUUCAUUUUCAUGGUUCAUAUAUUCUUUUGGGGACCCUUGAAAAAGAAUUAGAGGUUAUUCCCCACCCUAAAACGGACAUUGGAACCCAAGGUACAUCUUAAAAACAAUUUGGUAUAUCAUUUAUAAAAUUUGGUACAUAUUUUAUAAAAUUUGGCACAUCCUUAAAACAAUUUUGUACAUCCAAUCCAUGAGCUACCAAGACCUCUAUAUUAUUAACCGUGGUUCGUUUUAUUUCUUUAGGGAUCUUUAGGAAGUAAUUAGAGGUCGUUCCCUACUCCAAAACGAACUUUGGAACUCUAGGUACAUCCUUAAGUAAAUUUGGUGCAUCGUUAAGAAAUUUUGGUAUAUCAAAUCCUCGGGCUAUCGAGACCCUUAUCUAUCUUCCCAUGGUCCAUAUUAUCCGUUGAGGACCAUUAGGCAGUGAUUGAAGGUCAUUCCCCACAUCGGAACGAACUUUGGCACUUUUGGUACAUCCUUUAAAAAAUUUGGUUCAUCCUUAAAAAUAUUUGGUACAUACUUGAGCUAUUGAAACCUCUAUCUUAUUACCCAUGGUCCGUUUAUUCCUUUAGGGAUCUUUGGGAAGUGAUUGGAGAUCGUUCCUUACUCCGAAAUGGACUUUGGAACCCUAGGUACAUAAUUGAGAAAAUUUGAUACAUCCAAUCCUUGAGCUAACGGAACACUUAUCUCCAUUUCCAUAGUCCAUUUUUUCCUUUGGAGACCCUCAAGAAGUUAUUGAAGGUCGUUUCCCACCUCAUAACAGACUUUGGCAACAUUGGUAUAUCAUUUACAAAAUUUGGUACAUCAUUUAUAAAAUUUGGUACAUCCUUCACAAAAUUUGGUACAUUAUGAAGGAUAAACCAAAUUUUGGGCAUGAUGUACCAAGGGUUCCAAAGUGCAUUCCGAGGUGGGGAUCGACUCUCAAUCACUUUCUUAUGGGUUUCUAAAUGAAAUUAUGGACAAUCUAUGUUCAGAUAGGGUUCUCAAAAGCGAUGGGAUCGAAUGUACCAAAUUUAAUGAAGGAUGUACCAAGCAUUCCAAGGUAGGGAUCAACCCCCAAUCACAUCCUUAUGGGUUCCAAAAUGAAAUCAUGGACCAUUCAUGUUCAGAUGGGGGUCCCGAAAACAAUAGGAUCGGAUAUACCAAAUUUAAUAAAGAAUGUAUCAAAUUUUGUGCAGGAUGUACCAACGGUUCCAAAGUACGUUCCGAGGUGGGGAUCGGCCCCCAAUCACUUCCUUAUGGGUUCCAAAAUGAAAUCAUGGACCAUCCAUGUUCAGAUGGGGGAGCCAGAAGCAAUAGGAUCGGAUGUACCAAAUUUUGUGAAGAAUGUAUCAAGGGUUCCAAAGUGCGUUUUGAGGUGGGGAUCAACCCCCAAUCACUUUCUUAUGGGUUUCUAAAUGAAAUUAUGGAUCAUCCAUGUUUAAAUGGGGGUCUCGGAAGCGAUAGGAUCAAAUGUACCAAAUUUUGUGAAUGAUGUACCAAGGGUUCCAAAGUGCGUUUCGAGGUGGGGAUCGACCCCCAAAUAAUUUCUUGUGGGUUCUAAAAUGAAAUUAUGUACGAUCCAUGUCCGAAUGGGGAUCCCGUAAACGAUAGGAUCGGAUGUACCAAAUUUAAUAAAGGAUGUAUCAAAUUUAAUGAAGGAUGUACCAAAUUUUGUGAAGAAUGUACGAAGGGUUCCAAAUUGCAUUCCGAGGUGGGGAUCGACCCCCAAUCACUUUCUUAUGGGUUUUCAAAUGAAAUUAUGGACCAUCGAUGUUCAGAUGGGGGUACCGAAAGUGACAGGAUCAGAUGUACCAAAUUUAAUGAAGGAUAUACCAAAUUUUGUGAAAGAUGUACCAAAUUUUGUGAAUGAUGUACCAAGGGUUCCAAAGUGUGUUCCGAGGUGGGGAUCGGCCCCAAAUAACUCUCUUAUGGGUUUCUAAAUGAAAUUAUGGACCAUCCAUGUUCAGAUGGGGGUCCCGGAAGCGAUAGGAUCGAAUGUACCAAAUUUUGUGAAGGAUGUACCAAGGGUUCGAAAAUGCGUUCCGAGGUGGGGAUCGACCCCCAAACACUUCCUUAUUGGUUCCAAAAUGAAAUUAUGAACUAUCCUUAUUCAGAUGGGGGUCCCAGAAGCGAUAGGAUCGGAUGUACCAAAUUUAAUGAAGGAUAUACCAAAUUUUGUGAAGAAUGUACCAAGGGUUCCAAAGUGCGUUUCGAGGUGGGGAUUGACCCCCAAUAGCUUUCUUAUGGGUUUUUAAAUGAAAUUAUGGACCAUCCAUGUUCACAUGGGGGUCCCGAAAGCGAUAGGAUCGCAUGUACUAAAUUUUGUGAAUGAUGUACCAAGGGUUCUAAAGUGCGUUUUGAGGUGGGGAUCGACCCCCAAACACUUCCUUAUGGGUUCCAAAAUGAAAUUAUGUACCAUCCAUGUUCAACUGGGGUCCCAGAAGCGAUAGGAUCAGAUGUACCAAAUUUAAUGAAGGAUGUACCAAAUUUAAUGAAUGAUGUACGAAAUUUUGUGAAGGAUGUACGAAGGGUUCCAAAUUGCGUUCCGAGGUGGGGAUCGACCCCCAAUCACUUUCUUAUGGGUUUCUAAAUGAAAUUAUGCACCAUUGAUGUUCAGAUGGGGGUUUCGAAAGCGACAGGAUUAGAUGUACCAAAUUUAAUGAAGGAUGUACCAAAUUUUGUGAAAGAUGUACCAAAUUUUGUGAAUGAUGUACCAAGGGUUCCAAAUUGUGUUAUGAGGUGGGAAUCGACCCCAAAUAACUUUCUUAUGGGUUUCUAAAUGAAAUUAUGGACCAUCCAUAUUCAGAUAGGGGUCCCAGAAGCGAUAGGAUCGAAUGUACCAAAUUUUGUGAAGGAUGUACCAAGAGUUCAAAAAUGCGUUCCGAGGUGGGGAUCGGCCCCCAAACACUUCUUUAUUGGUUCCAAAAUGAAAUUAUGGACUAUCCAUAUUCAAAUGGGGGUCUCAGAAGCGAUAGGAUCGAAUGUACCAAAUUUAAUGAAGGAUGUACCAAAUUUAAUUAAGGAUGUACCAAAUUUUGUGAAGGAUGUACCAAGGGUUCCAAAGUGCAUUUCGAGGUAGGGAUCAACCCCCAAUAGCUUUCUCAUGGGUUGCUAAAUGAAAUUAUGGACCAUCCAUAUUCAGAUGGUGGUCCCAGAAGCGAUAGGAUCGGAUGUACCAAAUUUGUGAAUGAUGUACCAAGGGUUCCAAAAUGCGUUCCGAAGUGGGGAUCGGCCCCCAAUCACUUUCUUAUGGGUUUCUAAAUGAAAUUAUGGACCAUCGAUGUUCAAAUGGGGGUCCUGGAAGCGACAGGAUCGGAUGUACCAAAUUUUGUGAAUGAUGUACCGAAGGUUCCAAAGUGCGUUAUGAGGUGAGGAUCGACCUCCAAUCACUUUUUUAUGGGUUUUUAAAUGAAAUUAUGGACAAUCCUUGUUGAGAUGGGGGUCCCAGAAGCAAUAGGAUCAGAUGUACCAAAUUUAAUGAAGAUUGUAUCAAAUUUAAUUAAUGAUGUACCAAAUUUUGUAAAGGAUGUACCAAAGGGGCCAAUGUCCGUUCCGAAGUAGGGAACGAUCUCUAAUCACUUUCUAAGGUUGUCCAAAGAAAUAAAUGAAACAUAAGAAGGAUGUUAGGUGUGUUGUUAGCUCGAGGAUUGGAUGUAUCAAAUUUUCUUAAGAAUGUAUCUAGGGUUUCAAAGUCUAUUUCAGAGUAGGAAACAACCUCCAAUCACUUUCCAAAGAUCCUUUAAGGAAUUAAUGGACCAUGGGUAAUAAGAUAGGGGUCCUGGUAGCUCAAGGAUUAGAUGUACCAAUUUUUUGGUAUAGAGAUUCAAUUGGUACCAUUUUAUAAUACAUAUUGAAAUUUAUGUGAAUGAAACAAAAUAUACUAGCUAGUUUCCUGUAAUGAGGUAAAUAAAAAAAGUAGUUAAAAAUAAAAAAAAUAUAAAUAAAAUAAUAAUAUAGAUUUAAAAUAAAAAAAUUUAAAAAUGAACAAUUUUUUUUAAAUGAUAAAUAUUUUAAAAAAAAAAUCUAUGAUUUUAAAUCAACAAGCAAUCAUUUCCAUUGCUUAUUUCAUAUGAAUGUCAAGGGCCAACCUUUCAAGCUAUCAACAUGCCUCCAUUUGCCUUACUACCCAACCCACACUUCAAAUCUAGUCAUCCUAAAGGCAUGCCUCUGACAAAGAGUCAUGCCUAUAUUUUUUCCUACUGCACAUAACUUAACAAAAAUAAGUUUUUCACCCACAUUCAUGCAUCUUCCAUGAAGCUUGUGCUCUUGACUAGUGCACAUAGCCUACCGAUAUAAUGGUUUCAGCAAUAGGCAUGCCUCUAAAAUCAAGGGUGUGCCCCUAGUUUGCAUACUGCAUAUAGUACACCAAAAUAAUGUUAUCAUGCCCAUGGGCAUGCCAAUGCAACGAAGGGUGCACCCCUACUUUACUUUCUGCAUGUGGCAUAGUAAUAUAAUGUCAUUUACAGGCAUGCCUUUCAAAUGGAAGGUGCGCCCCUAGAUUGUCUUCUACACAUAACAUACCAAACUAAUGUUAUUGUACAAAGAAAAUUCCAUUGAAUCUAAGGGUACAAUGUAAAUGUUCGAAUGCCUUCCGAAGGUGUUAAUGGGCCAACCUCCCUUUUACUGACUUCUCACAUAAUAUGAAUCAAUCCCCACCUUAACAAUUUGGCACAUCCUUCACAAAAUUUGGUACACCCGAUCCUAUCGCUUCCGGGACCCCCAUUCGAACAUGGAUAGUACAAAAUUUCAUUUUGGAACCCAUAAGGAAGUGUUUGGGGGCCGAUCCUCACCUCAAAACACACUUUGGAACCCUUGGUACAUCAUUUACAAAAUUUGGUACAUCCUUCACAAAAUUUGGUAACAUCCUUCAUUAAAUUUGGUACAUCCGAUCCUAUCGCUUCCGGGAUCCCCAUCUGAACAUGAAUGGUCCACAAUUUCAUUUAGAAACCCAUAAGAAAGUGAUUUGGGGCCGAUCCCCACCUCGAAACACACUUUGGAACCCUUGGUACAUCAUUCACAAAAUUUGGUACAUCCUUCAUUAAAUUUGGUACAUCCUAUCCUGUCACUUCCAAAACCUCCAUCUGAACAUCGAUGGUCCAUAAUUUCAUUUAGAAACCCAUAAGAAAGUGAUUGAGGGCCGAUCCCCACCUCGGAACGCAAUUUGGAACCCUUGGUACAUCCUUCACAAAAUUUGGUACAUCCUUCAUUAAAUUUGGUACAUCCUUUAUUAAAUUUGGUACAUCCCAUCCUAUCACUUUCGGGACCCCCAUUCNAACAUGGAUGGUACAUAAUUUCAUUUUGGAACCCCUAACGAAAUAUUUGGGGGUCCAUCCCUACCUCGAAACAGCACUUUGGAACCCUUGGUANNNNNNNNNNNNNNNNNNNNNNNNNNNNNNNNNNNNNNNNNNNNNNNNNNNNNNNNNNNNNNNNNNNNNNNNNNNNNNNNNNNNNNNNNNNNNNNNNNNNUGGAACCUUUGGGACAUCCUUCACAAAAUUUGGGUACAUCCUUCAUUAAAUUUGGUACCAUCCUUUAUUAAAUUUGGUACAUCCGAUCCUAUCACUUUCAGGACCCCCAUUUGAACUAUGGAUGGUACAUAAUUUCAUUUUGGAACCCAUAAGGAAGUAUUUGGGGGUCGAUCCCUACCUCGAAACGCACUUUGGAACCCUUGGUACAUCAUUCACAAAAUUUGGUACAUCCGAUCCUAUCGCUUCUGGGACCACUAUCUGAACAUGGAUGGUUCAUAAUUUCAUUUAGAAACCCAUGAGAAAGCUAUUGGGGGUCGAUCCCCACCUUGACGCACACUUUAGAACCCUUGAUACAUUCUUCACAAAAUUUGGUAUAUCCUUCACAAAAUUUGGUACAUCCUUCAUUAAAUUUGGUACAUUCAAUCCUAUUGCUUCCGGGAUCCCCAUUUGAACAUGAAUGGUCCAUAAUUUCAUUUAGAAACCCAUAAGAAAGUGAUUUGGGGUCGAUCCCCAUCUCGGAACACACUUUGGAACCCUUGGUAUAUCAUUCACAAAAUUUGGUACAUCCUUCACAAAAUUUGGUACAUCCUUCAUUAAAUUUGGUACAUCUGAUCCUGUUACUUCCAGAACCCCCAUCUGAACAUUGAUGGUCCAUAAUUUCAUUUAGAAACCCAUAAGAAAGUGAUUGAGGGUCAAUCCCCACCUCGGAACGCAAUUUGGAACCCUUCGUACAUCCUUCACAAAAUUUGGUACAUCCUUCAUUAAAUUUGGUACAUCCAAUCCUAUCACUUUCGGGACCCCCAUUCGAACAUGGAUGGUCCAUAAUUUCAUUUUGGAACCCAUAAGGAAGUAUUUGGGGGUCCAUCCCUACCUCAAAACGCACUUUGGAACCCUUGGUACCUCAUUCACAAAAUUUGGUACAUCCGAUCUUAUUGCUUCUAGGACCACCAUCUGAAUAUGGAUGGUCCAUAAUUUCAUUUAGAAACCCAUGAGAAAGCUAUUGGGGGUCGAUCCCCACCUCGAAACACACUUUGGAACCCUUGGUACAUCCUUCACAAAAUUUGGUACAUCCUUAAUUAAAUUUGGUACAUUCGAUCAUAUCGCUUCCGGGAUCCCUAUCUGAAUAUGAAUGGUCCAUAAUUUCAUUUAGAAACCCAUAAGAAAGUGAUUGGGGGUCGAUCCCCACCUUGGAACGCAAUUUGGAAGCCUUCGUACAUCCUUCACAAAAUUUGGUACAUCCUUCAUUAAAUUUGGUACAUCCUUUAUUAAAUUUGGUACAUCCGAUUCUAUCACUUCCGGGACCCCCAUUCGAACAUGGAUGGUCCAUAAUUUCAUUUUGGAACCCAUAAGGAAGUAUUUGGGGGUCCAUCCCUACCUCGAAACGCACUUUGGAACUCUUGGUACCUCAUUCACAAAAUUUGGUACAUCUGAUCCUAUCGCUUCUGGGACCACCAUCUGAAUAUGGAUGGUCCAUAAUUUCAUUUAGAAACCCAUGAGAAAGCUACUGGGGGUCGAUCCCCACCUCGAAACACACUUUGGAACCCUUGGUACAUCCUUCACAAAAUUUGGUACAUCCUUAAUUAAAUUUGGUACAUUCGAUCCUAUCGCUUUCGGGAUCCCUAUCUGAAUAUGAAUGGUCCAUAAUUUCAUUUAGAAACCCAUAAGAAAGUGAUUGGGGGCCGAUCCCCACCUCGGAACGCAAUUUGGAAGCCUUCGUACAUCCUUCACAAAAUUUGGUACAUCCUUAAUUAAAUUUGGUACAUCCUUCAUUAAAUUUGGUACAUCCUUUAUUAAAUUUGGUACAUCCGAUCCUAUCGCUUUUGGGACCACCAUCUGAACAUGGAUGGUCCAUAAUUUCAUUUAGAAACCCAUGAGAAAGCUAUUGGGGGUCGAUCCCCACCUCGAAACGCACUUUGAAACCCUUGGUACAUCCUUCAUAAAAUUUGGUACAUCCUUAAUUAAAUUUGGUACAUCCUUAAUUAAAUUUGGUACAUCCUUCAUUAAAUUUGGUACAUCUGAUCCUAUCACUUCUGGGACCCCCAUCUGAAUAUGGAUAGUCCAUAAUUUCAUUUUGGAACCAAUAAGGAAGUGUUUGGGGGCCGAUCCCCACCUCGGAACGCAUUUUCGAACCCUUGGUACAUCCUUCACAAAAUUUGGUACAUCCGAUCCUAUCGCUUCCGAGACCCCCAUCUGAACAUGGAUGGUCCAUAAUUUCAUUUAGAAACCCAUAAGAAAGUGAUUGGGGGUUGAUCCCUACCUCAAAACGCACUUUGGAACCCUUGGUAUAUCCUUCACAAAAUUUGGUACAUUCGAUCCUAUUGCUUCUGGCUUCCCCAUCUGAACAUGAAUGAUCCAUGAUUUCAUUUUGGAACCCAUAAGGACGUGAUUGGGGGUUGAUCCCCACCUCGGAACGCAUUUUGGAACCGUUGGUACAUCCUUCACAAAAUUUGAUAUUAUUAAAUUUGGUAUAUCUGAUUCUAUUGUUUUCGGGACCCCCAUCUGAACAUGAAUGGUCCAUGAUUUCAUUUUGAAACCCAUAAGGAUGUGAUUGGGGGUUGAUCCCUACCUUGGAACGCUUGGUACAUCCUUCACAAAAUUUGGUACAUCAUUCAUUAAAUUUGGUACAUCCGAUCUCAUUGCUUUCGAGAACCCCAUCUGAACAUAGAUUGCCCAUAAUUUCAUUUAGAAACCCAUAAGAAAGUGAUUGGGGGUCGAUCCCCACCUCGGAACGCACUUUGGAACCCUUGGUACAUCAUGCCCAAAAUUUGGUACAUCCUUCAUAAUGUACCAAAUUUUGUGAAGGAUGUACCAAAUUUUAUAAAUGAUGUACCAAAUUUUGUAAAGGAUAUACCAAUGUUGCCAAAGUUCGUUAUGAGGUGGAGAACGACCUUCAAUAACUUCCUGAGGGUCUCCAAAGGAAAAAAUGGACUAUGGAAAUGGAGAUAAGUGUUUCGUUAGCUCAAGGAUUGGAUGUAUCAAAUUUUCUCAAUUAUGUACCUAGGGUUCCAAAGUCUAUUUCGGAGUAGGGAACGAUCUCCAAUCACUUCCCAAAGAUCCCUAAAGGAAUAAACGGAUCAUGGGUAAUAAGAUAGAGGUUUCAAUAGCUCAAGUAUGUACCAAAUAUUUUUAAGGAUGAACCAAAUUUUUUAAAGGAUGUACCAAAAGUGCCAAAGUUCAUUCCAAUGUGGGGAAUGACCUUCAAUCACUACCUAAGGGUCCUCAAAGGAUAAUAUGGACCAUGGGAAGAUAGAUAGGGGUCUCAAUAGCCCGAGGAUUGGAUGUACCAAAAUUUCUUAACGAUGCACCAAAUUUACUUAAGGAUGUACCUAGAGUUCCAAAGUUCGUUUUGGAGUAGGGAACGACCUCUAAUUACUUCCUAAAGAUCCCUAAAGAAAUAAAACGAACCACGGGUAAUAAUAUAGAGGUCUUGGUAGCUCAUGGAUUGGAUGUACAAAAUUGUUUUAAGGAUGUGCUAAAUUUUAUGAAAUAUAUACCAAAUUUUAUAAAUGAUAUACCAAAUUGUUUUUAGGAUGUACUUUGGGUUCCAAUGUCCGUUUUAGGGUGGGGAAUAACCUCUAAUUCUUUUUCAAGAGUCCCCAAAGGAAUAUAUGAACCAUGAAAAUGAAAAUAGAGGUCUUGGUUCUUCUAAAAAUGGAUAUACCUAGGAUCCCAAAGUUCUUUUUGGGGUGGGCAAAUACCUCCAAUUACUUAUCGAGGGUCCCAAAGGAAUAUAUACACCAUGAUACGUAUGAUAGUGUUUACGGUUCUCCUAAGCAUUAAUUUACCUUUUUUUUUUUUUUUUUAAGGAUGUACUUAUUUUUUAUGAGAUUAAUAUAAAAGGUUAAAUACAUUUUUUUUUUAUGAAAAAUAGAUUUUUUUUAUAUUUUAUUUUAAUUAAAAAUUAAAGAUUUUAACCCAAAAAAAGUUAGAUCCACAAUCAAUUUAAAAUCAUAAGAAAAAUGAUAAAAGCACCAUCACUUAUUGUGAUUUUUAUAUGAUAAAUUUAAAAUGAAAAUUAAAAGAAAAAUAAUGUAAAUAAUAAAAUAGUAUUGCAAUGAUAUUUUUACUUUUACAUGUGAUAGAAUUUACAAAAUAAAUAAAUCUUUUUUUUAGUAUUAAUAUAAAAAAUCUUAUAUCAUAAAGUUCUAAAUAAUAAAAUGGAAUUUUUAAAUUUAAACUUUAAUUUAUAAAAUGUAUUAUUAUAAUUAAUAUUUAAAAUCAUUAUUAUUUGUGGGACAAUAUUUUCAUUUUUGUCCAUUAUAUAUUUUGUUUUUAUUUAAUUUGUUAUAUUAAUUAUUUAUUAUAUAUUAUCAUUUUAAGUUUAAUAUGUUAAAAAAAUAAUUAAAAUCAAUAAAUAUAGAUAAAUUAGAGAGUAAAAAUAAAUUAAAAUUAAAGAAGUUUUAUGAGAAAAUGCACGAGCGUGUUAAAAAGAAUAUAAAGGAAAAAAGAAAAGAAAAAUAAUAAUAAAACCUAUAAUAGGUGACAAUGGAUUAUGGUGGCAGAAUAGGAAAAAAAGAAGAAAAAAGUAAAAAGUGGAAACGUGACAAAUGGUAAGGGAUAUUUAUUGAUUUGAGAAAAAUAAUAAAAAAUAAAUGACACAUGUACUUGUUAAUAGGUGGUAUUAAAUAGUUGUGUACUUUGUCCUUUACUUUUGAGGGUAAUUGUGGAAUAAAUUUGAAAGCACUAUUGGAGUGCAUGAAUAGACAAUAUUUUUUUUCCAUUUUACACCAAAAUUAAAAAGAAAAAAGUGAAGUUUCAAAUUCUCAUAUUUUUUGUAAUUGGUGUAUGGUUAGAUGAUUUUCCCUAUAAUUAAACGAGUGAAAAUUCUUUGUUUGUGAAUAGAAAUUGACUUAAUACUUUUUGAAUAAAAUUAUAGAACUCUAUUUUUAAUAAAAAUAAUCAAAAUCAAUUUCUUUGUAAAUAAAAUCAAAUUAGAAUAUUUUUUGUAAAUAAAUUUGUACAUUUAAAAAAAAAAAUUUCAAAAAAUUCAUUUUUUUUUAAAAUAAAAAUAAAUUUGAUUUGGAAUGUUUCUUGAAAAUAAAUUUGUAAAUAUUUUUUUAAUUUUGUAGUGAAUCACUUCUCUUAAAUAAAAUUUGAAAUAAAAUAUAUUCUUGAAAAUAAAAAUGGUAAAAAAUCAUUUUGGUAAAAGUAAAUAAAAUAAAUAAAAAUCAUCUCCUUGUAAAUAAAAUCAAAUUUACAUUUGUCUCUCUAAAUGAAAUUGUACUUAAUAACUUCUUUUAAUAAAAACAAGAAACAGUCUUUCAAAAUAAAUUUAAAUCUAAAUAAAAUAAAAUAUUUUGAUAAAUAAAUGGAAGCUUUGUGAAUAAUCAAGUUGGUUUUUAAUAUGAAAAAAAAUCUUUCAAAAUUUCUUAAAAUUGUAUUAUGAUAUUUGAAAUAAUAAAGUCUUUAUAAUAUAUUUGUGUAAUUCACUUUUAUCAUUGUUUUGAUGUACUUUUUUUUUAUUCUUCUGUGGUAUCCAUGAUUUACAAACUAAUUGCCAUACUCCACACUUGCUUACUAGAAAGGUCUUUUUCUUAGGGCUUAGAAGGGUGUUAUGACUUAUCAUCAUAACUUCUGGAUGGGUAACCUGAUCUCUAAAUCCGUUUUUGAUUUAUAGACUUGUCUUUUUUCCAAAUAAGAAAUCACAUAAAGUUUUCUUUCUUAUUUUGUUUUCUUUUUUUAAAAAUAAAGUAAAAUAAAUGACAACUCCAAUUUUUCAAAAAUCAUUUUUUCACAAUAAAAAUUGAGUCAUGACAUUGAGUGGGAACAUAUAUGAAAAAUACAAGUCCAUAAAUGCAUAAAAAAAUGAUAUUAAUUGAUUGACAUAACUUAAUAAUUUUUUCCAUAUAAAUCUUAGGAAAAAUAAUAAUAAUUUAUUUGUCACAAAAUAAUAAAAAAAAAGAACUAAGUUUUCAAAAAUGUCUUGCACCACAUAAUUCUAUUAUUGAUGUUUUUAAUAAUUUUUGUGCAAGAGUUGUUAGAUUUCUUUAUUUUCCAUUAUCACCCAAGACACAAAAAACAUGAUAUAUAUAUAUAUAUAUAUAUAUAUAUAUAUAUAUAUAUAUAUAUAUAUAUAUAUAUGUAUGUAUGUAUGUAUAUAUAUAAAGCAUUCAAAACAUUCUUUUGAUCUUUGAUCUCUGGAUAGGGAACCAACCUGAAUCCAUUUUAGAUUUUGUUGAAGAUGUAUGGAUCUUCUAAGGUUGUGGAGGGCACCAUCUUUCUUUGAAUUCUCUCUGAUGAUGGGAGCGGGAGAGAACAAGUUCCUUUUGUUUCAAAAUGUUGUUUUCAUACAAGGAACUAACACUUGAAUUUAUACCCUCCUGCCUUAGGGACCAUACCCUUUGGCUAUUGGGCCUCACAAGUCUUAGGCCCAUCAUCUAAGGCCUGUGAUGGCGUUGGGCUCUACACAUAGGUGGCCCAUACUCUUGAUCAAAUAGAAAUCAUAUAUAUAUGGAUAGCUAAAUCCCGACAAUGUUUAAUAUAAUGUAGGUCUAUAUUUAUUCUAUCAAUCUUCCACUUGGACCACAUAUAUUACAAAACAAUGUUCAUGAUAGUACUUUAUUGAGGUCAUCUUUGCUAUCCUAUUCAAAUAUCCUUAAACAAUCCGGUCUACUAAUUAUGCUAACAUAGGAUCAAAGUGGUCUUCGUUAAUCAUAAUUAUAACUAGACUCAUCAAUGAUCACAAUAUUAACAAAAUUAGCAACAUGGAUCAAGUAUGGAUGUGUAGCAUGGAAAUUACAUAGAAUGUGAUCUCUAAUAUGUCUAUUUCCAAUUGGUCCCACUUUAUGACUAAAAAAUAGUCAAAUUCCACUUUCAACACUUGAUGCUAAACUGCUUUUGAAAGUCAUCAUUUCAAUUCAGAAUAUUCAAACACAAUAGUCUUUUAAAAUCAAGGUCUGUACAGAUAACACAACAUAAUAUCACAUCAAGAAAACAAACACAAAAUCUAAAUACAAACUCCCACUAUACUAGCACAUCAUCAAUGGGUACAACACCCAUAUGUGUGACAUGCUCAUGAUAUACUUUGGGUGGCAAACCCUUAGUGAGCGGAUCCGCAAUCAUGGAGUUUGUGCUUAUGUGUUCAAUCGAUACUUGAAGACUCUGAACUCUUUCUUUCACAACCAAGAACUUGAUGUCAAUGUGUUUAGACUUUGAUGAAUUUCGGUUGUUCUUAGAAUACAAUUCUGCGGCCUUAUUAUCACAAUUGAUUCUCAAUGGUUUCUCAAUCCCACCAACAUUUAGCAACUGAGUGAUAAAAUUCCGCAACCAUAUCCCUUGGUUUGAUGCCUUGUAGCAAGCUAUGAAUUCUGCCUCCAUGGUGGAAGAAGCAAUAAGUGUUUGUUUAACACUUUUCCAUGAAAUUGCUCCUCCAACCAACAUGAAGAUGUAGCCUGAAGUGGAUCUCCUACUGUCAAGACAUCCCGCGAAAUCAGAGUCUGAAUAUCCCACGAUCUCUAAAUGACUAGAUCUACGGUAUGUGAGCAUAUAAUCUUUAGUUCUUUGUAAAUACCGCAAAACCCGUUUUGCCUUUUUCCAGUGAUCCAUACCUAGGUUUCUCAAAUAUCUGCCUAACAUUCCAACAAUGUACGCAAUAUCCGGGCGCGUACAAACUUGUGCAUACAUGAGACUUCCUAUUGCCGAGGCAUAGGGAAACCUCUCCAUAUCCUUCUUCUCAAGUUCAUUUUUCGGACAUUGGUGCAAACUAAAUUUAUCGCCUUUUGCCACAGGCGUGUCUCCUAGUGUACAAUUGCUCAUGCCAAAUCUUCUCAACACUUUAUCAAUGUAGGCCUUUUGUGAUAGCCCAAGUAUACCUCUUGAACGAUCCCUAUAGAUCUGUAUACCCAACAUAAAAGAUGCAUCACCAAGGUCCUUCAUAUCAAAUUUACUAGAUAGAAAUCGUUUGGUUUCAUGCAAAAGUCCUACAUCACUACUUGCAAGUAGAAUAUCAUUAACAUAUAGCACCAAUAUAAUGAAUUUUCUCCCACUAAACUUGAGGUAUAUGCAUUGAUCAACGGUGUUCUCCUUAAAACCAAAUGAAGUGAUCACCUGAUCAAACUUUCGGUACCAUUGUCGGGAUGCUUGCUUUAAACCAUAUAUGGACCUUUUUAAUCUGCAUACAAGUUGCUUUGAAUCAUUAGACUCAAAGUUCUCCGAUUGCACCAUGUAUAUUGUUUCAUCAAUGUUACCAUUAAGAAACACAGUUUUAACGUCCAUUUGAUGCAGCUCUAAAUCAUAAUGAGCUAGAAGUGCCAUGAUGAUUCUAAAGGAGUCCUUUGACAAAACCGGUGAAAAUGUCUCCUUAUAAUCAAUGUCUUCCUUUUGAGUGAAACCUUUUGCGACUAGGCGUGCCUUAUACAUAACAAUGUUGCCUUUUGAAUCCCGCUUGGUCUUAAAAAUCCAUUUACAACCAAUCGGUUUUACACCUUCAGGCAACUCUACUAAGUCCCAAACACCAUUGUCUUUUAUUGAUUUCAUCUCAUCCUUCAUGGCUUCUAUCCACUUUUCAGAGUCAAAACUUUGUUUGACUUGGCUACCUGAAAUUGGAUCGUCUUCCAUACCCAUGUCAAACUCAUGUUCUUGGAGAUAUACAACAUAAUCAUCUGAAAUUGUACUUCUUCUUUCUCUAGUGGAUCUCCUUAGUGGCACUUGUACUUGAGGUUCUUGAGUUACCUCUUCAUGAACUUGAAUCAGUUCUAUAACUUGAGUAGGAGGAAUCUCAGGUGUGUCUUGAAUUUCUGUUAUCGACUAUACAUUUUGAAUAGUGUCAUCAAACAUAAUAUAACGAUGUCCAGUCGUAAUAAUAAGAAUACUAACAUAUUCCUCUUCAAAAACCACCUUUCUUAACGGUUCUCUCCCACUUAACUCAACAUCCUCAAUGAACUUAGCAUUGCCCGUUUCAAAGAAGGAUCUACUUGAGGGGUCAUAAAAUUUGAAGCCUUUCGACCUUUCAGAAUACCCUACAAAGUAGUAGCUCACUGUUCUGGAGUCCAAUUUCUUUUCAUUUGGCUUAUAAGGUUUAGCUUCAGCUGGACAACCCUAAACAUGCAAGUGCCUAAUACUAGGUUUCUUGCUAGUCCAUAACUCAUAUGGGGUUUUGGCUACUGCUUUGCUUGGUACUCUAUUCAAAAUGUAAACUGCAGUUUUGAUAGCUUCGCCCCAAAGUGAUUCUGGUAAGGUGGAAUGACUGAUCAUACUUCUUACCAUAUCCUUAAGAGUACGGUUUCACCUUUAUGCUAUACCAUUUUGGCUUGGAGUCCCUGGUAUGGUGUACUGAGGAACGAUACCACACUCCAUCAAAUAUUUGGCGAAUGGCCCUGAACGUUGUUCAUCGGAUUCAUCAUAUCUACCAUAGUAUUCACCUCCACGGUCAGAUCCGACGACCUUUAUUUUCUUGCUUAAUUGGUUCUCAACUUCAGCUUUGAAAUUCUUGAACACAUCCAAUGACUGAGACUUCUCAUGAAUCAAAUAAAGAUAGCCAUAGCGUGAGUAAUCGUCAAUGAAAGUGAUAAAAUAUUGUUGUCCAUUCCAAGGUGUAGGAAAUGGACCACAAAGGUCCGUAUGUAUCAAUUCCAAGACGUCACUGCACCUAUUGGCAUCCUUUUUCCUCAUAUUUGUUUGUUUACCCUUAAUGCACUCUAUAUAGACUUGAAAGUUUGAGAAAUCAAGUGGAUCAAGAAUUCCUUCUAACACAAGCCUUUGAAUUCGUUGAUUUGAAAUAUGACCCAAACGCCUAUGCUAUAACAUUGAUGAAUUCUCAUUCAUUAAUUUUCGCUUAAUGCCAUAAUUACUUGAAUGCAAGGUUUCAUUUCCAUUAGUGACCUUUAUGUUCAAUUUGUAUAAUUUGUCUGUUAGACUACUUGUACCGAUAACGUUUGAAUUUAGAUAAAGACUAACCAUUCCAUUUCUAAAUGAACAACAAUAUCCAAAUUUGUCCAGACAUGAAAUAGAAAUUAAAUUCCGUCUAAACGACGAUACUACAAAAGUCUCUUCCAAAUCCAAAGUAUAUCCAAAGUCUAACUGUAAUAUAAAAAGACCAAUAGCCUUGACUGAAGCCUUGUUGCCAUUUCCCACAUAAAUGUAUCUUUCACCAUCAGUUGGUAUUCGGCUCAUUAGGCAACCUUGCAUAGUGACACUUAUGUGAGUAGUUGCACCCGUAUCUAUCCACCAAUUGUCAGUAGGCACUACAACUAAAUUAAUUUCUAAACAAACAAAGUUGAGAAGUGUACCUUUCUUUUCACGCCAAGCAGCGUAUUUGGUACAUGUCUUCUUCAUAUGACCAGCCCUUUUGUAAAAGAAACAAGUGAUUUCCUUAUCUUGUUUCUUCUGCACCUUUUGCUUUGAUGUCCUAGAAACUGUAGUUUGUUUUCCUUUAUUGUCCCUCUUUCUUUUCUUGUUAGUACCAAAUCCCUAAGAUGUGGAAGCCAAGUGAGCACUUUCUAUCUUCUCUUGUUUCAAUCUCUCUUCCUUUUGUACACACUAAGCAAUAAGCUCAUUCAAAGUCCAUUUUUCCUUUUAUGUGUUAUAACUGAUUUUGAAUGGACUAAAUUGUGUAGGCAGAGAGAUCAAGACCAAGUGCACGAGUAUGUCUUCCGAAAACUCUAACUUUAGUGCCUUGAGUCUAGUCACAAGAUUAGACAUUUCCAUAAUGUACUCCCUUAUAUUCUCUUUCCCUUUAUACCGUAUAGAGACAAGCUUACUAAGAAUAGUGUUUGUCUCAACCUUUUCGUUUGCAGCGAAUCGUUUUGCUAUUUGGUCCAAGAAUGCCUUGGCUCAGGUUUCCUCAGGUAUUCACCCCUUAUAACUUCUGGAAUUGAGUGCUUCAUUAUCAUUAGACUCAUAUGAUUGGAUUGCUCCCAUUUUUCCAUAGUAGACCUUUGCUCAGUAGUACUGGCACUAGUAAGAUCUGAAAGGCGAUCCUCUCUUAAUGAAUAGUCUAAAUCCAUGCACCCGAGCACAAUUAUAACAUGCUCCUUCCAUUUCUUGAAGUUUGUUCCAUUAAGCACAAGAAUGUUAUUGACAUUUGCAGAUAUAGAAGAUGCUAAAUUCAUAAUAAUAUAGCUCACAAUCAGUUAUAUAAUCAUCACACAUACAUGAAUAAAUAAAAAUUUAACAUAUAUAUGUAUAUGCAUGUGGACAUAUAACAAUAUACCUAACACAAACAUCAAUAUUCAGUCUUUGGACAUAAAUAUCAACUUGUAAUUGGCAUCAUUUUCAAUAUUAAUUUAUAAAUAUUGACAAUAAAACCAAAAACAAUAUGUUUGUCUUUGGACUAACAUACUGAAUACAAGAUAAACUUUAUAUGUCACAUAUUUAUGAUUACUUUAUUUAUUAUUAUAUUAAAAUAAUCUUCCUUUGGGUCGAUUAUUUUAAAUAAUAAUAAUAAUAAUAACAUGUUUAGAUAUUAUAAAAUAAAAAUAAACAAAUUAUAUAAUAUAAGUUACUUUGGCAACUGAUAUACAUAAUUUAUUUAUUUUAAAAUAUUAAACACAAACAUAACAAGAAAUAAUAAAUUUCCAAAAAGAAUACAGAAAUUCAUCAGAAUCAUAAUUUUUAUAUACAGAAUCAUUAACAAACAUAAUGGUUCUAUAGUUCAGUUGGUUGAGCACAAGGCUUUCAACCUUGUGGUCAUGGGUUCAAGCUUCCAUAGUGAGCGUUUUUUUUUUAUUCCUUUUUCACUGGGCUUGACAUUUAUGGUACAGAAUCAUCAAGAAACAUAAUGGUUCUGUAGCUCAGUUGGUUGAGCACAAGGCUUUCAACCAAUGUUUUAAAAACCAGACCGGACCGGUCGGUCCAACCGGUUCAAUCGUCGACCGCUCACCAAUCCGGUCCGGUUUGCCUUAUCAAACCGUUUAGACAUUGAACCGAUCAUGAACCACCUAAAUCAGCGGUCGGAUCGGUGAACCGAUGGAACCGGACAGUUCUAAAUGAACCGAUCGGUUCAAAUUGGCCCAUCAUUUUGCAAGCAGAAGACCCCAUCAUAUAAAAACUAAACAAAACACCAUACUGGACCAUGACAAAAAACCAUACUGGGCCUAGCUUAGUGACAAAGCCCACACCCACUCAAUUGUUUUAAGCAGGCUGAAUCUUUGAGCCCACAAGAUGGGAUAGUGUUGUUGCUUUCAACGAGGAUACCUUUUAUAGGCAUCCUUUGCACCCUUAUUUCUCUCAAAUUUCGAUGUGGGAUUGCAAACUAGUAUUAAUGAAAAAAAACUAACAACUUCAGCCAAGAGGAUUUGAAGCUGGGACCUUACGUUUGGAAGUAAACUUGACACCACUCGGCUACAAGCUAUUUGAUAUUUGAUUUUCCAAACAAAAUAAUAUAUAUUUGAUUUUAAAUUUUUUUAUAAUAUUAAAUAAAAAUAAUAUGAUAUUUUUAAAAAUUAUAAAAUUAGCUAAAAUUUUCAUUUUUAAUAUAUUCACAUUUAAAUAUUAUACACAUUUCAUUUAAUAAAAUUUAAAAUAUUAAUUUGAUAUAUUCAUAUAUAUUUUAAAAUUUUUAUAAUUAUUUUUAAUUUUAAUAAUAUAUAAAUUACAUAUUUAUGACGUCACCGGUUCGACCGCGGUUCGACCACCAGUUCGACCGGUGAACCGUGAACCAGUAACUUUUCUAGUUCAAUGACCGGUCUGGUUCUGAAAACAUUGCUUUCAACCUUGUGCUCAUGUGUUCGAGCUUCCUUAGUGGGCAUUUUUUUUUAUUCUUUUUUUUUUUACUGGGCUUGGACAAAUCACACGUAUUUGUGCUUUCCAUAUAUAUAUAUAUAUUAAAGCAUGAAUAGUGCACGAACGGCGCACCAGUGACGCUCGAAUUGCACACCAACGGAGCAUGAAUGAUGACUUGUAGCCCCAAAAAAUGGCGUUUCCAAUGGCGCCUCCAAAGGCGCCUUAAACGACGCCUGAAAUGACGCUUCUGGAGCACUUGAAAACGGUGCUUCUAGACCGCCUGAACGGCGUCGUUAAAGAACCUGAAUGGCGCUUAAAAAAUGGCGCCUUAACGACUUCGAAAUGACGCUUGAGAACAGCGCCUGCAACACAGUUUGGAACAGCCUCUAAAGGGCGCUUGGAGUGCGCCUGGAAUAGCCUUUGAAGGGUGCCUGGAUUGGCGUCUGAAGCGGUCUUGUUGCGUGCCUUGAAUGGCGCCUGAACGACGCCUCAAAUGGUGACUUUUGAAUGCCUAAAAAAGGCGCCAGAAUGACACCUAAACUGCAUCCAUUUUGAACGCCGUCUUAACGGCGCCUGAAAUGGUGCUGAAUGGCACCUAGAAUUAGCCUAGAUUUAUUUUCUGUUGUUUCUGUAUUAAUAAGUGUUUUGGUGAAAAUGGGAGGCUCUGAUACCAAUUGUUAGAUUUAUUUAUUUUCCAUUAUCACUCAAGACACAAAAAAACAUGAUAUAUAUAUAUAUAUAUAUAUAUAUAUAUAUAUAUAUAUAUAUAUAUAUAUAUGUAUAUCAAACAUUCAAAACAUUCUUUUGAUCUUUGAUCUUUGGAUAAGGAACCAACUUGAAUCCAUUUUAGAUUUUGUUGAAGAUGUAUGGAUCUUCUAAGGCUGUGGAGGGCACCACUUUUCUUUGAAUUCUCUCUGAUGAUGGGAGCGGGAGAGAACAAGUUUCUUUUGUUUCAAAACGUUGUUCUCAUAUAAGAAACUGACACUUGGAUUUAUACCCUCUUGCCUCAGGGACCAUACCCUUUGGCUAUUGGGCCUCACGAGUCUUAAGCCCAUCAUCUAAGGCCCGUGAUGGCAUUGGGCUCUACACAUAGAUGGCCCAUACUCUUGAUCAAAUAGAAAUCAUAUAUAUAUGGAUAGCUAAAUCCCGACAAUGUUUAAUAUAAUGUAGGUCUAUAUUUAUUCUAUCAAGAGUGUCAUAGAAAAUCAUUUUUACAAAGUUGCCCUAAUUUUUUUUUAUAUAAUUUUUCACGCCUCAAAAAUAAUUAUUACAAUAAUAAUUUGCUUAAAUAAAAUACAUGAAAAAUAAAUUAAAAAAUCAUAAAAUAAUCCCUAUUAUGAAUAUUCACUAAUAUUUUUAGGAAUAUUAAAAUAUAUAGAUAAUAAAUUUUACACUGAAUUUUUUUUAAUUAACUAAAUUGAAUAAUUAAUAAAUUAAUACAAAAUUAAAUACAAACAACUCAGAAAAAUAUAAGAGGUCAUGCAAAAAAUAAAAUAACUAUAAAAUAUUUUUUGUUUCCAAUAGAAAAAAUAGAAAAAAAAAAAAGCUAGAAAAUUAAGAAAAAUGAGAGGAGUUCUCACUCUUGGCUAAUUUUGUUUUCAUGCUCUCAAGAUUCCAUUAAACUAUUUGCUUUUCCGUUUUGACAUCUUGAAGUUUGUUAAUCAAAUCAUGCACACACGAAUAUAAAAUAAAGAAAAAAUGCAAAAGUUUUAAUGUGGUUCAACGAUUAAUGUGAUUCCUAUGCUUAUGGAGUGCACCAACACUUAAUAAUCCACUAAUCAUAAAAAAUAAGAAGAAUUAUAGUGGUAAAACUUUCAAAAAAACCCUCUUAAUUGUGGUCACACUUUCUAAAAAACAAAAUCCUAAACAUAGAAGGGUUAAAUAUAUAAUGGGGACAAACUUGUCAUCAUUAAAAAAAAAAAAAAAAAAUCUCCAAGAGGUGUUGCCCCCUUCAACUAGCUAACCAAAUAACUCGACUUUUGACAUUCUAAGCAAAAUGCAACAAAACUAAUUUAGGUUUCACAAUCUAAUAAAGUUCAUGUUUGAAAAUCACUUUCUACAUUGAGAUUGAAGUCGUAACUUUGAGGAAAAAAAAAUCAUAUUUUUUUAAUUGUUUUACAUGAAUGUUUUAAAAAAUCACAUCUUUUAUCAAUUUUUGUCAAUAAAAUUAUAAGGGAAUGUCGUUUUAAAUCACUUUUAAAUAUAUUUCAGAAGGGAUCUAAUGUGUAAUUAAAGUUGUUUCAUUUUUUAUAAAUAUAAAUAAAUAAAGUUUGCAUAAUAUGCAUAGUGAUGCAUGGUAAUAACAUCUGAGUAGUGUUUGUGCCCCGAAGCCAAUGUUGAAAAAAAAUAUAAUAAUUGAUUAAAAAUGAUGAAAUAAUCCUUAUAUUUGUGAAUUUAUCCCCUUCCAUGCUUUUGUCUAAAGAGUAACUCAUUUUUUUUUUUUAUAUAAAUGUCAUUCUAUAUUUUGAAAGAAAUGGUUAUUUUUACAAGAAAACAAAAAAUGUACUUUUGUCAAAAUAAGGUUGAAAAAGGAUGAAAUGUUAGAUUUCUAAAAUUGGAUUUCCAAUGAUCCUCUUAAUCAAAUUGCCCAAAAAAAAAAUAAUUAAAUUUUGUUUUUUUAAUGGGUGAAGAUAUAAAUCCAAAAAAAAAAAAUCAAUUCAAAAACACUUUUACACUAUUAGCAAUAAUAAUAAUAAUAAUAAUAAUAAUAAUAAUUAAUAAAUAUAGAACAAUAAAAAUAAUAGUGCAAGACGUAUAUCUCCUUUUAUCCUCACUCUUUUGUAUUUUUGUUAAUCAAACCAUGCAUACACAUGAAUAGAAAAAAAAAAAAAACAUAAAAUUUUCGAUGUGAUCCCUAUAUUUACAGAGUGCAUGAAUACUUAAUCAAAGAAAAGAGGAGUACAAUGAUGAAGUUCUAAAACAAACUUGUCAUACUACUUUUUGUGCUUUGAAGCCAAUUAUAUAUAUAUAUAUAUAUAUAUAUAUAAAUCAAAAAGUAUAAUUCAUAUAUAUUUUUUCAUUAUUAGAAAUAAUAAUAAUUAAUAAAUAUAGAACCACCUAGAUCUCCCUUCAUCCUCUCUUUUUUGUAUUUUUACUUCUUACUCUUCCUUUUUCUUUUUCAUUCUUUAUUCUUUAACCAAUCUCUAGAAAAAGCUUUAUCACUAGGGAGAGCUUUAUCUUUCCAAGCUUUUAGUGUAUCUGGAACAAAAGAAGAAAUCAUCUCUCUUUAGUCCUUAGUCUUGAAGUCAGCACAGGGCAAAGAAUAUGGGUGCCUUAUAAUCUUUUAUAAAGAACAAAGAAUAAUUGUUCUUUAUAAAUUAGAAAGAAAACUCUCACAGGUUUCAUCACUUUUACUCUCUCUCUCUCUCUCUCUCUCACCAGUUUCAUAUAUACUGAGAGAUCUCACCACUUUUUUUCCUGCACCAGUUUCUUAUCAGCUUCAGGUAAAUCCAUUUUUAUUUUCACUUCUUUCUUUAAUGUUGAAUUUUAGUUGAUAUUUACAUAAGAGCUAGCCAUGAUGGUCAAUUUUUUCAUGUUGAGUUAUCUAUAGAUGAGGUUCAAGCAUCAAUGCACCAACCUUAUCAUCUUUAAAAAGAUGUAAAAGAGAAACAAUUUUUUUUUUUUAAAGUAAAACAGUCUCAAAAAUCAAAGCAAAUAUUUUAACUAAAUAAUAAAAAAAAAUUAAUUAACAACAACAAGAAAAUGCCACAAAGAAUUGGCUUUGAUGAUCCAUUUAUGAUUGGAUUGGAUAGGAGUGGUGACAUUUUAGUUUUUUUUUUUUUUUUUUUUUAAACAGUACCAAAUAUAUGAUGCUCUAUUAACAUGCUUAUGUUCUAAUAAAAUUGCUUCAAGUGUCCAUUAUAUGCUUAAUUAUUUAAUUAGUAGUGACAUCAAAUUAAAAGUGCGUUUAACAAUAUUCUUACUUGAAGUAUUUUAUCCAAAGUGUUUUUAGGAGAAUCAUUUCCUAAAUUUUAUUAAACACCAAAUUGUUUUUCUUUAAAAAAACUUUUCAUGCUAAAACGUUUUUAAAAUCACUGUGAAAUAGACUCUAAAUCAAUCACUUUUGUCUAAUCUUGUGAGUAUGGAUGGUAGCUCUCAUGGCUGCAACCGACGUGGCAGUGCAUUUAUACUGGAAUGGAAGAGUGAAAACCAAAAAAUAUGAUGUUGUUUAUGAAGGUGGCGACAUGAAUGUGAUGCCUAUUAAGCUCAACCAUGGAACUACGUAUUUUGGAUUGUUGGAUAAAAUCUACGCAACUACAGGCAUAAAGAGGACGGAUUUUGAGUUGAACAUCAUAUGCAGAUACCCUAUAUCUUCAAGGGAAUAUAAGCCCAUCCCAAUAAAGAAUGACGAGGCCGUAGACCUCAUGUUGAAAGUGCCAUGCAGAUCAUUUCGAGUCUACUGUGUGGAGAUAUAUUUGGAGGCAACGCGUUGUGUGAAAUCUCUUCUCCGGGAAUCUGCUCAAAUGUGGGAAUCUGAGUGUUAGGAUAUAGUAAUUUUAUUGUGUUGAAUUGGCUUAUAUAUCAAAUCAGUCAGUGUUCAGGGAUUGAAUUAAGUUUGGUAUGGCAUGAUAAUAUGUGAUCUAGUUUGUAUAAUUCUAUUUUUUUUCUCUCAUUUUGUAUAUUAAUAACCAUAUUCAAGAAAAAAUUUAUAAUUUUUGUUUAUUUUCUCUUUUUGUCUAUAAUUUUUAUUUUAUUUUUUUCCAUCCCUCAAAUCAUCUAGAAACCAAACAUAGCCUUUAAAUGUCUCCAUUUUAAUUAAGGAUUUAAAAAUAUAUAGAAUUUAUAGUAGUGAAAAAAUUGAGAACAUAUUUAAUUUGUCUUCAAUGAAUAAAUCAUCUUGCACCUCAUAUAUAUAUAUAUAUAUAUAUAUAUAUAUAUAUAUAUAUAUAUAUAUAUAUAUAUAUAUCAUAUCCCAUAAUUACAUGUAAUCACAUUAGCCAAUAAUAAUGUGUAAUCCAGUGCAUUAAUAAGAAUAUUUAAACAUAUAUAAAUGUAAUAUAUGGAAAAGAUAUGCAAAUAAGUUCAAAAUUUUAUUAUUAAUUAAUUCCAUAAAGGUGUGGGGUAGAAUCCUUAGUCUAUCCUCUAAUUGUUCAUUAUACACAAGAAAAUAAUGUGAAUUAGAAAAUUCACAUUAUCAUAUUUGAGUAUUUGAAAAUUCUAAAAAGAAUAGCUGAUGAACUAACCAUUAUUAGUGCAUCCAUACAUGAGGAUCUUAAUAUUCAAGCACUUUGUGGGCUAGCCUCUAACUUCAAAGAUAUUUUCGUGCAUUCAUACAUGAGGAUGAUCACCCAAGUGUGCCCUCUUGGGUGAUCCUAAGGAGAUGUGAUCAUGAAAUCUAAGGCUAUAAUAAUUCCUCAAGUGGAAUUUGACAUAUGCUUUCGUGAACUAGGGUAUGUCAAUUGAUUACAUAGUAAGAAAAUUUGUAACUCAAGGAUUAAAGAAAUAAUCUUAAGAGGUUGACAACAUAUAUCUCUUUAAAUUACACAUCAGGUUAUAGGGAGUUUGCAAUAGUGGAUAGUAAGUCAUAAACCUAAGUUAUAUCUCGUUGUAAUUUUAUAGGAUAUUGGAGUGCAAUUGAUUUUUUAUAGUAGGAUGUUGAAUCAAAUUUAAAUUAGAUUAUGAGGGAGCUUGUAUUUUCUUGGGUCCCAAUGGUCCCUAUUCAAGCUCUUAAUUCAUGAUGACACGAUUUUGAGGGUAUUUUUAGGUUUUUAAUUCAUAUGUGUACAUAAGGGCGUUUUAUUAAAAAUAAAAAAUUACACUUGAUCAUAUGAAUGGUCCUUUUGGAAUAGGCUAAUUAAUUAGAGCCCAAUGGGGUUGGUUAAUUAAUUAGGACCUAAGUGGGCUAGAUAAGUAACCUAUGCCCAAGCUAGUCUCAAGUUCCUUAAACUCACAAGGAAGCCUACAUAAACCUUAUAAAGCUUCACUUUUGCACUUUUGUCUUUUAGAAUUCAGAUGGAAACCCUAACCUGCCCUCUCUAGAGAGAAGAUUACCUUUCUCGGAUGUCUAGAUAUGUGAGAGUGAUAGGGCAAAAGGCUGCUUAGUUGUCAAGGCUUGCAAUUCACUUUACACGACUUCAUUAAAUUAGAAUUGAUUUGGGAAUAUUUAGAUCACAGGUAUGAUCUCUCUUCCAUCUAGAUCUAUAUUAUUUAUGGUGUCAUUGCCAUGUUUUUUUUUUCUCCAAUUAGAUCUAGAGAAGCCUAAGACUAAUAGCAUGCACCCUAAAUGAUCUAAGGCUUGAAAUGGAGAGAUCUAAGGGUUCCUAACAACAAAUGUACAAUUUUCUACUAUUGUGUUGGAGCAUGAAACAAUGGGUUGUUUCUUGGAUUUUCAUGAUAUGUAGUUGGAACUAAAGAAUAUACAAUAUCAUGUUGUACUUAUUCUUGUGGUCGGACAACUAGCCUAGUCUAUAUCACAAAAACUAGGUAAUGUUAGUGCACUUUGAGCAAGAAAUUGCAAGAUAAAAGUCAAUGAGCCUUUGAGAUAAAUGAGUAUUCUUUUUACUAAGAUACUCCUUUGUUGCAUUCUAAAAAUAUUGGCACACGUGAUUUACAACAUGUGUGAUGUUAGGCGGAUGAACGUAAGGUAUUAUAAGACCCCAAUAAUGCUACGGUAUUUAGUGGUGUUAACAACUUCUUGAUUGUCAUGUGGACUUGCCGCUUUGACUACAACCGGAGUAUUACAACGGCAUUUAGGUAUAAUCCAUUAGUUAAUUGAGAUAUCCCUAAUAUCUAUUGUAGUAAGAACAAGUUGGUUAUAAUUUAUAAAUAUUUAUUUAAAAUUUUAAAUCAUCCGUUCACCUCCACUCUGGGUGUUUCCUGUUAGACUUUCGGUUGUUAUUCAAUUGAUAUUAAAACAAUACCCAUUUUUCACAAGGCUAACUAAAAGUGAUCAUCACCAUGAUUUGCAUGAUUUUUAGAAUUGUUUCCAUCAUCGUCUUUAUCACCACUUUUCUCAGUCAUGCUCUCACAAACCAAAAAUCACCUAACAACCCUACAUUUCUCGCAUAGUAGAUUAAGGGCCAAGGUAAGAUUCGUUGGUUUAUGUCCUCUUCGACGGGUAUUCCCUUCCUUUCCAAUGGGUUCAAGGCUUACACAGAGUGUUAGACUUCCUUUUAAUCAAUAGUGUGUUCGGCAAUAAUAUGCUUUAGUUUGUAUUUGGUUGCCAAUUUUUGGGAGAACAUAUAGCCAUUUCUACACCCAGUCACCUUUCUAUGUGCCAUUUGACAUAACAACGGAUAAGGGUACUAGUAUCUCUCACAUUUCAUGUCCUUAAUUGAUGAUUACUACUCAAAAAGGGCUAUUUGAUAGCUUGUAAUUAACUCUUUUAAACACUUUUGAGUAGUAAUUAUUGCCCUUUAACCCAAUUAACAUAUUAAGGACCUUUGCAAUCACUUCUAAUCACUUUGUGUAAGUUUUGGUGUUUUUGUUAGUAAUUUGAUCACCAAAGCAAUCCAAGAUGGAGGAGAGUUAUUUGGAAUCCAUGGUAAAGCAAUAGAAAGCUCAGGAACAUGAAGAAUCAGAGAUUUGAAGCCUUAAAGUCCUUUGCCAUAACCAAUCCGGAUUGCAAGGAGGAGAAGUAAAGAGAGAAUCCACCUUGAAGCAUUCUUGAUGACAGUCAUUUCAGCCACUUUUGGAGUACUUCCUGAAGUCCAAUUUAUGCAUACUUUAUGUCGUUUCGAAGAUCGGGAAGUCAACAAUCCAAUGCUUGAAACGGUUCGCAAAUCGGAGUUGAAAUGAAGAAGUUAGAGCCAAUGGAAGCAGAUCACUCCAAGCUGAAGGCCAAUUUCGCAGGGCUGCGAAAUCAGCCUUUGGCUGCGAAAUCAGCCUUCGGCUGCGAAAUGAUUUCGCAGCCAUCUUGUUCAUCUGCGAAAUUUCGCAGCCAUUUUGUGCGCCUGCGAAAUUCUCCCGAGUGCUUCCAGAUAUUUGCGACCAUCGUUUUUUGUUAUUUUGCCUCAGAUAUUUGUUGUCUAAAUGCCAAUUCUCUCCUUGUAAUCCACCAAUUAGAUGAUUCCUUAGUUGUUGAGCAAGGAUGCAGGGGUAAACAACCUGAUAUGUAUUGUUUUGUAAUUUUCACUUUAAAAACGUCGGGGAACUUUCCCCAGGAGACCAUCUUUUGUAAAAUUUUACACUUAGUGAAAUACGAAAUAUCUUUUGCUUUCUUUUUCUCUCUACUAUUUUCUAUUUUCUUAGUAGCCAAACAUCCUUGGAGGAUGAAAUCCCCAAGGAUGAGAGGCUAAAACCUUUUAGUUUCUUGAAGUAAUGGAUGCCAUGUGAAGCUCCCGUGUCAGGAUGGAGAUUUCCAAGCCAUGAAUGUAAGUAGCUGAGCAUCAUAAAUGUUUUCAUUCAAAGUAAAGCUUUUAAUCCCUCUGACUUGCUUUGAAUGGCCAAUACUUGAUAACCUUUUGGUCUCAGUGGAUUCUUAUUGUUAGAUCCACUGACGUUCAUUAGUUAUCUCCUACGAGCCAUUGUAUUGCAAGUCGAGGAGAUGACCUAUAUCAUUAAAAGAGCAUUUAUGAGGUUCAGCUACCCUUUUUGUAAGUUUUGAAGGACUAAAACUCAGUUGUUAAACACAUACCGGUUCGGGAAGUAAGCAUCACCUUAGUUGCUUCCCCAACUCGAGGUGAAAAGUUCCAAAAUCUCCAUUUUUACACAGUGAGUUAAGCAUGGCUAUCCAAAGCUUUGAGAAACUUCUUUUUCCAUCUUUUAACCUAUUUUCAUGUUAGUUUAGUUUACAACGCCUUCAUCUUUUUAUGUUUUCAUCUUAAACUAAUUUUUAUUAAGAAAAGUUCACUCCAUCCUCCGAACUUCACCAGUUAAAGUAAAAACCCUUCCCAGUGUUCGAUCCUAGAGCCACUAUGCUAUAGUAGCUUUGCUACUUUAGUGUAAGGACGUUAGGUAUAAAUUUUGUUGAUACCCUUACAUGCCAAGCUACCAAGAGUCGGGUUAUCAAAUGGCGCCGUUGCCGGGGAAGGUGCUACUUCACUAUGAAUAUAUCAGCCGGAGGUAACUUGUGAGACUUCUCAUGAGUAAGGUGAAUUCUAUCUCAUUUUUCAUUUAUUAACCUUUUAUUUUAGUUUUAGAACAUUUUUAACUUAGUUUAGAUAAGUUUCUUUUAGCUUUUAACUUUCAUUUUUAGUUUAUUUUUCAUACUCUGUUUUUCCUUCCGCGUGCUCUGUUUUUUCUUCUUUCUCUUUGUUUUGUUUGUUUACUUUGUUCCAGCUGAAUCCGUGCAUGCCCUAUUGGAUUAGAGACCAAGAGGGAAGGUUAGUGCNNNNNNNNNNNNNNNNNNNNNNNNNNNNNNNNNNNNNNNNNNNNNNNNNNNNNNNNNNNNNNNNNNNNNNNNNNNNNNNNNNNNNNNNNNNNNNNNNNNNNNNNNNNNNNNNNNNNNNNNNNNNNNNNNNNNNNNNNNNNNNNNNNNNNNNNNNNNNNNNNNNNNNNNNNNNNNNNNNNNNNNNNNNNNNNNNNNNNNNNNNNNNNNNNNNNNNNNNNNNNNNNNNNNNNNNNNNNNNNNNNNNNNNNNNNNNNNNNNNNNNNNNNNNNNNNNNNNNNNNNNNNNNNNNNNNNNNNNNNNNNNNNNNNNNNNNNNNNNNNNNNNNNNNNNNNNNNNNNNNNNNNNNNNNNNNNNNNNNNNNNNNNNNNNNNNNNNNNNNNNNNNNNNNNNNNNNNNNNNNNNNNNNNNNNNNNNNNNNNNNNNNNNNNNNNNNNNNNNNNNNNNNNNNNNNNNNNNNNNNNNNNNNNNNNNNNNNNNNNNNNNNNNNNNNNNNNNNNNNNNNNNNNNNNNNNNNNNNNNNNNNNNNNNNNNNNNNNNNNNNNNNNNNNNNNNNNNNNNNNNNNNNNNNNNNNNNNNNNNNNNNNNNNNNNNNNNNNNNNNNNNNNNNNNNNNNNNNNNNNNNNNNNNNNNNNNNNNNNNNNNNNNNNNNNNNNNNNNNNNNNNNNNNNNNNNNNNNNNNNNNNNNNNNNNNNNNNNNNNNNNNNNNNNNNNNNNNNNNNNNNNNNNNNNNNNNNNNNNNNNNNNNNNNNNNNNNNNNNNNNNNNNNNNNNNNNNNNNNNNNNNNNNNNNNNNNNNNNNNNNNNNNNNNNNNNNNNNNNNNNNNNNNNNNNNNNNNNNNNNNNNNNNNNNNNNNNNNNNNNNNNNNNNNNNNNNNNNNNNNNNNNNNNNNNNNNNNNNNNNNNNNNNNNNNNNNNNNNNNNNNNNNNNNNNNNNNNNNNNNNNNNNNNNNNNNNNNNNNNNNNNNNNNNNNNNNNNNNNNNNNNNNNNNNNNNNNNNNNNNNNNNNNNNNNNNNNNNNNNNNNNNNNNNNNNNNNNNNNNNNNNNNNNNNNNNNNNNNNNNNNNNNNNNNNNNNNNNNNNNNNNNNNNNNNNNNNNNNNNNNNNNNNNNNNNNNNNNNNNNNNNNNNNNNNNNNNNNNNNNNNNNNNNNNNNNNNNNNNNNNNNNNNNNNNNNNNNNNNNNNNNNNNNNNNNNNNNNNNNNNNNNNNNNNNNNNNNNNNNNNNNNNNNNNNNNNNNNNNNNNNNNNNNNNNNNNNNNNNNNNNNNNNNNNNNNNNNNNNNNNNNNNNNNNNNNNNNNNNNNNNNNNNNNNNNNNNNNNNNNNNNNNNNNNNNNNNNNNNNNNNNNNNNNNNNNNNNNNNNNNNNNNNNNNNNNNNNNNNNNNNNNNNNNNNNNNNNNNNNNNNNNNNNNNNNNNNNNNNNNNNNNNNNNNNNNNNNNNNNNNNNNNNNNNNNNNNNNNNNNNNNNNNNNNNNNNNNNNNNNNNNNNNNNNNNNNNNNNNNNNNNNNNNNNNNNNNNNNNNNNNNNNNNNNNNNNNNNNNNNNNNNNNNNNNNNNNNNNNNNNNNNNNNNNNNNNNNNNNNNNNNNNNNNNNNNNNNNNNNNNNNNNNNNNNNNNNNNNNNNNNNNNNNNNNNNNNNNNNNNNNNNNNNNNNNNNNNNNNNNNNNNNNNNNNNNNNNNNNNNNNNNNNNNNNNNNNNNNNNNNNNNNNNNNNNNNNNNNNNNNNNNNNNNNNNNNNNNNNNNNNNNNNNNNNNNNNNNNNNNNNNNNNNNNNNNNNNNNNNNNNNNNNNNNNNNNNNNNNNNNNNNNNNNNNNNNNNNNNNNNNNNNNNNNNNNNNNNNNNNNNNNNNNNNNNNNNNNNNNNNNNNNNNNNNNNNNNNNNNNNNNNNNNNNNNNNNNNNNNNNNNNNNNNNNNNNNNNNNNNNNNNNNNNNNNNNNNNNNNNNNNNNNNNNNNNNNNNNNNNNNNNNNNNNNNNNNNNNNNNNNNNNNNNNNNNNNNNNNNNNNNNNNNNNNNNNNNNNNNNNNNNNNNNNNNNNNNNNNNNNNNNNNNNNNNNNNNNNNNNNNNNNNNNNNNNNNNNNNNNNNNNNNNNNNNNNNNNNNNNNNNNNNNNNNNNNNNNNNNNNNNNNNNNNNNNNNNNNNNNNNNNNNNNNNNNNNNNNNNNNNNNNNNNNNNNNNNNNNNNNNNNNNNNNNNNNNNNNNNNNNNNNNNNNNNNNNNNNNNNNNNNNNNNNNNNNNNNNNNNNNNNNNNNNNNNNNNNNNNNNNNNNNNNNNNNNNNNNNNNNNNNNNNNNNNNNNNNNNNNNNNNNNNNNNNNNNNNNNNNNNNNNNNNNNNNNNNNNNNNNNNNNNNNNNNNNNNNNNNNNNNNNNNNNNNNNNNNNNNNNNNNNNNNNNNNNNNNNNNNNNNNNNNNNNNNNNNNNNNNNNNNNNNNNNNNNNNNNNNNNNNNNNNNNNNNNNNNNNNNNNNNNNNNNNNNNNNNNNNNNNNNNNNNNNNNNNNNNNNNNNNNNNNNNNNNNNNNNNNNNNNNNNNNNNNNNNNNNNNNNNNNNNNNNNNNNNNNNNNNNNNNNNNNNNNNNNNNNNNNNNNNNNNNNNNNNNNNNNNNNNNNNNNNNNNNNNNNNNNNNNNNNNNNNNNNNNNNNNNNNNNNNNNNNNNNNNNNNNNNNNNNNNNNNNNNNNNNNNNNNNNNNNNNNNNNNNNNNNNNNNNNNNNNNNNNNNNNNNNNNNNNNNNNNNNNNNNNNNNNNNNNNNNNNNNNNNNNNNNNNNNNNNNNNNNNNNNNNNNNNNNNNNNNNNNNNNNNNNNNNNNNNNNNNNNNNNNNNNNNNNNNNNNNNNNNNNNNNNNNNNNNNNNNNNNNNNNNNNNNNNNNNNNNNNNNNNNNNNNNNNNNNNNNNNNNNNNNNNNNNNNNNNNNNNNNNNNNNNNNNNNNNNNNNNNNNNNNNNNNNNNNNNNNNNNNNNNNNNNNNNNNNNNNNNNNNNNNNNNNNNNNNNNNNNNNNNNNNNNNNNNNNNNNNNNNNNNNNNNNNNNNNNNNNNNNNNNNNNNNNNNNNNNNNNNNNNNNNNNNNNNNNNNNNNNNNNNNNNNNNNNNNNNNNNNNNNNNNNNNNNNNNNNNNNNNNNNNNNNNNNNNNNNNNNNNNNNNNNNNNNNNNNNNNNNNNNNNNNNNNNNNNNNNNNNNNNNNNNNNNNNNNNNNNNNNNNNNNNNNNNNNNNNNNNNNNNNNNNNNNNNNNNNNNNNNNNNNNNNNNNNNNNNNNNNNNNNNNNNNNNNNNNNNNNNNNNNNNNNNNNNNNNNNNNNNNNNNNNNNNNNNNNNNNNNNNNNNNNNNNNNNNNNNNNNNNNNNNNNNNNNNNNNNNNNNNNNNNNNNNNNNNNNNNNNNNNNNNNNNNNNNNNNNNNNNNNNNNNNNNNNNNNNNNNNNNNNNNNNNNNNNNNNNNNNNNNNNNNNNNNNNNNNNNNNNNNNNNNNNNNNNNNNNNNNNNNNNNNNNNNNNNNNNNNNNNNNNNNNNNNNNNNNNNNNNNNNNNNNNNNNNNNNNNNNNNNNNNNNNNNNNNNNNNNNNNNNNNNNNNNNNNNNNNNNNNNNNNNNNNNNNNNNNNNNNNNNNNNNNNNNNNNNNNNNNNNNNNNNNNNNNNNNNNNNNNNNNGCUGCGAAAUGGGCUGCGAAAAGGGCCCUCCUCUGCGAAAAUGCCCUUUCUCUGCGAAAUCCGCCCUCGGCUGCGAAAAUUUAAGUGACCCUUGGUAUCCAAUUUUUAACGGUAUAAAUUCCAAAUUUCUAAUAUAACCGGUCAUUUGAACUUUAAAUAGUACCAGAGAAGACCCAAAAACAGAGCAACCUUCCAUCUUCUCCUUCUCGCCUGAACCUCGGCCGCGCGCACCUCCGCUCAUCUCCGCCGGCCCGCCAUGGCAAGAACCCGAGGAGCUAAGUCCUCCUCCCCGUCAAGCCGUACGAGGGUUUCAUCAAAGACCCCUGUCCAAGGCUCCACAUCUGAGCCUCCGCGACCACCGCGCGUCCCACCUCCAGUUGAGGGCGCACCAAUGAGCCCUCCGGUCAGGCGCUAUCAUACACGGGCGAGUAGCCAGCCACCCAAGAAGAAAGCUAAGGUAUCUGAGCCAACGUUAAUCGAUUUAUCAGAGCCAGAAGAGCCAGCUACCGAGCCUCAGCCGUCUCCGCCGUCUCGGCCGUCUCGGCCUUCUCGGCCAUCUCAGCCGUCUCAGCCAGCUUUAGAGUCUCCGCCAUCUCGGCCAGCUUCAGGGUCUCGGCCGUCUCAGCCGUCUCGGCCAUCUCAGCCGUCUCAGCCAGCUUCAGAGCCUCAGUCGUCUCAGCCGCCGCCUUCAGAUUCUCAGAUCCCCUCCGGCAUGACUCCUGAGAUGAUUAUCAAGCGCCCCAUGCUCACUCAGCCGCCCAUAGAGGGUAAUUUAGAUUGCAGGGCUAGGCCUUUCCACUCUGAGCUCUGUUUUGACGUGGCCACUUUCAGACUUCAGCCCCAGCUCAGGGACUCCUUCCAUCUGCUCCGGAGGUAUCAUAUGGAACAAUUGCUUACUCCAAGGGAUUUCUUUUAUCCCCGUGUGGCAAUGGAUUUUUACCAAUCCAUGACCACACACCAUGUCCGCGAUCCUACUGUCAUCCACUUCACCAUAGACGGACGUCAUGGUAUUCUGGGAGCUAGGCACAUAGCAGAGGCAUUGCGCAUUCCCUACGAGCCAGCUAGGCCAGAGGAUUAUCGAGUCUGGACUAAUCCUUCCCCGAGCGACAUAGUUCGUAUUCUGUCCAGAGGGGCAUCCACAGGCCAGUAUCUACAGAGGAAGGAGCUCCCUCCUAGCAUGUUUUUCAUAGAUGCUCUCCUCCGCCACAAUAUCUUUCCACUACAGCACUGGGUGCAGAGGCGAGGAGCUUUGCUGGAGGCAUUAUAUCGGAUAUCUGAGGGAUUCUUCUUUGGCCCUCAUCAUCUCAUUAUGGCCGCCCUUCUAUAUUUUGAAGAGAAGGUCCAUCAGAAGAAGCUGCUCAGAGCUGAUGCCAUUCCUCUGCUAUUCCCCAGAUUGUUAUGUCAGAUUUUGGAACACUUGGGCUACCCAACUGAGCCUCAAUUUGAGCGCAAACGGAUUUGUCGAGAGAUAUUCACUCUUGACAAAUGGACGAAUAUGACAGCCUAUAGUGCAGAGCCAGGGGCCCCAGUUGGAGUAGAGCAUCCAGAGAUUCCACAUGCAGAGCAGCCACAGGAGCUACAGCCCAUUGAGACACCAGCUGACACGAGAGCACCUGCCCCUGCAGUGCCCUCCGCAGAGCCCAUACCUGAGGUUGCUCCCUCUGCUUCUCCUGCCACACCACAGCCUUCCCCUGUUUUUUCAGCCACAUCACAGCCCUCCUCUUCAGCAGAGCCAAGGACUACCAUAUCCAUUUCCGAGUACAGAGCUCUAUGUCACACUUUGCAGACAUUGACCACUUCACAGAGCACUCUUACUCAGGAGAUGGCAGCUCUUCGUGCUCAUCAGGAGCAAAUUAUUGCUACUCAGACUCAGCAUACUGCCAUUCUGAGGCAAAUUCAGAGCCAUCUGGGUAUUCCAUCAGCCCCUCAGCACCAGAUGCCUGCCCCCUUAGAGCCCACAGAGCCGACUCCAGGAGACACACAGACAUCCACCUGAGCCAUUAUCUUCACAUCAUCAGCACCCAUCUACUUGAUCAUUUCCAUAGUUUACUUUAUGUAUUUUCUUUAUGCACUUUCUUAUUAUAGUAGCACUUGCAAUCCUAUGCUUUUGUUAUUAUAUAUUGUGGGAUUGGUUGUAUUACUUGUUAUCAUCUUUAAUGUACUUUCAUGAAGUAAUACAACUCUAUCAUUUUUUGCAUACUCUUGGUAUUAUUUUAUUUUUAUUCCUCUACUCAUAUCUAUUUUCUUUUUGAAACAUGUGGUUUCUCCUUGUCUACUCAAAUUACAUCCACUCAGGAGGCACCACUUCCUCCCUGUAAUUUCAAUCGCUCAUACCACAUUGAGGACAAUGCUCAGCUUGGUUGGGGGGAGACAGUUGAGGAAGGAAGUUUUUUUUAUUAUUAUUAGUGUUAAUACUAAAUUUUUUGGUAAUUUAGGUUACUUUUGUUUAAUUUUAAAAUUUUUCUCUAUGGUUGUUAAAGAUAAUUUCUCAAAAAUAAAAUAGGAUAAGUCGAGUUUUAACUUAAUUAUUUAAGUCUUUGAGUUUGUUUUAUGCUUUCAAAGUUGAUAAUCUAUUAAAGCUCUCUUUGUUUUCGAACUUAUUUCUUCCAUUUCAAGCUUUACACACACAGUGCACAUUAGAUCCCGGAUAUAUGAUGUAAAACUUUCUCACCUUCUAAGCUUAGGAAAAUUUUGACUUGGUUCAUUACUUAACCUCUUUUUUAAUAGUGUUGGGACACCUCAAAAAGACCAAUGAGUCUUAGAAAAAAAAAAAAAAAAAAAAAAAAAAAAAAAAAAAAAAAAGAGAAAAAGAAAAAGAAAAAGAGAAUAAGCUUCUAUUCUUUCCUUGAAGCCUAAGCAUGAUCCGAAGGGGUGGCGAAAGCCUUUAAAACCCGAUGCCCUAAACCUUGAUUGGUUGGGAGUCAUCGAUCCUCUGCUUGCUACAUAGGUGAAUUGGUUAAAGUUUAGUGAGUAAAAAGAAUUGUGAAUAAGAAGGUGCGUUCCUAACCUAUUAAGAGUUGGUUAAUUUUGCCUUUGUUCGAGAAAAGCUUAGGUUGGAGGGUGAGGAUAGUUGUAUAUACUAUAUCCGGAGCCUAAUCUCGUUAACACUUAGCUCAUUAUGGAAGAGUUUGAUUUGGAGCCUUGAGAGUAGAGAUUCUUUUGACACUUAAUUGCAUAAUCUCCACUCUUUGUACUUUUUGUUUAAGUUUUUAGCUUUGACAACUCCUAUUGCAUUUUGAAUCUUCAUAUCUUUAGUUCACCAUGUGAGAUGUGUUUUGAUAUCGGUCAUGCCACUCAAUUAUUUUUUUUUUGAAUGAUUUGCAUGACCUCUUUUUUGUUUACCACUUUGUUUGCUUAGUUUUUCUUUCCUUAUUUGCUAAGGGACUAGCAAUAUGUCGGUUGGGGGGAGUGAUUACUACUCAAAAAGGGCUAUUUGAUAGCUUGUAAUUAACUCUUUUAAACACUUUUGAGUAGUAAUUAUUGCCCUUUAACCCAAUUAACAUAUUAAGGACCUUUGCAAUCACUUCUAAUCACUUUGUGUAAGUUUUGGUGUUUUUGUUAGUAAUUUGAUCACCAAAGCAAUCCAAGAUGGAGGAGAGUUAUUUGGAAUCCAUGGUAAAGCAAUAGAAAGCUCAGGAACAUGAAGAAUCAGAGAUUUGAAGCCUUAAAGUCCUUUGCCAUAACCAAUCCGGAUUGCAAGGAGGAGAAGUAAAGAGAGAAUCCACCUUGAAGCAUUCUUGAUGACAGUCAUUUCAGCCACUUUUGGAGUACUUCCUGAAGUCCAAUUUAUGCAUACUUUAUGUCGUUUCGAAGAUCGGGAAGUCAACAAUCCAAUGCUUGAAACGGUUCGCAAAUCGGAGUUGAAAUGAAGAAGUUAGAGCCAAUGGAAGCAGAUCACUCCAAGCUGAAGGCCAAUUUCGCAGGGCUGCGAAAUCAGCCUUUGGCUGCGAAAUCAGCCUUCGGCUGCGAAAUGAUUUCGCAGCCAUCUUGUUCAUCUGCGAAAUUUCGCAGCCAUUUUGUGCGCCUGCGAAAUUCUCCCGAGUGCUUCCAGAUAUUUGCGACCAUCGUUUUUUGUUAUUUUGCCUCAGAUAUUUGUUGUCUAAAUGCCAAUUCUCUCCUUGUAAUCCACCAAUUAGAUGAUUCCUUAGUUGUUGAGCAAGGAUGCAGGGGUAAACAACCUGAUAUGUAUUGUUUUGUAAUUUUCACUUUAAAAACGUCGGGGAACUUUCCCCAGGAGACCAUCUUUUGUAAAAUUUUACACUUAGUGAAAUACGAAAUAUCUUUUGCUUUCUUUUUCUCUCUACUAUUUUCUAUUUUCUUAGUAGCCAAACAUCCUUGGAGGAUGAAAUCCCCAAGGAUGAGAGGCUAAAACCUUUUAGUUUCUUGAAGUAAUGGAUGCCAUGUGAAGCUCCCGUGUCAGGAUGGAGAUUUCCAAGCCAUGAAUGUAAGUAGCUGAGCAUCAUAAAUGUUUUCAUUCAAAGUAAAGCUUUUAAUCCCUCUGACUUGCUUUGAAUGGCCAAUACUUGAUAACCUUUUGGUCUCAGUGGAUUCUUAUUGUUAGAUCCACUGACGUUCAUUAGUUAUCUCCUACGAGCCAUUGUAUUGCAAGUCGAGGAGAUGACCUAUAUCAUUAAAAGAGCAUUUAUGAGGUUCAGCUACCCUUUUUGUAAGUUUUGAAGGACUAAAACUCAGUUGUUAAACACAUACCGGUUCGGGAAGUAAGCAUCACCUUAGUUGCUUCCCCAACUCGAGGUGAAAAGUUCCAAAAUCUCCAUUUUUACACAGUGAGUUAAGCAUGGCUAUCCAAAGCUUUGAGAAACUUCUUUUUCCAUCUUUUAACCUAUUUUCAUGUUAGUUUAGUUUACAACGCCUUCAUCUUUUUAUGUUUUCAUCUUAAACUAAUUUUUAUUAAGAAAAGUUCACUCCAUCCUCCGAACUUCACCAGUUAAAGUAAAAACCCUUCCCAGUGUUCGAUCCUAGAGCCACUAUGCUAUAGUAGCUUUGCUACUUUAGUGUAAGGACGUUAGGUAUAAAUUUUGUUGAUACCCUUACAUGCCAAGCUACCAAGAGUCGGGUUAUCAAUUGAUAUCAAUUAUACAAGCUAUGUGACCCUUAGGCUCAUUAUUAACUUUAGGACUGCCCAAAAGCAAAUUGUCCCUUAACAUUUUUCCUAUUCUUCAAUGUUGUUCAACAUUUCAGGAACCCGAGAAAAGGCGCACCGAAGUAGUCUUGAAGAUGAAGUGCUAAGCAGAGGCAACCCCAUCUCACUUAAGCAAUGAUUUGGGCGUAGGUCUCUUCCCAAUACAGGACUUUGGGGAUGAGCAUCCAUGCAGGUAAGUAUACGGACAAUGAUAGCAUUGACAAGAGCAUUCCAAGUUCACAAAGAAUACCUGAAAUAGGGCAGCCAUCCCCGAAUUUUCCUUUCCCCUCCACAUGAGAGCCAAACGCUAGUUAAUAAGCUAUGUAAACGACUCGGUGCCAAAUGAAAAAGGAAAAAGGUUGGAUCAGAUUUUUCUUAGGUUACAUUUGGUUGAUGAGAUAAGAUAGGAUAUGAUAUGUAUAUUUUAGGAUAUUAUAUCCCAUUGGAUAGGAUAUACAUACCUUAGGAUAUAAUUUCCAAUGGAUUAUGAUAUCAUUGGAUAUACAUAUUUUACAAACAUGAUAUUUUAAAGUAGCACAUCUUAUACCAUAUUAUAUUUUUAUUUAAUUUAUGAAAUAAAAUUCUAUUAUAUUUAAAUAUUUUCAAUUUAAAAAAAAUGAAAUUUUUGUUAUGUUUAACAAUAUUCAUGAUUAAAUUAUUUGAACUUUAUAAAUAAAUUUUUUAUAUUAUAUUAUUUAAUAUAUAAAAAUAAUUUAUAUAUCAUAUAUUAAUAUUAUUUUAUAAAUAUUUUUUUUAGUUUUUCCUUUUUAAUCAUAAAUUUAAUUUAUAAUAACAAAUUAUUUUGUUAAAUGAGUAUUUUAAAAAGUAAAAAAAUGAUAAAAAAUAAAUUUAUCAUACAUGGGAUAUAUAAUCUCAUAUUUUACCAUGUGAUUAACAUAUCCCAUGUAGAGGGGAUAAAAAAAAAAAAAAAAAAAAAAAAAAAGAGGUGAAUAAUAUUUUUCAUCACUUAUCUUAUCCCAUGUUUGGUUGAACAUAAGAUAAGAUAAAUGAUGAGAUAAUUUAUCAUCUCAUCACCAACCAAACAUGAUAUAGAAUAUAAUAUCUCCUCUCUUAUCUUAUUCCAUACUAUAUCUAUCCAACUAAACAUGAGUUUAGGGAAUUCUAACUUGAUCAUCAAUGGGGUUGGGAGCUGCCGUAUUUGACUCCCAAGAUUUAUUUUGGUCAUAUCAUAUGUGGAUUUUAGGUACAUUUUGUCAGUCUCUGGAUCCCUUUUUCCUUUCAAAAUGAUCUAAUGAUGCUCACUUACUGUAAGCUUUGUAUUCAAAGAGUUUAAUAUUCUAUUAUUGUCGUGCAAUCCAUGCUAAUUUACUAUAAGCUUUGUAUUGGAUUCUUUGUCUUCUCAAUAUCAGAUGGAACCCUUUUGAGAGUCUUGGUCUGACUACGUCACAAGAUGGGUAAUUUUUUAUUUGAGGAAAAUAAAUAUAAAAAUAUUCUUAAUUUCAAAAGCUGAUAAUUUUGGAUCAAACUGUACACAUAAAUUUCACAAGACUUUCGGUUGUUAUUGAAGUGGUAUUAAAGCAAUACCCGUUUUUCUCAAGGCUAUCUAAAAGUGAUCAUCACCAUAAUUUGCAUGAUUUUUGAAAUUGUUUCCAUCAUCAUCCUUAUCACCACUUUUCUCAGUUAUGCUCUCACAAACCAAAAAUCACCUAACAACCCUACAUUUCUCACAUCGGAGAUUAAGAGUCUUGAUAAGAUUCGUUGGUUUAUCUCCUCUACGGCUAUUCCCUUCCUGUUCAAUGGGUUCAAGGCUUAUGGAGAGCGUUAGACUUCCUUUUCAUCAAUGGUGUGUUUAGCAAUAAUAUGUUUUAGGUCGUAUUUGGCUGCCAUUUUUGGGAGAACAUAUAGCCAUUUCUGCACCCAGUCACCGUUUUAUGUGUCAUUUGACAUGACAAUGGAUAAGGGUAUUAAUAUCUCUCAUAUUUCAUGUCCUCAAUAUCAAUUAUACAAGUUAUGUCAACCUUAUGAGCAUUAUUAGCUUUAGGACUACCCAGAAGCAAAUCGUCUCUAACAUUUUUCCUACUCUUAGUGUUGGUCAAAAUUUCAGGAACCCGAAAAAAGGGGCAACCAAGGAGUAGUCUUGAAGAUGGAGUGCUAAGCAGAGGCAACCCCAUCUCACUUAAGUGAUUUGGACGUAGGUCUCUCCCCAAUACAGGACCUUGGGGAUGAGCAUCCAUGCAGGUAAGUAUACGGACAGUGAUAGCAUUGACGAGCAUUCCAAGUUCACAAAGAAUACCUGGAAUAGGGCAGCUGUCCCCGAAUUUUCCCUUCCUCUCCACAUGAGAGCCAAACGCUAGUUAUUAAGCUAUAUCAAUGACUCAGUACCAAAUGAAAAACAAAAAAGGUUGGAUCUUAUUUUCCUUAGGGAAUUCUAACUUGAUCAUCAGAUGGGAAUUCUAACUUGACUCCCAAGGUUUAUUUUGGUCAUAUCAUAUGUGGAUUUUAGGUACAUUUUGCCGGUCUCCGGAUCCCUUUGCCUUUCAAAACACCUGAUGAUGCUCACUUACUGUAAGCUUUGUAUUCAAAGAGUUUAAUAUUCUAUUAUUGCAGUGCAAUCCAUGCUAACUUACUAAAAGCUUUGUAUUGGAUUCUUUGUCUUCCCAAUAUCAGAUGGAACCCUUUUUAGAGCCUUGGUCUGACUACGUCACAAGAUGGUAAUUUUUUCUUAGAGGAAAAUAAAUAUAAAAAUAUUCUUAAUUUGAAAAGCUGUUAAUUUUGGAGCAAACUGUAUACACAAAUGUCACGAAAAUUUUAUCAAAUUGAGGAACCACAUCUUUUAAAAAAAUAAUUUAAUAAUAAUUUAUUCCACUAAAAAAUUUAAUGUCUAACAAACAUGUGAGAAAAUUACUCCACAAAUAUAUUAUUUAUUUGGGAUAUUAUUUAUAUAUAAUUCCUAUCAAGCAAUUGGUUCGCAUUUUUUCCUUAUCGUAAGGGAGUUGAAUUAGGCUUAUGUCCAAGCUAAUCUAAAUGCUCCAAUUGGAUUGCAUUGAAGGAUUUGUUAAUCAAACCCAGUUGAGUUUGCAAUAAAAGUAGUUUUUUUUAAUUCUUUUUUAAAAUCAAAAUCUCUUUUAAAAAUAUUUGUUUCUUACCGUAUCAAUAUUUAUGUAUUACCUUUUUCUUUUAUUUCUUUUGUCUUGUCAAAAUCACAUUUAUUGAUUAUAAUUUUAAUUUCAAGGUUAAAGCCAUAGCAGUCAAAUGUGGUUGUAAUCAUAAAAUUAAAUGUAAUAAUAAAGUUAAACUAUAGUUAGUAAGAGUCCUUUUUACAGGAUGGAUAUUGGUGUUGUUGGUUGUGAAACCUAAAUUAGUUUUGUUAUAUUUUAUUCGAGAUGUCGGGAUUGAAUGAUGAGUUUGCCCCUGUCAUAUAUUUAACACUAUAUUAUGAUUUAGGUUUUUUUUAGAGAAUGUGACCGUCAUUGAGAGGAGCUUUUGAGAAUUUCAUCAUUGUAACCCUUAUUUUCUUUUGAUUAAUGGAUUGUUGAGUACUGAUGCCCUUUAUGGAUGUAGGGGUCACAUAGAUGAUUAAACAACGUUAAAACUUUGUAUUUUUCUUUAGUUUUUUGCUUGUUGGUUUUGGUUAAUAGUUAUGAAAUGAGAAAUAAGAAGUGCAUGCUAAUGUUGAAUGAAACACUAAUAUUUUAAAAAGGAAGGUAGAUUUAGAUUUUUUUGGUCAAAAGAAGGAACAUGUUUAAUCAUGACGUGACCGGCUUUUAGUUCAUCAAGACAAUAGUUGGACAAUUUAUUCAUAAUACAACAAGUGCAUCUAUCCAAUGCUUCCCCUCACGUGGUCUUACUCUGCAGGAAAUGGAUUAUAAGGAAUGGGAAUUAAGUGCAGAUUUUGUUUCCUUCUAACUGAUAAGCUGAUUAUCUCAGUCAUGUCGAGAUCCUCUGGCUUGAUUCCAGUGGGGAGUUUCCAAUCAAAAUGGUAAAUAAAAUUUGCCAAUGAUAGCUCAACGCUAGGUAUAGCGAAGGACAUGUCCGGACACAUCCUCCUUCCAGCACCAAACGGGAUAAAUUCAAAGUCAGUACCCUUGUAAUCAAGCCAACUGUCAAGGAAUCUCUCUGGAUUAAAUCUCUCAGGUUCGGUCCAAGAAUCAGGAUCUCGGCCAAUGGCUCAGGCAUUAUCAAUGACUCUAGUCUUCACAGGUAUCUCAUAUCCAUUAAUCUCGCACCUCUCCCUACAUUCCCUUGGAAGCAACAAAGGAGCAGGAGGGUGUAGCCUCAAGGUUUCCUUGACUACUGCUUUUAUGAAUUUUAAUUCAUGAAUGCCGGAUUCUUCCACAGUCCCUUUUCCAGCAAAUUCCCGCCUUACUCUUGUGCCUUUUCCAUCACUCUGGGGUGUCUUAUCAGUUCAGUCAUUGCCCACUCUCCAACUGUUGAUGAAGUCUCGCCUGCAACCACUGAACAUGUCCUGAAAGAGGAUUAAUGAGCUUGAUUAUUCCACCAUUGAUGGUCUCUUUAGAGAAUCAGUUUUUGCUUUUUAAUUGCACUUGAAGUAAAUCUAUUCCUGAUUUUCAUUAUGAUCAGAAAUAUUUCUAUUUUAUUGCCUAAGUGGAUGAAGUAUUUUCUUCUUUCCUUAUGAUUUUUUAUAAUGGAUUAGAUUUUUGGGAUUAAAUGAUAUUGUGAUAGAACAAAAGUUAAAAGUACUAACCAAUAUGACUGCUUUGACGUUGUUUUCAGUUAAGGGAAAUUUAAGAUCACCAUCCUCUUGAAUCUUUAAGAAAGUAUCAACAAGAUCUUCUGCUUCUAACUUGCCCCUCUUGGUCGUCAUGCUCUCUUUGUGCUCCUUAACAAUAUUUUGAAGUAUUCUAUCAACCCUCUCAUGCAGCUUCUCAAGUUUACUCCUUAUUCCAGUGACUUGAUCAACUCAUUUUACAGAAGGGAAAACAUCUGCAGCGCAGAAACCUGUUGCCAGCUCUGCCAUCUCUGUCACAGCCCCUAUGAAUGAAUCUUGGUCUUUGCAUAUUUUCCCAAAAGCCGCUCUUGCUAUAAUGGCAACGUCACAGAAGAUAUCUCCUCGCUAAGAUUGAUUGUGGAUCCUGAAUGUGAAGCGAUCCUUUUGAUGACAUUUGACACUUCCUCUUCCCUGAUCAAUUGGAAGGACUUAACACGCUUGGCGCUUAGAAGCUCAGUGGCACAUAGUUUUCGUACUUGUCUCCAAUAGUCACUGUACGGGGCAAAGCCAAUGUUAGUAGAACCAUAUGAUACGAUGCUGGUCACCAAUAUAUUAGGCCUUUGGGCAAAACUGACGUCGUCUGUUUUCAUAAACUCUUUGGCAAUUUCUGGGGAUGAAACCACAAGGGUGGAAACUGUAAGCUGAAUACACGUUCACACGUUCUCACUUCAUGAUGUGGUCCAGCACUUUGACCACGUCCUCCACCAUCUCUCUUCCGCUACGGUUAAGGAGCACAUUCCAGCAACUGCUCAACGUGGUGGCAAGAACAACGUGGUAUGAUGGAAGCCACGGUUAUAAAGAUUUUAAAAAGAAAAAUGGUCCUAAACUCGUCUGUUGUUUUUAUCUUCAGAAACACCAUCUAAACAAAGGGAGAUCAGAGUUUGGAAAUCAAGUUUUUGAAACCGACUACAAUGGCUGGAGGUAAGUAGACUAUUCUUAGGCUUUUUCAGUUUUGAUUCAUGUUGCAAAUUCAUUGGAAUCAUAUAUAUAUAUAGCAUGUAAACAACUUACAUUUGGUAUCAGAGCACGUUAAAUCUUACCUCUGUUUUGUAUUAAUUCUGAAUGAAAAUUCUUGUUAUUAUGAUCUCUCUAAAUUAUUUAAACAAUGGUUGCUUGAGGCAAUCCAAAGGGUUGGCGUAAUUCUUUCAGAAAAAGCCAUUACAGGCGUUCAACAGGCAGCCAUUUUCGGGAGCUUCAGCGGCGCUGUUAAGGCGCCAUUGGAGACACCAUUGGGAGUGCAUUUUAGGGCUGCAACUAGCGCCAUUUCAGGCGCCAUACCAGCCCCGUUCAGGCACCACUUGCAGCACCAUUGAAAGUCCAUUUUUUGGGGUUGCAACAAGUCCAUUUCAAGCGCCAUACCAGCCCCGUUCAGGCACCACAUGUAGCACCAUUGAAAGUCCAUUUUUUGGGGCUGCAACCAGUCCAUUUUCAGGCGCCAUACCAGCCUCAUUCAGGCACCACAUGCAGCACCAUUGAAAGUCCAUUUUCUGGGGCUGUAACCAGUCCAUUUUAGGCGCCAUACCAGCACCGUUUCAGGCAUCUUUUCGCGCCGGCAAGAGGCGCCCUUUGGGAGUGCUGUUCAGGCGCUAUUCGCAGCGGCUGGAAGUCACCAAUGACGACUUACUUGCUGGUGAUGUUGGUAGCCGGAAGACACCCGUGAGGCUCUUUAUGCCUUUGAUGCAGGCGGCUCCAUGGUUAGCUGGUGAUGAAGCAAUCCACAAGGGUGGCGGUAAAUUAGAACCUAGAGAGAGAAUGGGUUCUAUUAAGUGUCGGGCCAUGUAUUAAAUGGGAAAUUUGGGCCUUGGUAUAAGAGGCUAUUGGGCUCAUUAAGCUCAAUGCAUGCCAAUAGCCCAUUUUACAAAAUUAUGGGCUUUAAGUUUUGGUUCAUUGAAUGAUGGUUAAAAUUGGGCCAGUUUAGGCCCUCUUUGGCCCGAUUUGAAUUUUUAUUUUAAUUUUAUUGGGCAUGGAAUUGAUUGUGUUUUAUUUGGAUUUAGGCAUUCAUUCAUAAUCUGAAACCUUUAAUUUAUUUUUUAAAUUAUCAUGUAAAUUUUAUACAUGCAAAAUAAAUAAUUAUAUAUUGUUUUAUAUGUUUGUAGCCUAAAUUAAAGUUGUAUCUCUUAAUGCAUGCAAUUAUUGCCUGAAUUUGAGUUAGAUAUAUUAAAAUUAUAUCAUAUAGUUUUAAUGUCUAGUGAAACCAUAUGAUUUUUUUAAAUAAUUAAGGAAUAGCCACAACAUCCUUAAUUAUAUAAAAAUUAUAUAUUAAGUAAAUAAGGAUCGCAUUAUGGAUAUUAAUUGUAAUUAAUUAUAUAAAUAUGAUGAUUUUACCCCACAGGGUUUUCAUUAUGUUUAUAUAAUUAAUUAGGAUAAAAUAUUAAAAUUAAUUUUUCCUAAUUUACCCAUAGGAGUUAGGAAGAAUUAAUUUAAUAGGUUUAUCAUAAAGAUUAUAGACAGAAAAUAUCAAACUAUAUUCGUAAUAAAUUUCAUAAUUUAAUAAUAUAGUUUGAUAAAGUCUAUCAUAAAGAUAAUUAAUUUGAUUGAAUUAAAGAUUUAGCCCACAUGCAAUUUUUAAUAAAAUUAGAUUAAAUUUUAAGCAUGUUCUACAUUGGUAAAACAUGAAUUUAUAUUAAAGCCUCAAAAUUUUUUAAUAAGCUUGUAAUCCUUUUGUGCAAUUUUACCUAGCAUAUCUGAUAUUCGUUGUGAGGUUCCCGAACUUAGAGGAGAUAAAUUUAAGAUAUGGAAGGAGAUAAUUCUUCUUCAAUUAGGGUGCAUGGACAUAGACUAUGCCAUAAGGAAAGAUAAACCACAUAAGAUCACUAAUACCAGCACACUUGAAGAAAUACUAUUGUACGAAUGCUGGGAGAAAUCUAAUCGGCUCAGAGUGAUGUACAUAAAGACAAAAAUUAGUGCUGGUAUACGUGGUUUGAUCGAGCAACAUGAGAAUGUCCGUGAAUUGCUCAAGGCUAUUGAUGAGCAAUUCGUCACUUCAGACAAAGCCUUGGCAAGCACCCUGAUUAUGAAGUUCACAUCCCUGAAGCUCACCGGUAUAAGAGGUGUAUGCGAACACAUCAUGGAAAUGAGGGACAUAGUGGCUCAAUUGAAGAAACUCGAGGUAGAAAUGUCUGAAUCCUUCUUGGUGCACUUUAUCUUUAACACUCUUCCGUCUCAAUAGGGACUUUUCAAAAUCUUUUACAACACACAUAAGGAUAAGUGGUCUAUCAAUGAAUUGAUGACCAUGUGUGUUCAAGAGGAAAGAAGGUUAUUGAUGGAACAGGGAGAAAGUGUCAUGCUGGUGACGCAAAGGAAAGAAAAGAAAGGAAAAUCUCAUGCUAGUUAGAAAGGGAAGCAACAAAUUCCUCCCAAAUAUGACAUUAAGAAAGACGAAAAAUGUUUUUUCUGUAAAAAGAAAGGACACGUGAAGAAGAAAUUUCUGAAUUUCAAAAAUGGCUUGAGAAGAAAGGUAACCCUACCUCAUUUGUUUGUUAUGAAUCUAAUAUGGUUAAUGUAAAUACCAACACAUGGUGGAUUGAUUCUGGAUCUACAAUCCACAUUUCAAAUUCCUUGCAGGGUAUGCAAAACCUAAGGAAGCCAAUGACAAGUGAGCAAUUCAUCUUAUCCGGAAACAAGAUGGGCUCGCAUGUGGAAGCAAUAGGGACAUGUUAUUUAACUUUAAAUAGUGGUUUUGUUUUAGAAUUGCAAAAGACCUUUUAUGUACCAAGUUUUUCAUGAAACUUGAUUUCAGUUUCUAGACUUGUACCGUUUGGAUAUUCCUUUCAUUUUUCAGAAACAUCUUUCAGUUUGAUUUAUAAAUCUGAUUGUGUUGGGAAUGGUAUUUUGUCUGAUGGUCUUUAUUGCAUAUUCUUACAAAAUGAUACCACUCAUAAUUCAUUACAUGUCCAAACUGGCAUUAAAAGAUGUGUUGUUAAUGAGGAUUCCUCUACAUUGUGGCAUCGGAGAUUAGGUCAUAUCUCUAUAGAUAGAAUCAAAAGAUUGGUGAAUGAUGGGGUACUUAGUACUCUAGAUUUUAUUGACUUUGAGACUUGUGUGGACUGCAUUAAGGGAAAGCAGACCAACAAGUCAAAGAGAGGUGCUACUAGGAGUUCUACCAUACUAGAGAUCAUACAUACUGAUAUAUGUAGUCUUGACAUGGACUCUCAUGGUCAGAAAUACUUAAUCUCUUUAAUAGAUGAUCUCUCACGAUACAUGUAUCUCUACAUACUUCAUAAUAAAAAUGAAACUUUAGAAGCCUUUAAAGUUUUCAAGGCAGAAGUAGAAAAACAAUAUGGUAAACAAAUUAAGAUCGUGAGAUCAGAUAGAGGUGGAGAAUAUUAUGGUAGAUACUUGGAAGAUGGACAAUCACCUGGGCCAUUCGCAAAGUUUCUUCAAGAACAUGGGAUUGUUGCCCAAUACACCAUGCCUGGUUCUCCAGACCAAAAUGGUGUAGCAGAAAGAAGAAACAGAACUUUAUUAGACAUGGUGAGGAGUAUGCUUAACAGCUCAAAACUUCCUAAAUUCUUGUGGACUGAAGCACUUAAGAUAGCAAUGUAUAUAUUAAACCGAGUUCCAACCAAGGUUGUCCCAAAGAUGCCAUUUGAGUUAUUGAAAGGUUGGAAACCGAGUUUGCGACAUAUGCGCAUUUGGGGAUGCUCGUCUGAAGUGAGAAUUUAUAAUCCACAGGAGAAGAAACUGAACCCAAGGACUAUUAGUGGGUAUUUCAUUGGAUAUGCUGAAAAGUCUAAGGAGUACAGAUUUUACUGUCCAUCUCACAACACUAGGAUUGUGGAAUCGAGAAAUGCUAAAUUUCUUGAAUAUGACUUGGUCAGUGGGAGCGAUCAAUUCAGAAACAUAGUUUCUGAUAUUGAUCAUACAAAGUCUCAACCUUCCACUUCAAGUGAUAGAUUGUUUAUUGUUCAUAACACCCCUCAAGUACAAUCGGGUGUAGAACGAACAAUCACUGAAGUUCAACCAGUCGUUGAAGUUCCACAAGCUGUUGACAAUAUUCCAGUAGAUCAAGUUGAUCAGGAGUUUCCUGACACUUCUGAACAACAAAUUGAACCUCAUAUUUCCUUAGAAGAUAUUGGUGCAACCUUAAGAAGGUCUACUCGAACUAAGAGGUCAGCAAUUCCUAAUGAUUAUGUAGUGUAUCUACAGGAAUGUGACUACAAUAUAGGAGCCGAAAAUGAUCCCUAAUUUUUUUCACAAGCCAUGAGUUGUAAAGAAUCAGAAUUGUGGUACAAUGCCAUGAAGAAUGAGAUGAGUUCCAUGAAGUGCAACGAUGUUUGGGACCUUGUUGAGUUGCCUAAUGGUGUAAAAACCAUUGGUUGUAAAUGGGUUUUUAAGACAAAGAAAGACUCAUUAGGCAACAUUGAGAGAUACAAGGCCAGACUUGUUGCAAAGGGGUUCACUCAGAAAGAAGGAAUCGAUUACACGAAAACGUUUUCUCCUGUAUCUAAGAAAGAUUCCUUACGCAUUAUAUUGGCAUUAGUAGCCCACUUUGAUUUGGAAUUGCAACAAAUGGAUGUGAAAACAACAUUUCUUAAUGGAGAGCUAGAGGAGGAGGUUUACAUGAAACAACCUGAAGGAUUCCCCUCUAGUGAUGGUGAGAAAUUGGUUUGUAAACUUAAUAAAUCCAUAUACGGUUUAAAACAAGCAUCCCGCCAAUGGUAUUUAAAAUUCCAUAACAUAAUUUCUUCAUUUGGUUUUGAAGAAAAUGUUAUGGAUCAAUGCAUAUACCUUAAGGUCAGUGGGAGUAAAGUUUGUUUUCUUGUUUUAUACGUGGAUGACAUCUUACUUGCAACCAAUGAUAAGGGUUUACUUCAUGAGAUGAAACAAUUAUUCUCUAAAAAUUUCGACAUGAAGGAUAUGGGUGAGACAUCUUAUGUCAUUGGCAUUAAGAUCCAUAGAGACAGAUUUCAAGGUAUCUUAGGUUUGUCUCAAGAGACCUAUAUCAAUAAAGUUUUAAAGAGAUUUCGGAUGAAGAAUUGUUCACCUAGUGUUUCUCCUAUAGUGCAGGGUGAUAGGUUCAAUCUGGACCAAUGCCCGAAAAACGAUCUUGAGAGGGAACAAAUGAAGAACAUUCCAUAUGCUUCUGCAGUUGGAAGUCUGAUGUAUGCUCAGGUCUGCACAAGGCCUGACAUUACAUUUGCUGUUGGAAUGUUAGGACGAUAUUAGAGUAACCCGGGUAAGGACCACUGGAAAGCUGCAAAGAAAGUGAUGAGAUAUCUUCAAGGAACCAAAGAUUACAAGCUUAUGUUCAGACAGACAAGUAAUUUAGAGGUUGUUGGCUACUCAGAUUCAGACUUUGCUGGUUGUGUCGAUUCACGUAAAUCAACAUCUGGAUACAUUUUUAUAUUGGUCGAUGGAGCUAUAUCUUGGAAGAGCGUUAAGCAGACCAUGACUGCUACUUCUACUAUGGAAGCUGAGUUCAUAUCUUGUUUUGAGGCUACUUCACAUGGUGUAUGGCUUAAGAGUUUCAUUUCCGGGCUUAGAGUUAUGGAUUCAAUAUCUAGGCCAUUGAGUAUAUAUUGCGACAAUUUAGCUGCAGUCUUUAUGGCGAAGAACAAUAAAAGUGGAAGUCGAAGCAAACACAUCGACAUUAAGUAUCUAGCCAUAAGAGAACGUGUUAAAGAAAAGAAAGUAGUUAUUGAGCACAUUAGCACUGAAUUGAUGAUCGCUGAUCCUUUUACUAAGGGCAUGCCACCAUUGAAAUUCAAGGAUCAUGUAGUGAACAUAGGACUUAGUUCCCUUAUGUAGUUUCUAUUGUACAAACUCUUAUUAUGAUGUUUUCUCAUAUUGAUGUGCACUUUUAUUUAAUUUUGAGAAAAUUCAACUUCAUUGGACCAAGAAUGAACAUAGGGUUUAUUCAUUAAAUAAUAUUGCCACAUAAAAUAUGAUGUUAAGAAAUGAGUACACUGUAAUACAUGGAAGGUAAUACUCGUUAAAUAGAGGACUUAUCGCCAUGAUUCAUGUAUUUGUUACUUAAUGGGACAAUUGAUGGACUGAAUUAGGACAUUAGGUUAAAGAUGUGGACCAAGUGGGAGAAUGUAAGCUGAAUACACGUUCACACAUUCUCACUUCAUGAUGUGGUCCAGCACUUUGACCACGUCCUCCACCAUUUCUUUUCUGUUGCGGUUAAGGAGCACAUUCCAGCAACUGCUCAACGUGGUGGCAAGAACAAUGUGGUAUGAUGCAACCCACGGUUAUAAAGAUUUUAAAAAGAAAAAUGGUCCUGAACUCGUCUGCUGUUUUUAUCUUCAGAAACACCAUCUAAACAAAGGGAGAUCAGAGUUUGGAAAUCAAGUUUUUGAAACCGAUGGCUGGAGGUAAGUAGACUAUUCUUAGUCUUUUUCAGUUUUGAUUCAUGUUGCAAAUUCAUUGGAAUCAUAUAUAUAUAUAUAUAUAUAUAUAUAGCAUGUAAACAACUUACAGAAACCUCACCAAGCUGUAGAUGCAUUAGAGGCCCAUAUUUCUUGGCCAUUUCUCUCAGCAGGCGAUGAGGUAGGGUGCUGACCAGGUUGUGCAUGUGGCAACAACAUGAUUGAGUCGUUGGCGUUGGACCUCCUCACUUUCUUGAACAACAUGAUUGAAAAGAGAAGAAAGGCAAAGAGGGUAGAAGAGGAGGGAAACUCCAUGAGUAGGAUGAAGAGAAUGUAGCAGUGAGGGUAAUGCUUGUGGUUUAAUUUCUUCCCAGAAAUGUAUUCAACUUAUACCAGUUUCAAGCUAAUUUAAGUUGCCAUCUUUGACUUGCAGCAGUGCAAAUCACCAAUAUAUUUUCUCCGGAUGGGCUUGUAAGUUUUUUGAAUGGCAGCCAACAUAUUUUAUGAACUCCAAUCUUUAACAUCGUCCUUGGUGUGUAUUGAUCUGGAAAUGGAUAGCGAAAAUGAAUGGAUUUGCCUUUGAAUUGAAUCACAUUUUUCUCAUUUUAAUACAACAUUCUAGACUAGUCAAAUGGAUUUGUCAACUUUGCUUAAUCAUGCAGAUAUGCAAUUAUUUCAUAGACUUCUUUUCGUUAAUAGCUAGCUUUGAAGUUAUUAAUCAUGCAUUCAAAUUUGUCCUAAAUUAUAUAUAUAGCCCAUGACAUUGUGUUGCAUACUAGAACUGCAUGGUUCAAACCCUCCUGAUGUAGGCAAUCUAGAAACCAUUUUUAAAAUCCAAAUGAGUUGCUGCCAUCCUCGGCGUUGGUGAUUAUACUUGAAACAAUAGUCCAAGAAGAGUGAUAACAUGUCAUUUUCACAGGUGAAUGUGGUGGCAGAAAGUCAGUAUUCUACUUGGUAUACGACUGAAAAUCCAUCAUAAUAAUCAAGUGUGGCAGCCCAAAUACAAAUAAAAAAAAAGACACCAAUGCAUUAGACUAAACCCCACCAGAAAAAAACUAAUGAAAACAAAGACUUUCCUCAGAUUUUUAGGGGGAUAAAAAAGGGGAAAUUGUCAGUUUCUUUGUCUGUAUAUCCUGCACUGGGGCGCCGACAACCAUCAACAUCAUUUGAUUUCAUAUAGUUUUAACAUAUUUAAAGAAAUCCUAGCUGAUUUGUUUUUGGGUGAAAAGCUUACGGCCGCGAACUUGAGCCCUUGUGCAGGGUGGAGCAUAAAAUAUGCCUCCGAGAGGCGGUUUUAAUCGGGACAAAUUUAAAAAAUGUAACUAUGAAAUUUUAAAUAUUGAUAAAUCAAUGGUUUGUAAUGCCCGAAACUCAAUUUCAGGGAUAAAAGCACAAUUUAAAAAUAAAGAAAAAAAUUAGAAGAUGGUAGAAAAGUUUUUCAUAUUUAAGAGUUUUAGGUAUAAAAUAGAUUUCAUGACUUUUCUAUAAAGCAAUCUUUUUUCACAUAGAUUAGAGUGAUCAAAGAAUGUAGAGUUGAAAAUUUGAAACCUUUAAGAGUUUUAAGAUCUAUUUUUAUAGAUACAAAAUGAGCCUUUUUUGAGUCAUUUCCACUUUAAGUCUCUGAACUUGAGGUUUGAAAUGGUUGUCAUACCCUUAGAUUACCUUAAAGUGGGGGGUUUUGGGGAAUAAUAAAAUGGUUUAAAAGCCAAUUUUCAACUCUAAUGCAGGAGUUUAUUUGGUUCCGCAAGAGGUGUCUAUUUGUUUCGUACAUCCAGUGAUUGUAACAUCUUAUACCAGAUAGGGAAAAAAGUUCUUAAAAAACGACAAUAAAGAAUAAUAAUAGGAAGAAAAAAAUAAAAGGAUGAAAAUAAAAUACAUAACAAUUUAUUUAGUUCAGUCUCAAGCCUACAUUGACAAGUGAAGAUGAAAAAGAACUUCCAUUAUUAUUGAAAGAGAUUAUAACCUUAGAGUUCUCAAAUCCCAAAGUCCCAAUUUAUAUCCAAAAAGAGACUCGCUAUUUUGGUAAAAAUCUCUUCCCAUAUUUUUUUCCUAAUUACAAAGAAAGAUUCCACAUGGGAAACUAAGUGUAUAAUUGUCAAAGAUGUCUUUUCCUAAAAAAAGAUCUCAUAAUAGGAUAUUUCGUUUAUAAUAAUAGGAAACCCACUUAUAAGAAUAGCUUUUAUUAGGAAACUAUCAAUAACUUUUCAAUUGACUCAAAAAAAAAGAAUUUGAAACACUUUCCAACAAUCUUCACCUUGGCUUAAAUUUCCAAGAUUCAAACAAACUCAAAAUUCUUCCAUGUUACUUUAUUUCCACACCCCAAAAGGGCCUUUAGAUAUUACUAACACCAAUUAAGUCCAAGUAAUGUUUAAUUUAAUUGUAGAAACAAACUUAGAAGGUGUUUGUUUUUUUAGCUUUUUGUUAAAAACAAUUUGCUUUCAGACUUUCAGUUGUUUGUUUUUCUACAUUUUUAUGACUUAUUAUAAAAUUUUUGCUGAAUAGAAAAAGCCAAAAUAUUUGGCUUUUUUAAAAUAGAAAAAACAACAUGUUGAUUUUUCUUUACUUUUGAAUGCUUAAUAGAAAUAAAAUAUUACAAAAACAACAAUAUAAUACUUAACACUAUUAAGCAUUAAAGUUCUAUUUAGAAUUAAGUAAAAAAAAAAAAAUCAAACACCACCUUAAUCAUCAUAUCUAUAGGAUUGUCCAUUGUAGGGAUUUUUUUCAUUGCAAUAGCACCUUAUGCAAUCACAUCCCUAAUACAAUGCAUUAUGACAUCAAUAUGUUUGGUCCUCUCAUGGAACAUUUGAUUUUUAGUCAAAUGUACGACACUUUGUCGAUCACAAUACACAAUAGUCAACUCCUAUUGUAAGCCCACACUACAAGGAAAAUGUAAAAAGAUGACGUUUUUUAAGCAUCAAGAUAGAUAUAAGAUGACGCUUUCCAAAAGCAUCAUAUCUUAGACUGACAUCCUAUGAAUUUCCAAUUGUUGAUGCUUUUCAAAAGCGCCAUAUUCUUUGGCGGUUAACCAUGACGCUCAUAGAAAACGUCAUUAUUCUAAACCUUGGCGCUCUAUAAGUGUCAUUGUAGGUCUGCAAUUUCAUUCAUCUCAAUAUUGACACUCGAUAAAGCGUCAUUGUAUAGGUAGGAGCAACAUCGAGACUCAUGAUAAGUGUCAUCUUAUAGCAUUUUUCAACCUUGACGCUCAAAAAAAGCAUCAUGUUCUUAAAUCCUCAACCUUGAUGCUUAUGAUAAGUGUCAUCUUAUAGCAAUUUUCAACCUUGACGCUCAAGAAAAGCAUCAUGUUCUUAAAUCCUCAACCUUGAUGCUUAUGAAAAACGUCAUUGUAUAUUUUAAAGUGACGUUGACACUCAUAAUAAGUGUCAUCUUCUGCCUUUAUUAUCCUAUGAGAACAAAGCAUGACACGCUUUAAAAAAGUGUCAUCUUAUCUCAUUCGAAAUUUUAAUAACCCAUAAAAGUCCUAAUUAUGCCCUGUUUUAUAAUUUUUCACAAACAAUGAAUGAGUAAUAAAAAGUUAAUUUAAGAAAGUCCUAAGAGAAAAAGUACUAAUUGUGGUGUUUCUCUUUCACUAUUAAAAUUUACUAAUAAACAGACAUAAUUAAAUAUGAAUUUGCUUAACAUUAAAUUUAGUUGCAAUUGUUCAAAAAACUAAAAAAUUUACAACUUCUUUUUCAACUUUGAGUUGUUCAUAGUCUUUUGUUGCAUCUAGUUCUACAUCAUCUUUCUUCAAAAUGCAUAAGGAUGGUUACAAGUCACGUUCUAGAUGCUCAACCUGCAAAAAUAAUUGAGAGGUUACAUAUAAUUAAUAUUGACAAAUAGUAAAAUAAAAAAAACAACUCUAUAAAUGAAAUGUGUAUAUAUCAAUUUUUUAAAUUUCCAAGAUAUAUUUCUUCCACUGCAAUAAAUUUUAACAUGUUGGAAGAACUAAACAAACCCUAAUAAUUUUGUUACACCAAAUUUCUAAAUAUUCCUUGAACUCUUGUUAUGUGUUUAAGAAAGCAAUCAAUAAACCACUUUCUAGUGUUUUCCCAAAUGUAAUAUUUGAUUUUGUCUAACUUGGGUUGAAUGCAAUAAUUAAUUUUGUCGAACUCAUAUUAUCAUUCAUAUUGUAAUCAUGAGUGAAUGAUGACUUGCACCCAUGGUUAUCAAAAUAUGUUCUAAGUAUAUCUAACUUGGGUUGAAUGUAAUAAUUAAUUUUUUUCAACUGAUGUUAUCAUUCAUGUUGUAACCAUGAAUGGAUGAUGACUUCCACCUAUGAUUAUCAAAAUACGCUAUCAACAUAUUGGGUCUUGCCAUAAGUCCAAGUAGGUCUUAAAUUUAAAGCAUGUAUACACUUAAUCAUUUUCAUAGACUAACUUAUUAUGGAUAGAAUUAAACCAAUUAAAUAACUAGGUUAGGUGGUUUCCCUUCAUCAAUGAAGAUGGUAUAUCCAUGUGGUUGCCUUCUUCCCUAAUUAGGCAUUACUAUGAAUUACAAUUAGCUAAAUGACCCAUUGUUCAUCAACUAUCUCCAUUAUAUAAUGGUCUUUUAGCCCUUCUACCCAAUUGGCCUUUACAAGUCAUCAAUUAUAUGUAUAAACAAAUGUCUGUAACUCUUAAAAAACUCAAAAAAAAGAAAAGUCUUGAUCUUAGUGACUAUUUUGGUAUGAUUUAUAUCUUAUAUAUGAAACUUCAACCAUUAACAUCUUUUCAUCCUUCUUAUAGGUCUUACAAGACACUGGAUGUUUUGCAAAGGAAGUAAGUAAGGAAUUAAAAGGAAAAAACUAUAAGUCUGAAAUUUUUUGAAAUUAUAGGUUAAAAUAUCUAUGUUCUUCCUACUGUUAAUAUCUAUUAUACAUGAAAUUUACAAUUUAUUGGUUCUAUCUAUUUAACCAAUUAAUGUAGUUGGUAUGAAGUAUAAUGUCAAGAGAAGAGCUAGCUUGCAUGGGUACAUUAACAUCUAAUCAUGUGAGGAUAUCUAUUAUCCUAAGUAUACAUCUUAAAUAUGAAACUUACAUGAAAUGAUUUUGUAAACAUGGAAUUUAUUCAUAAAACUAACAAUAACCUAAGCAUCUUACCUCAAUAUUCUUUUAUGAAAAUUUUCAACUAUUCCAGGGAGUCCUUCAUGUCAUUGAACAUGUUUAGGUCUGGAUAAGCAAGAGUAGUAGUGACGUACUUAAGAGAAUGACCUAUUUCUUUCAGUACAACUUGAAGAAUAUACAAUAAACAAUUUAGCAACAAAAUUAGAUUCUUAAAAGUUUUAACACAUUAAAUUCAAUAAGCUCAUUAAUUUCAAAGAAGGUUGGUAGCCAAAGGUAGUAGAAUAAUUGAGAUAAAGAAACUAGGAAUGAAGAAAAAUUAAUUUUAGGUAAAACAUUAUAAUUAAAUUGAUAUUUUGACUUGACAUGUUAUGAAUCCAUGAAAAAUAAUACAUUGGCAAUACUUAAUUGAUUAAAAGAGUAAAAUAACACCAAAUAUAGCAAAAAACUACAUGAUAUGGACAAAUGGUUUAUUUUUGUAACAGUCAUCAACAGACUAAACUUAAAAGGGCCUUGGUGGAGGAAAAAACUAUUAUGUCAAAAUGACUAGUUUCUUUCCUUAGAAUUGCAUUUAGAUUGAGGAGCUAUUAUUCAAGUUGAUACCCUAUUUUAGACAACGAGGCUUUGGAGGCCUAUUUAGGAAAAAGGAGGUGCUUUUUUUUUUUUUUUUUUUCUUUUUCCUUAGGCUUAUUUGUAAGAAGUCUUAAUCUAAUUUCCUAUUUUUUUAAUGUCAAAGAAAAUAUAAGUAUAAGAUAUUUUAAACUUUAAGCCCAUUAGUUUAGGAGGAUGCCUCUACAAAUUUAGAUUAAAAAAAGUUAUAUAGCAAGUGAUCUUAAGGAUCUAAAAUGGUUUUUUUUAGGAUAGACAUAUUCCUAAUGCAUGCACAUGUAAUGAGACUAAAGACUUUACUAAAAAGAGUAUGAAAAUGCAUGAAUUUUCGUACCAUUACAACACUAGGAUUUCUACAAAUCCAACUAAUAAGGAUGUAUACAGGAAAUACACAAAGGGUGUGACACCUACCAUGUCUACUAGGCUUCACCUCUCAAUUUGCCAAUUACACAUCCAUCAAAAUAGAGCAACCAUUGGAUGAUCCAUAUUGAAGACACUUCCAACUAGGAGUACCAAGAUAUAUAUUAACAAAUCAUGACUAAGAAUAAAUUAUAAAAUUAACAUUAACAAAAUAUUCACUAGAUCUUUAGAAUAAUAUGAAGUUAUAUUAGAAUAUAGGUCAUAUAAGGUACCUUCAAGCAAGAGUAAUGAUUAAUUGAGUCAUUAACAUAACCCAAUUUGAGCGAACUUCAUUAAUUUCCAUUUCACUAUAUGUUUUUCUCCCAUUAAACUGAAAUGGAAUAACAUACAUCUUCACUAAGUUGAAUUGGAAAAUCAAGUGCUAUAGUAAAAUGACCAACCAUAUGAAUUGCAUUGCAUACAAACCUUUGAUGUUAGUUGGUUUGGAUUAGCAAUGAUUUCUUUCAUGUAUCUCAUCACGUAAUACCCACAUUCCACACUACCUCGUUGUCUAGGACACUAUGACAAAAGUAUCAACAAUUACAACAAACAUAACAUGAUGUUCUUACUUCUUUAGUAUCUAAAUGAUCAUCAUAUUAAUCACCGUCCAUUUCAUAAUUUUGUGUAGUGAAUUAAGUGGUCAAACAAUAUAUUUUAAUCUAAAGGAAUAAGUACUUACAACCACUUUCACCCAAGUCGACUCUCUCUUUGAUGUUUUCUGUUUUUCUGGUGGGUUGAUUCUAAUUGCCCUAUAAAAAAGAAAUGAUGUUCUAUAGAUAAUAUGCAUUGUACUAAAAUAUGAGAAGUACACACUUACAUGUUAACUAUCUCCCUAAGAUCAUCACAUGGUUGACAAGCCAUUGGAUUAAGGUAAUAUGCAAUCAUUCUCUUCAUCUCUAGUGCCACUAAGACCUAGUGGAAACUAAAGAAAAAAGAAAAAAAUUGUAAUAUAAUAUCCACAAAUUAAUACAUCACAAACUAACUUAUAUACACUAUAUCGAGAUUUGGGAUAAAAGGUUACUCUGGAUUGUAUGGAAUAAACACAUAUUCAACAUGUUUUGCAUUCCUUAGUCGAUCCACAAUGACCUUUGACCUGUUUUCUUUACUUCCCUCUCCCAUUCCAGCUUUUGAAACCAAUGCUGGAUUGACAAAAACAUAUUGUUCAACCUGCUUUCCAUCAAUCAACUUUCUAUGCAGGUGCCUAAUUAAAUCCCGCAUAAUAAGUUAUCAACAAUCAUUAUAGGUCAUUAGCAAAUAACCUUUUACCUAAAAAAAAUGUGAAGAGUAAUUAAAAAAAUUAUAAAAUCCCUCACUAGAUGUAGUAUAAGAUACAAUUGGAUGACACUUCUUUUGAUGAUAUAAUCAUGUCCAUAUCUUCUUUCAUUAGGAAGGUCUUGAAACUCUCACCAAAAACAUCAUCUGGGAAGUCAAUAGGAUGUACUCUUGAGGUACUCAGCAUGAGGCCAACCAAUGCCUAAAAAUUCUUGAUAUCUUGUGCUUUCUCACCCUUAGAUUUGACUUCAACUUCAUUUUAUUUUUGUUUCUUUCCUUUCUUGGAUGUCUAUACAAUUAAGAACCAUGAUACAAAUCAAAUCAACUAGUUGAAUAUACAAAAAAAUGAAAAAUAAAAUAAAAUUUAAGGUUAUCAUAAAGCUUGGUAAUUAAAUUUACUCACCGAGAUAAGAGUAUGAAUGAUUACUAAAUGAGCUGGCCACAAAACUUGGUAACCAAUUGCAUCCCCAACAGUAGUAGUUUGUCCAGGAAUAGGAAUGGGAAGGGGUGCACUUGAAUCAUAAGAAGCAUCAACAACUACUAGAUAGUUGGGACCACAUUCAAGUGUAAUUGUGCCAUCGGCCACUAUAUUUUCCUUGGUCUCCAUAGCCAACUCACAUUUUCUAACCUACAAAAUGAAGUUAUAUUAUUAGAUAUGAGUCAAUAUUCUCUAUUUCAUUCUUUCAAGUCUACAUAUUCAAAUUAACAUUGGUGAAUAUUGAAAGCCAUCUAUAAGGUACAAGCAAAAAUGUGAGAUAUGAAGUAAUUUUAGAUCACAUUGGAAAAAUUGAAUGGAGGCAUGCGAAUUAUUAUGUGUUUAUAUAAAGAAUAGCUAUUCUUAAAAUAAAAGAGGUUAGUAAUGCAUAUCUAUCAAAAUAAUUAUUGAAUAUUAAAAAGUUUCAUAAUAUAUGAAAUAAAAAUCCCAUAUGAUCUAAUUAUGUAGACAACAAAAUUAUAUUAUCUAUUUUGUAAAUGCCCAAAAUGCUAAAAAAAAAAUUUUACAACUUUUUUAUUUUCUUAUAUUGCACUACAUAAAAAAAAACCAUAUAUUUUCCGCCAACAAUUAAAUUAAAUUCAAACAACAAAAUUUACCUAAAUUAUGUCUCCUAUUACAACAAACAUUAUCACCAAAUUAACUAGAUAAAUACCUUGUUCUUUGGUUCUAUUGGCACUAGUGGACCUGCAUUUUCACCUCUACGGAUUGGCUUAUCCACUACUUCUGGUAGGAGAAACUGUUUUUGUUUCAUGAUCGAAUUGCUAACAUCAGAUUGGGGAGUGACUGCUCCCACUUGAAACAGUUUUGCUAGCACUUUUGCCUAAAAGUUUCUUUGUUUUUCUUUAGAUGCUGCUAUAAAAUCCCUAACAGCAUGAUCUAUAGCACUAUUAAAAUAUUGACAAGGUGUGUGGUGCUUCCCUUUGGCUCUAACUCGACCACUAUACUUAGGAGUACCCAAUGCUUCUACAAGUAUAUCAUUACUCCCAUUGACACUCCUACCAUUCUCUUGAGACUCUUUCAACAGCUUAUCCUUAAAAAAAAUGUUAAUUAUGAAGUUUAAUUAUAAAUUUGUUAUCAUAAAUUAGCUAUUAUAAAUAAAUGAAAUUGAGGUUGAAAAUAUCCACUUACUAUUUUUUCAAUCACUGGUAUGACCACUUCAUCAAAGGUGCCAUUUUUUUUUUCUCUUGCUUUCUUCCAUAAUAUGCUUCGAUCAAUACUUUCAGUUGACCCACUUGCAACCAUCUUUUAAAAGGAGACAAUGUAUAAUGUAAUAAGCAUAUAACACUAUUAUGUAUUAUGUAUAAAAUAAAUAAAAAAACUAUAAAUUAGUAUAAACUUACCAUCCCUUCCUCAAGACCAGCAUAUCCUUUCCUACUUAAAUGGUGAUUAUAAAUGUGUUUCUUUCUUAUUUCUUUUUUAACUUCUCGAUAUUCCUAUAAAUUAAAAAUGUAUAAUUAAUUAAUGUGAAUACAAGAUAUGUAAAGAGUUGUAAUUAUACCUUAAAUCUAUCAGACAAUCGAUCUUUAACAAACAUUGUCCAAUCUUCAUCCUCAAUAAAAAUAUAUUGAAUUAGCGGUUUUUUGAGGAGCUCCGGUUGGUCUUUGAAAGGAAGAAUGUACUUCAUUGUUAGCAUGUUCUUAAAUGAUCAAAAACAUUUUCCAAUUGUUAGCAUACAAUUCCUCCUACUUUUGGGAUUUAAUGAAAAAACACCCUACACAUUAAUAGUAUACGUGUUAGUGACUUAAUGUGGUUAGGAAUGAUUGAUGUUUUGCAUAAAGGUGAUGUAGGUAAGAAUGUGUUACCUCAAUGCUAUCCCAUAACUUAUCCUUCAACUGUUUAGGUACAACAUGCCACGUUUGAUAUCUUAUUGGCACUAUAGUGCAUGCUAAUAUGCCUAAAUAGCUUGUUAGAUGAACUGUUGAUUCUCCUAUGAAAAUGCCAUCAAGAUUGUACUUAACCUGCAACUUGAUCCCUUUGCUUUUGUUCUUGGUAAUCAUGGACUUUCGUGUCAUUCCUCUGUACUUCCUUUUUGUGGUUUUUUCUCCUUUAUUUGGAUCCAUUCUGGUAACAAAAAAAAAAAAAAACAAAACAAAACAAAACUAAUAAAGAUUAGUUAACAUUAUAUUAGAUAUAAUCGUGUGAGAAGAGUUGUAAAAAGAAAAUUUUAGACAAAACAAUCCCUCAUCAUUGCAUUAUGAAAUGGCACCAAUGAAAUGGCCUUAUCUAUUCUCAGUUUCUUAUUCACUUGUGCCAUAAAAGUGAGACAAAGAUAGUCUUUAAUUAAGUUCAUUUAGUUGUGUGCUUCAGUUAUUUAGACCUUUUGUUGUUUCAAAUACUUUUUUUUAGUGAAUUGUAUGUAUUCAGAUCAUACAUUUCAUAGACCUUUUUUUUGGAAUGGUUCAUCACAUAACGAAGUUGACAUUUCAGUUUAGCUAUUUUUUCUCCCUCUUUCUUGCUCAUUUGAUUUAUUUUAAUUUUAAUUUUUUUUUAUUUUAUGAACUUUUAUAUUCUAGUAUGUGUUUCUCUUAUUAUUUUUGCUAAUCCAUUGUCAUUUUCUUUUUCAUUUUCCUAUGAGAGCCUUUUAGAAUUGCAUAUUUGACUUACUGAAUUGUUAACUAGUUCAUAUCAAAACUAAAAAUUACAUAUAACCGAAUGAUUACAUUUUAUUUUGUACAAACAAGAAUUUUACAAGAAUCAUACUUGAUAUUUGCUUUAGUAUAUCAAAUUUUAAUAACAAGAAAUUUCAAAUGUAGAAACAAAAUAAUAAUAAUAAUAAUAAUAAUAAUAUCAAAAUGGCAUCAACUUAGGCAAUCAACUUGAUGUUCUCUGGAAACAAAAAGAAUUAAAAUUACCUGUUUUGUGGGAUUUGCAACCCACUCGACAUCCUUUAUUUGUACAUCAUUAUUAUAGGUUUACAAUUCAGCUACACAGAGGAUUUGUUCUGAAUCCAAAUCCCCUCACAAUCACCUCUUAUACAUAUUGCAUCUGAGUCAUCCAUUGCAUCGAAUGCUUCAACUUCUGGCAAUGUCCCUAUAAAGGGAUGGUGUUCAAUAGAAUUGUCCACAAGGUCAUCACCUCCCUCCUUAUCCAAGAAAUCUUUUUGAGGAGUUGACAAAACAACUGACCAUCUUGGAUCAAGUUGGUCUUACACAUGAAAUACUUGCUUAGCUUGAGAUGCCAAAAUGAAAGGAUCUUAUUUAUGAGCAACUUUGUUAAAGUCAACUAAUGUAAAGCCAAGAUCGUCAACUUUUAUGUCAUUCUUAUUAUCAACCCAAUCACACUUGAAAACUGGUAUCCUAAACAUGGUAUAAUUAAGGUCCCAGAACUCGUUAAUAAUCCUGUAGAAACAAAGCUCACCAAACACUGGUUUUUGAUCAUUGGCACUUGCAAUUUGCAUUGUUGAAGCUACAAUACUAACUCCGCUAUUUUGGGUAGCUCAUAAGUCAUCACACUCCUUACUAUGGUAUCGACAUCCAUUAAUGACAUAUCCAUGAUAUUUCGAGACAUAGUGGCUAGGACCAUGAGCUAUCCACUUAAGGGUCUCAGAUAUAGGUUCAUUGUUACCAAUUGCAACUUCAAUCUGCAAUUAUAAAUAAUAGUUACUAUGUAUGUUCAACAUUAGUAAAAAGAAUAGUUCAAAUUUGAGCACCAAUUCAAUACCUUUUUUCGAAACCAAUAAGUAAAUGUUCGCAUGUGUUCAUUUUGGAGCCACUUUUGUCUUUUAGAUUGACGAGGAUUUUUCAAUUUCAACCAUUCCAUGUGCUCUCUAUGCAAUUAUUUAUAAAAAGUUCAAAGUUAUUGUCUUAUAGUUAAUUUAAGUAUAACAAAUAAAUAUUAAGUGUUAGUAGUUCUUACUCGAUAUAAGGUUGGACAAUAGUUGUAUUCUCUAAAACAUAAUGAUGUGCAUGCAACCACAAAUAUGAAUCAACGAUCACAACUUGACCUACAGGUAUCGAUGCCCCAACUUUUUGGUUAAUGUUUACACUAAUAGGAAUCCCAAUUGCAUCUACAUUUGAUAAGUACUCUGUACAAAAUUCAAUAGCUUCCUCCGCAAUAUAGCAUUUGACGAUGCAACCUUCAGGCCGGUUACGAUUUCGUACAUACCCUUUCAAAACUUUCAUGAAUCUUUCAAAAGGGUACAUCCACCUUUGGUAAACUAGUCCACAAAGUCUGACCUCUCUUACAAGAUGCACAGUAAGAUGGAGCAUGAUAUCAAAAAAGGAAGGUGGGAAGUACUUCUCAAGUUAGCAUAAUGUCACCACUACAUCAUUUUGUAACUUAUCCAAUGCAGGUACAUCAACCACUUUGCUACAAAGAGCAUUGAAAAAAAAAACUCAAUCUACAAAUAGCAUGUCUUACAUGCUUUGGCAAAACUGAUCAUAAUGACACUGGCAAUAACUGUUUCAUUAAUGCAUGAUAGUCAUGGGAUUUAAGACCAUAAAGCUUCAAGUCUUCCAUUGACACAAGGUUUCUCAUGUUAGAGCAAUAACCUUCAAGAACCUUUAAUUGUGAUAAAGUUUGGCAAAAAAGCUUCUUCUCCACUUUAGAUAGUGUGUAACAUGCAGGUGGGAGAUAAGUUCGAUUUGAUUCAAACCUUGGCCUUAAUUCACACCUUAAGCCCAUCUCCAGAAGGUCUAAACGAGAAUUAAGUCCAUUAUUUGUCUUACUUGGAAUGUUAAGUAAGGUACUGAUGAUGCUUUCACAAACAUUUUUCUCUAUGUGCAUUACAUCCAAGUUAUGACGAACAUGUAGGUAUUUCCAAUACUCAAGAUCAAAGAAUAUAGACUUUUUCUUCCAACAAUUUCUAGUUUUGACAUUCAACUUACCUCGAGUCAUCUUAUUUUUUCCCCAUGAAUUACAAAUGACAUCAAUUUUCCUUAGAAUUUCCUCUCCACUCAAUGGUUGUAGAGGUGACCGAAACUCUUGUUCCUCAUUAAAUGUUUUUUUUUGUUUCCUAAAAGGAUGAUUGCAAGGAAGAAAUUGUUUAUGACCUGUAUAUGAGUUCCCAAGAAAGAGAAUUGCUACAUUGAGCUGCACAUUUUCAACUUGGAUCAGCCUUCGGUAACCAAAAGGGCCUCAUACAUUGGUUUUUUUAAAAAGAGCACCAUAAGAAGAAAAGGAAAGUGAGACCAGUCAUCACCAAACGCACAAACAAAAAUCUCCAGCAGCCAUUAUGAGUCACUUUUGCUUGAAAUUGCUUUCAAAUGCAACCAACAAUACUAUACAUAAAUUCAAAAUAUACUUCCUAAAAGCAUAACCUAAAUAGGUGUCACAUAGAUGGACAUUUGACCCUUUAUCCUCUAUAUGAUCCACCAACCCACUCCAUCAUUUCAUAGAAACAUGCUUGAUUGCUAUUUAAAAAAUUUCUUAGUAACUAAAUAUCUCUGUUGCAGCUAGCAUGGAUUCAUCAUACUCCUUGGCCCCACUAGCUACUGUUAGGUCAAGAUGUGUUUCAUUACCAAAGCAUGCCUUCUUAUAAGAACUAUAGUGGAAACUAGACCCUGGCAUAGAUUCUCUGUCCAUAACCAUCCAAUAUAAACAUUAAACUAAGUAAAUGAGAAUGACUAGCUUGUAACUUGACAAAGAAUAAAUCAAAAGGUAAUUUAAAAGGACAUGACAGAAUAUCAAUUAGCAUUAUAAAAGGUGGAGGGUUUAGAAGAAUUAUCAGAAAAAUAAAGACACGUCUUCAUUAUAAGGCAACAAUAGAUAUGGCUUACACUGAUAAACCUAGAUUACCAUUCCAUGUGAAUGGUUGAUAACAAAUGGGACAAGCUAAAAUGCUCUUGCUGAUGCUAACCUCCUUUUCAACUAAAAUAGGAUCCUGAACAUAAGAAAUAAGAUACAAUAUAUUAUGUCAUGAUAGGAAAAAUUAAUUAAUUCGUAAUUCCUCAUGUGAACUGACUGUAGUUGAAAAAAUAAAAAGACAUCAUCUCAUCAGCACUGUAUGAUAAUUUUCCUCACAUUUUCCUUUAAAAUUUCCAAAAACCAAACAUAGGGAAAAAGAAAAAGAAAUUAAAGCACAAAAGAUGAAUUUGGUUGUACAGAAUUUGCAGCCUUGGAAUUGAUAAUUUUCCCCUUUUGUGGUGGAUGCCCUAAUGUCAAGUCCACCAUUUGGUUGUUUUCUAUACCAAUUGGAUUUCCAAUUGAAUUUAAAAGCCAUAAACCCAAAUUCCCCAAGAACAAGUAAGCAACUCCAAGAUAAAAGCCAAGUUCUCCAGUUCCGUAAAAAUUGAACUUUAAACCAAAUCCAAUUCUACCCAACCAAAUGCAGCCUAAUUCUUCAAGAACCAUAAAAGAACAAUGAAUGAAUCAAGAAUGGACAAAUACAUUAAAAAAAAAUCAGGAGCAAUACAAAUUCUCAAAAACACUAAUCAUAAAGAAUCACAUAUGAAUUAAAACAAUUCCUAUGAAUUCAUUUUAUGCUCGAUUGACGACUGAGACAAUUCCUAGAGAAUGCUCGAUUGACUAAAAAAAUAUAACAGUAGAACUUGAUUUGUCUCCCACAUACGUUCAUUGUACAUGCGCACAAGGUUACCAAUUGACACAACCACCAAUUGCAAUGGAAAAUGGGGGCUGGUUGUUUUGGAGAAUGGAGGAAUUUAUUUUAAAAGAGACUUUCAACACGCACAGAAGGAGGGGUGAAUAAAAAAAAAAAUUAAAGAUAAGGGGUGAGAAGACACAACCGAGAAGGAGGAUGUCUUUUAGGGUGGAGAAAACACACAACGGGAACUCUCCACUACCAGCCACAAGAAUAGUAAAAAAAUGUGACCAGAACAGGGCACAAAUGGGUAAAUCAAAAUGAACAAAACCCACAUUUCAUGCCUAAUCAAAAAAUCAAGAAUAGAGCAGAACAGAGCAUGUAUCCGUGAACCGUGUUUCUUCUCCACUACAACCCAUAAAAUUAGGGCACGAUUUGCAAAGAGAAACUCGACCAACAUUAGAACACUUGCAAUAAAUGAUGAAUAUGGAGUUGAAAGAGUGGAGAAUCACCUGAUUUGUCGCUCGUUGGUGGAAUUUGUAAGAGAAGAAUGGAGUUUCAGUGCUUAUUCUCUGUUAUGAGAGUCACAAAAUGGAGAUUCAAAAAUGAUCUCCAGUUUUUAAUACUCAAGAUCUCACACUAGGGCUUGGAAACACACCUUCUAGCUAGAUCUCCAAUGUCAAGAGCCUCAUCUGAAGUUAACUGGGGUCCUAGGGUUUGUCGGGCUUUUGCGAAAAUGGAAGGAAUGUUUAGCAUUAUGAGGUCGUGGGUAAGAAUGGGAAAUUUUUGAGCCAUAUAUAAAGGUGUUAUUUUAAUGUCACUUUUAUAGAGCACCAAGGUAAAAAUUGAUAAAUGAAGAUGCUUAUAUAAAACGUCAUGCUAUAGGAAGCGCCAUCAUCCUUCAGCAUAAAGCGCCAUGGUCUAAAAUUUUCCUUUUAAGCGCCAACUUCAACCACUUAUUUACUCAACUGCCACUCUAAAAGCCAAGUAAUGACACUUAUUUGAAAGCGACAAGGAAUCAAGCGCCAUAAAUUGUGUUUUUUGUAGUAGUGCUAAAUUGCCAACCAAAGCCUUAAAUCAAAUAGCUUCUUUCACUACUUCUAUGGUCACCAUGUAUUAUGUUUUUGUGAUCGCCAUGUAUUCUACUUUAAUGGUUGACAAGGUAACUGUAGAUUGCAAAGUUUCUUUCCAACUAAUAACACUACCACAUAAAAUGAAUACAUAUCCUAUUAGAGAUCUUCUUCUAUCCAAAUCUCCAACAUAAUCAAAAUCAACAUAACCAACAAUUUCUGUAGAGAUGUCACUACUUUUAUCAAUAAACCCAAUAUUUAUCAAAUAAUCAAACCAUUGCUAUCCUAUAAUAACCAAAUUAUCAAAGAGUUGUUAACUUAACACAUUGUCCAUAAUAGAUAAUACAAAUGUCAACCACAAGGUCCACAACACUUAAAUAGUUACUCAAAAUAUAACAUGUCAAUGUUUGAAUAUUCACGAAGAUUUUUGCGUACUAAUAAAUAUAAAACUCCUGUCUUCAUUCAUUUUGGAAAUUGGAAAAUGGAAAUUGAAAAUGAGCAUCUAGAAAACCAAAGUUCUCCACAUCAAGCCCUUCUAUAGCCACGCCACCACCAUCCUCAUCAUCUACAAAAAUAUUGAAUAUAUAUCAAUAAGAAAUAAUUUUUGAAGAAAAAAAUGUAAUUAUUGAACUUUUAUAAGUUUAAAUAUUCUACUAACCAAUGUGAGGACUUGAACCUUCCACUUAAUUUAUUGGAAUUGAUCCUUCUUCAUAUAGAAGAUUUUCCAAUUCUUCAACAUCUAGCUCUGUUGGCUGAUCCUCAUCAACUAUCCAAAAAUCGGUCUCAUCAAUGCAUGCAUAAUCAAUGGGAUCAUAGAUUCUUUUCUUGUUAUAGAGCCUAAAAAAGAAAAACAUAUAAUUAUUCACAAUUGUGAAUAAAAGAAUUUAAAUUCAAAACAACUAAGAAAACAUUUAUACCGAUUUUUUAGCCAUAAAUUGUAAUGAAUAUAUACAAGAUCAUUAAGCCUUUGAUGUUCCAAUCUAUUCCUUCUUUUGGUAUGUAUAUGUUCAAAGACAUUCCAAUUCCUCUCACAUCCAGAAGACGAUGCAGUUUGGCUCAAUAUUUGAAUGGCCAACUUUUGCAAAUGUGGUGCACUAUAUCCAUGUAGCCUCCACCAUUCAUCUAGUUACCAUUUCACAUUAAAAAUAAGAAAAGAAAAACAUUAGCAAGUUUAAAUUAUUAAAUAGUAAGUAGGUAACUAAUGAAAAAGAACAAAGACACUAAUAAAUGAAAAUAAUCUUUUACCAAGUUCAAGUACUUCACGUGAAGAAUAAGCAAGGUCUCUUCCAAAACUUUCCAAUCGAUCACGAAACAACUUCAUUUCAUUCAUUGUAUCAAGCUUGCCUUUCAGAACUUUUUGAUCAAUAACAUCCAUGACACCUCCAAUAACAGUUGGCAUAUUACAAAAGUUUUCCUGAUCAUAUUGGAAACAUGGAUUCAACUAAUAAGCUACUGAAUGAAUGCUUUUAUUUAGUUGUUGAUCCCAACAUUGCUUUAUGAUCUCUAUAUAAGGCUUGUAUAGUCUUUUGUUGUAGUUAAACAAUUUCUUGAUGCCCAAAUGAACCUUAUACAUGCCUUCAUACACAUAUCCCAUUGAAGGCCUCUCAUCACAAUCAAUAAUACGCAAUAAGUGCAUUAGUGGAGACAUAAGAUUCACAACAAUCAAACAAUCAUUCCAAAAUCUAUUAUCCAAUAUGAUGGAAACUACAACUUUGCUUUUAUUAUCCUUUGAAUAUCUAGAGUUCACAAAGAACUUACUAGUCACCAAAGCUUACAAGUCAUGUUUAUGAUCAUGAAGACUCUUGAGUGCAAUGAAUGUAGUAGCAAAGCGAGUUGCACCAGGUCGGAGAAUCUCCCUCCAUCCGUCUCUUUUUCUCAACCAACUUAACAAAGCAACAUGAUUAUACACAAAAAUUGUCACCUUUGAUGCAUGUCUUACAAGUUCAGCAACAUGGUCCAUCUUACCAAUAUCCUUAAAGAUCAAGUUAAGACAAUGAGUUGCACAAGGUGACCAAUUGAUGUGUUUAUACUUCUGAGAAAUCAAUCUCCUCGUGGCCACAUAAUUUGCUGCAUUAUCAGUCACUAUAUGAACUACAUUGAGUGGACCCACCCAUUUAAUUACCUCAUCAAAUAACAAAAACAAAUUAGUUGCAUCCUUGACAAUGUCUGAAACAUCCAUAGAUUUCACAAACGAUAUUCCUUUAGGACAAUACACAAGGAAGUUGAUGAGUGUUCUUUGUUUAUUAUCUGUCCAACCGUUACCCAUUAUUAUAUGCCCAACUUUUACCCAAAUUGCAUGAUAAGAGUUCACAAGUAACUAAACUUCCUUCUUAGCAUCCUUUAAAAGAUUAAGCUGCAGCUGAUGGUAAUUUGGACCCUUAUAUCCAGGACCAAUUGUAGAUAUAACAUCCAACAUUGGCUUAAAGUAAAAGGAAUUCAAAACAUUAGUAGGAAUGCAUGCAUCAUAAAAGAAUCUCCUAAUCGCCAUGUUUUCCCUCCAAAUAGUUUCUUUCCUAAUUAAUACACUCCUCAGGGAAGGUUGAGCUCCUUGAGUAUUUCUUGGUACAAAAUACUUAUCCACUGUUGAUUUUUUUUUCUUUUUCCACUACUAACUGCCAUAGGACUUUGCAUUUCUUGAACUUCUUCUUCACCUUCUGUCAUAUCCCCUUCAAAUUGUGACACAUUAGGACCAUAAAGAUUUUUGUAUUCAUAUGCUUCUUGAGUUGCUUUCUUGGAAUUCAAAAACUCUUGCAAACAAUUUUCCAUUCGAAAUCUGACAUCAGGAGGAACCAAUUUACAUAUACCAAUAUCUCCUUUCACUCCAGCAAGAUGUUGUUUCAUUUUAUGAAUAUCCUUACCUUUCUCAAUCUUUUUACAAUACAAACAAAUAAGAGCUUUCAUUCCAUUUGCAUAUCUUUCUUUAGAAACAUGCUUUCAUGCAAGAUCGAUUUUACUUCUAGUUGUUUGUGAAUUGGUAGUUCAACCUUGACCAAAUGAUGGAGUCAAGUUUGAUUCCAUUUUUUAUUUCUCUAUCAAAUUAGAAACAAAAAUCUCACAUUAAUCUAGAGAAUGAAAGUCAUCAACAAUUUAUUAAAAUCAAUAUUAAUCUAGAGAAUAAAAGUCAUCAACAAUUGAAAAAAAUGAUAAAUUUACUUUCAAACCAAACAUUUAUCUAAAAUUUAUAAUUAUUAAAUAUUAUAAAAUGUAAUUCUUGAAAUUCAUAAUAUAAUUAUUAAAUAUUAUAAAUGCUACUUUCACAUAUUAACCAAAUAAAUUCUUGAAUUUAUUUUUUAGGUUUAAUAAUGUAAUUGACAAAAUUUGAAUAUUAAUUAUUAAACCUAAAAAAUAAAUUUCAAGAAUCAAAGCAUUAAAUAAUAAAUAAUUAAAUAUUGUGCCUUGAUUUCCAGGUUGCGGGCUUGUAGCUACUAGUUGGACUCGGAGUGGGGGCUUACAACAUAGGGGAUGGGAGGUUACAACCAGUUGGAGGGGGCUUACAGCCAAGGUUCCAACCAUAGGGGGUGGCUUGCCGGCUUGCAAAACCACGACGGGAAAGAGGCGACUCAAGCGACGGUGAUCUUGUAACGAUCGAUGGAGAGAGAUUUUGCACGAUGAAACGACCGACUAUGGGAGCUUGUUGCGGCGUGUUGGGGGCGAGCUAAGAGGUAGGCGACAACUGCAGUUUGGAGAUGGAGGGUUUGGAAAUGAAGGUUUUAUAUCCUCUAAAACGACAUCAUUUUGAUGCUGAAAAAAAAAUUAAAUUGAAUUGAACAGGACAAUUCGGAGUAAACCAGUUGGUUCGUCCGAUUCACCGAUCGGACCGUCAGUUCAGCCAAUCCAAUCCCUAUUCAACCUGUUUUCGAUCUAAUUGAUCGGACUGGACCGAAACCUUGAUUAGCUGGCGGUCAGACCGGUCAGACCGUUAAUCCAGUCUGAUUUUUAAAACCAUGAAUAAAACACUUGAAAAUUUGAAGUGAGCUGCUAAUGGAGUACUCACUGAUUUUAACCCUUGCAUUCUAAAGCAUUCCAACACUUUCUCAAUGUACUUUUUCUGUGAUAAAUAUAAUUUCCUCGCUUCUCGGUUUUUAUGAAUCUCCAUACCCAAUAUUUUCUUUGCUGCUCCAAGGUCUUUCAUUUCGAACUCUCCUUGAAGUUGAGUUUUCAACCUGUUAUCUUAGAGAUAUUCUUGCAUGCAAUUAAGAUGUCAUCAACAUAUAACAAUAAAUAAAUAAAUAAAAGAAUCAUCAAACAAUUCCUUGUGAUAAACACAAUUAUCAUACUCACUCCUAUGGUAGCCAUUACAAAUCAUAAAAGUGUCAAACCUUUUAUACCACUACCUAAGAGAUUGCUUCAAACCAUAAAGAGAUUUCUUCAACAAAUAAACAUGGUCUUCCUUUCCUAAAGUAACGAAUUCCUUAGGUUGAUGCAUAUAAAUCCGUUCUUCCAACUCACCAUGUGAAAAAAACAAUCUUGACAUCAAACUGUUUUAACUCUAAAUCAAAUAAAGUAACCAUAACAAGUAACACCCUAAUUGAGUUAUGCUUCACAGCUAGAGAAAACACUUCAUUGAAGUCUACACCUUUCUUUUGUGUGUAGCCUUUUAUCCACUAAGCGUUCUUUGAACCUAGCAUCUUCUACUCCUGUAAUUCCUUCAUUUCUUUUGAAUGCCCAUUUGCAACCAACAAUCUUUGAUUUUUCGAUUUCUCAACUAGUUGCUAGAUAUGGUUUUUUUUAAAGAGAUUCAAUCUCCUCAUUCAUAGCAACAAUCCAUUGUUUAGACUCUUUACUAGUGAUGGCUUUAUGAUAAGUAUGGGGUUAUUCUUUUUCAAUGCUCUCUACCACACUAAGUGCAUAAGCAACCAAAUCUACAUAAGCAUACCUUUGUGGUGGUUUAAUAUGCCUCCUUGUUCUAUCUUUGGCCAAACAAUAUUGUUGCUCUUGUGGUGCAUUUUCUUUAUCAUCAAGAUGUUGUACUUCUUCCUCCUUUGGCUUUAUUGAAAUCAUUUUUUCUAUAGUUUUUGAAGCUUUAGAACAAACUACACAUUUUCUCUCACACUAGGGUCAUUUCCAUACAUGAAGUUGCUUCUUCCUAGGACUUCACAUUGUUAACUCAUUAAAAGUCACAUUCCUACUAAUAAAAUUUUUUGAGAAUUUUGAAUCUGGGCACCAUAAUCUAUACCUUUUCACCCUAUUUGCAUAUCCUAAUAAUAUGCACUUCUUUGCCCUUGGUUCCAACUCACCUUCAUUCACAUGAGUAUAAACUAGACAACAAAAAAAUUCUUAAAUUAACAUAAUUAGAAGGGGAACCAAACCAUACCUCUUUAGGAGUCUUACAACUAAUAAUAAUUGAAGGAGAUAUAUUCGCAAGAUAAUAAGCUAAAUUUACCAUUUCAACCCAAAAUUCCUUUAACAACUUUGCAUUUGAAAGCAUGCACCGCACUUUCUCUAAAAUAGUUCUAUUUAUUCGUUUUGCAACACCCUUUUGCUAUGGAGUAUGCCUAAUUGUGUGAUGUCUCAUAAUACCUUCAUUUUUGCAAAACUUAUUGAACUAUUUAUCAUAGAAUUCCAUGUCAUUGCCAGUUCUCAAGCUCUUGAUCUUUUUUCUAAUAUGCCUCUUAAUUAUAUUUUUCCAUUGCUUGAACUUCCCAAAGACAUCACUCUUAUGUUUCAAGAUAUAUACCUAAACCUUUCUAAAGUAAUCAUUAAUAAAGGUUAACAUAUAUUUUCCACCACCAUGUGAUACAACUUGAGAAGGGCCUCAAAGAUCCGAAUGGAUACAAUCCAAAGUACCUUUAGUUCUAUGAGUACCUACACUGAAUUUCACUUUGUGUUGUUUCCUGAACACACAAUGCUCACAAAAAGCUUAUUCUCCCAAUUCUUUAACCAUCAAGCAAACCUUUGCUCAAAAUCAUCAACCCUCUCUCACUCAUAUGUCCAUAUCACAUAUGCCAUAAUCUAGUAGUCUUUGAAAUUGAUUUUAAGGUUGAAAAUACAGUUGCACUUGUAACUGUGCUACCUUAUAAUGUAUAAAGACCAUUAAUUUUCUUUCAUUUCAUCACAACAAGAGCACCAUUUAAAAUUCUCAAAACUCCACCUUCAGACUUAUAUGUGCAUCCAUUAGAGUCAGGUGUCCCUAAAGAAAUCAAAAUUGUCUUCAACUCUAGAACAUGCCUUGCAUCAAUUAAUGUCCUUACAAUGCCAUCAUGCAUCUUAAUUUGAAUUGUGUUUAUCUCAACAACCUUAUAGACUACAUCAUUUCCCAUGAGAAUAUUCCCACCAUCUAUAGGUUGAUAGAUAUUGAACCAAUCCCUAUUGGAAGAUAGAUGAUAGGAACACUUUGAAUUAGUAAUCCAUUCAUCACCUGAGUUAUUAACAGUAACUAAAAGAGCAUCUGCAAUAUUUGAAUUUUCUUCUGCAACUGCUAUAUCACCAAAAUUAGAAGUUUUCUUCUUCUUUUUUUCUUUAUGGUCUGGAUAAUUUUUUACAAAGUUUCCUUCUUUAUUGCACUUUAAACACUUGUUAUUUCCCAUAGACUUUGAUUUAGAUCUAGAUCAACCUUUUCUACCACUAUUUUUCUUUCUUAUUCUCCCUCUAGCCACUAAAACUUUCAUCAAGUCAUCUUUUCUACUCUUAGACACCCUAUUCUUCAACUCAUUUAAGUUCAAGGCUAUUUUAACAUCCUUUAUGGAGAGAGUAUCUCUACCAUACAUCAAUUCUAACAUCAAUAUUCCUCAAAUCCAUAAUAGUUUUAUUAAAUUCAUUAAGGUGGUUUUUACUGGACGUACUUUUUUUCAUCUAGAGAGUAAACAACUGAUUCUUUAAAUACAAGUGAUUUGUAAGAGACUUUGUCAUUUAGACUUUCUAACUUCGAUCAUAACUUACCAGUCGUAUCUUCUUCUACAACCUCAUGAAGCACCUCAUUACCCAAGUACAAUAGAAUAACAUUGUGCACUUUCUCCAUAAGUUCAUUCUUCUCUUAUCAGACAUUGUUGUUGGUAGAACUUCUUUACCUUUCAAUGCUUUGGAUAACCACUAUUAAACCAAUAAGGCAUGCAUCGUAACACACCACAAAUUGAAAUUGUAUCUUCCAUCAAACUUCUCAACCUUAAACUUUGCCGUCAUUCUAGGUCUAACAACCUAAGCUCUAAUACCAAUUUGUUGUGAAAAACAACAACAAAAUAUAAUAAUAGGGAAAAAUAAUAAAAUGAUGAAAACAAAACACACAAUGAUUUAUGUGGUUUGACCUCAAACCUACAUCUAUGGGCGAAAACAAAGAAGAGCCUCCAUUAUUAUUGAAGGAGAUUACAACCUUAGAGCCCUCAAAUCUCAAAGCCUCAAUUUAUAUUCAAAAAGAAACUCUCACUAUUUUGUUCAAAAUCUUUUUCUUUUUUUUUCUAAUUACAAAGGAAGAUUCCAUAUAGGAAACUAAGUGUAUAAUUGUCAAAGAUGCCUUUUCCUAAAAGAAGUUCUUAUAAUAAGAUAUUUCCUUUAUAAUAAUAGGAAACCUACUUACAAGAAUAUCUUUUAUUAGGAAACUAUCAAUAACUUUCCAAUUGACUCAAAAAUAAAAUUUGAGACACUUUCCAACAUACAUGUAUGAACUUUUAAUAUGUAGGUUUUUUUAAAUGUCGUGAGGACCCUUGGACCCAAAGUGGAUAACAUUUGUACAGGUAGGAGAAGGCCAUUACAUGUUUGAAAUCUAUUAGGAUGAAUAAUUUGAAAGAAUUAAAUUCAUAUUCCUUGCAAAAAAUUAAGUGUUGACAAGGUUUUCAAAAAUAAAUUUUAAAAUAUAGGAAAUCACUUGAAAUGAUGAUUCUUUUGUUAGCACUUACUAGAUGCUUCCUGCAAUAAUCACUUCUUUAUUAUUGUUGUUGUUGUUGUUGUUAUAAUAUAAACAUUGUUAAAAACAUUAUAUAAAAUAUAUUUUUAUUCAUAUCUAAUACUAACAAAUAUAUUUUUGAAAAACAUUUUUCAAUAAAAGUGUUACUAUAACAACAACAUCACAUGCUAUUUAAACAAGACCACAAAUACAAAUCAUUCAUCCAAAAUCAUUAACCAAUUUUCCAUUUUUACCAUAAGUAAACAAUCAAAAAAUUAUUCCUCUCAUGUAUAAAUGUUUGAACUUACCUCUAUUGUGUGUCUUUUUCUCUACAACAAUCUUAGCUACAAAAUUUGGUUAAGCUACAAGAUCUUUUAAUGAAAAAUGGUGAGGUUGAUGAAAUUCACGUAACCUUUGCUUUCUCCUUUUUUUUUUUUUUUUGGCUUUUCAUGUUCUAUAUACCACCACUUAACAUAGAAGUAUUUUAUAGAAAUUCACAUAAAAUCCUUCUUUGAUUCUUAAGUGGCUAAUAAUAAUUUUAUACACAAUCCAAUGACACAACUUAUCUUCUUGUCUAUCGCAACUCCAUUGGUUGCCAUCAAUGAUAAAAUCAAAAUAAAAUAUUAAAAAUACAUUAAAAUAAAAACAAAUUAAUAAUUAAUAAUGUAAAAAUAAAAUAUUCUUGAUAAAAAACAUCUAGGAAAAAAUGAUAAAUGUAUAUUAAUGAAUAUAUAUAUAUAAGGUAUUGAAUUGCAAUUGACUCUCUAUAACAAGAUAUUGAGUCAAUUUUAGAAUUUGAUUAUGAGGGAGCCAAAAGUCUUAUGGGUUCCAAUGGUCCUUGUUUAGAGCUCAUAUUCCUUGAUGACACAAUUUAUGAGGGUUGGAUGAGUUUUUAAUUCACUUUUGUAUAUAAGGACAUUUUGAUAAUUAUGCAAUGUUGCAAAGGGAUAAGUGAGUGGUAUCUCAGACUAUGCUAAUUGAUUAAUUAGGGUCAUGUAUAGUUAAUUAAUUAAUUAGCAACCUUUUUGGGCUAUAUUAAAUGACCUAAGCCGAUGAUGGGCUUAAGUCACUUAUGCCUAGCAGGAAGCUUAUAAAUACCCCUUUAGGGGUUGAAGUUUCUAUUUCUUGCCAUUUUCUCCCUAUAGUCUAGAGAAAACCCUAAUCUCCACCAUCUCAAUGUCUAAACACGAGAAAGAGUCAUUAGGUGAAAGAUCAUGGUGUUUACGAGAUCCAUUAUGACUUUGGAGUUAUCUAUAUCAAUUGAAAUCGAUCCGUGAACAUAUGGAUAAAAGGUAUGUGACUUUAUUUUCUAAAUUCGUGAUUUAUGUGGUAUCAAUAUUGAUUUUUAAAUAUCUAGUUCUCCGUUGCGCUAGAUUUAGAGAGCCUAGGAUAGAUUUUCAUACACCCUAUGAGAUCCAAGGCAUGGGAAUGGAGUGAUCUAGGGUUCCCUACAAUAAUUAUUCCGAUAGAAACUUCAUAAUAACUUAUCCUAUUAAAUACUAUAAAAAUCCCUAACUUUUUAGUAAUUCCUUAAUGAAUAAAAUAUUUUAUAUGAAAAAGCUUUCAAAAAUGUUUAUUUCCUUAAAAGAAAUUAAACGAUCCAUUUUAGAAAGUAUUUUCAAAAUAUUUUAUAUCUUUAUUAAAUUACUAAAAGUUUCCAAAAAUAUUUUGACUAUUUUAAGUACUCUAAGGUGGCUUCAACAUGACUAUUUUUAUCUUUAUUAGAUAACAAAGUUUUGAGCAAUUGAGUUAUUUGGGCUGAUAUUAAAUCAGUUGUCCAAAAGUUGCUGGUGAUAUAUACAUGGACUUGAUCAUUUAAUUGUUUGUUUGUUUAUGUGAGAAUAAACAAUUAAGGUUGAACUUCCUCUAAAUUGGCUUCUACAUGACUAUUUAUCAUGUUUAACAGUUUGAUAUAUAUAUAUAUAUAUAUAUAUAUAUACGGGGACUUCAUCAACAUGUUUGAUGGUUGGAUUGUUUGUUUGAUCAUGUGAGAACAAACAAUUAAGGUUGAAAUUCCUAUAAGGUGGGUUUUGAACAAUUGGGCAGUUUGGGCAAUUGAGUUGUUGGGCCAAUAUUAAAUCAAUCGUCCAAACAUUGUUGGUGCUAACAAUUGAGCUCUUUGGGCAAUUCAGUUGCUUGGGCCAAUAUUAAAUCAAUUGUCAAAAAGUUUGUUUGGGCCAAUAUUAAAUCAACUGUCCAAAAGUUGUUGGUGCUAACAAUUGAGCUGCUUGGGCAAUUGAGUUGCUUGGCCCAAAAAUAAAUCAAUUGUCCAAAAGUUGUUGGUGCUAUAAUACUAUAAAUAUACCAACUAGGUGUAAUUUGAGCAAUUGUUUAUCAACUCAAGACUAUCAAGGAUACUCUUGAUAUUUGUUCUUCCCAUGAAGGAAGUAUAGGUAAAACAAUGUCAGAUUAGUUUUUGUGCUAGGAUAUGUUACUAGUAGUUUAUGAGGGGUUCUAUCCUAAAAUAAUAAGGCUUUCAUUUAUAGUACUUUCUUGGUUGCUAAAAUUUUUUAGUACAAACACCUUCACUCAUUUGACUAAACCCGAAAGAGAUAUGUUGUCACGAAUUUUAUUUUAUGAAAAUAUUAUUUAUUUUCGUUUUAAAAUUAAAUUUUAUUGUUAAAAAUAAAUUCCUCGAUAACAACAAAUUCACAACAAAUAAUUUUCUAUAUAUAGAAAAAAAUCUUCUACCACAAAAUACUUUUUUUAAAUCAGAAAUUAAUUUAUGGCAAAAACCCCCAUAUUUGUUGUAGUGUUAGAAUAAAACUAAAUCAAAAUUUGAAAGUUUGUGUUUUAUUUUUAAUUAAAAUAAAUCAAUUAAAAUUAAAAUUUUACCAUUAAAAACAGUCUCAUAGUUUCAUAAUUAUAGGGGGUAAUUUUAUCUAUAUAUGUCUAUCAACUUUAUAAUAUAUUGGGUCAAUUAUCAAUUUUUACUGGCACUAAAACACAAUUGUCAAAAAUGUGAGCAGCCAAAAAAGGUGAUUCAACUAUGUUGAAAAGUUGGUAGUGCAAAUGAGUAGUCAAAAAUGCUGAUUUGAAAUUCAUUUUCAAUUGUAUUGGACCGUCCUAGAUGGUGACAAAUGUGGAUAAUGAUCACAAUACAGUAGACAAAAUAAAUGUCACGUCAUCAAGCAAUCUUGAAAGUUAAGAAAAAAAAUUUCCAAAGAUAUUUUACCACUCAUUCCAUCUCAAACCGUAAAUUAAUUUAUUUAAGAAGUUGUGAAAAUUAGUUAAACUAUUUACAAUUCCUCCAAGAAUAAUUCUAGUUAAAGGGUAUUUGAUCUUCAACAUUUUUUAUUGGAACAACUUUAACAAAAAUAUUUUUAAGAAAAUUUAGCGUAGUAGCAUGGUUGAUAGUAAUUUCAAGAAGUAUUUAUUAUUUUUUUAAUAUUUAAACUUUUUUAUUUUUUAAGUAUUAAAAGGGAUAAAAACAUUUUUUAAAAUCAUUGUCAAAUAAAUUCUAAAUUGCAUUUGAUAGUAAUUUUAGGAAGUAUUUUUAAUCUUUUUAACACUUAAAAUUUUUAUCUUUCAAAUACCAAAAAAACUAGAAACACUUCCUAAAAUUAUCGCAAAAUACACUCUUAAAAUACGUUUGACAAUGAUUCUAGGAAGUGUUUAUAACACUUGAAAAUUUUUAUCUUUCAAGUAUUAAAAAUGUUAAAAACGCUUUCUAGAAUCACUCUCAAAUGUACUUUUAGAGUGUAUUUAACAGUGAUUCUUGAAAGUAUUUAUAAUAUUUUUAAUACUUGUAAGAUAAAGUGUGGUUAACAGUAAUUCUUAAGUUUGAAAGCAUUUCUAGUAUUUUUAAUACUUACAAUAUAAAAUUUUUCAAGCAUUAGAAGGUGAGAAGCGCUUUCUUAAAUCAUUAUCAAACAGACUCUUAAAGUCCGUUUGAUAGUAAUUUUAAAAAGGACUUAUAAUAUUUU